RNAcentral lists this long non-coding RNA (97714 nucleotides) under Gossypium barbadense (sea-island cotton). RNAcentral describes it as "long non-coding RNA (GBAR_LNC019854)". The record is from RNAcentral. Lineage: Eukaryota; Viridiplantae; Streptophyta; Magnoliopsida; Malvales; Malvaceae.
ACCUGGGGGGUGGGGAGACUUCAAGGGGUUCCAAUACUUUUCUCUAUCAUUUUUAAGAAAAAAAAUGAGUUAUUUGGUAGGUAAAGCAAGGUUUGAGCUUGACCUGGAAUUUUCUUUGGAAUUGGGUUUAGGCCUAACUUGACUCAGCCGAUGAGCACCUCUAUCAUAAACAAGUUUAUUUAGUUCAAAUGAAUGAACAUGAAUGCAUGUAAUUUUAAAUAAACAAACAUGAAUUAAACACAAAUAAGAUUAAAAAUUUAAAUAAAAACAUAAAUUUGUUUAUAAACAUAGAGGAUUAAAAUUUUAAAUAAACUAAUCUUAAAUAAACUAAUUUAUGUUUCUAUUUAUUCAUUUGAGUAAACCUUGACCAUUCACGGUUGGACCUAAUACACGAACCUUAGAAAAAAAAAUUGUUUAUAGAUGUCAAGAGUGAAGCUUUACCUAAAUGUCAAAAGUUUUAAAAGUCUCUCAAAUAAAUGUUUGAAAACAAUUCUAGUUAUAAAGAUAUUAAUGGUUUGUUAAAAAGAAUUAUGUUAUGGAUAAUGGUGAUAAUGAACAAAAGUUCAUUACGUUUAUGAAAGGAAAAGGGAAUCAUUCAAUAUUAUAGGAAAAUGUUAAGAGAGAACCCCAUAACUACUUGUAUAUAUGUUCCACCAACGUAUGCUUUCUAAAAUAUCCAAACAGUGAAGCUCCAUGAACCUUGUCAUAAUUUUGGAUUAAUUUCACUUUUUCUACUUUGCUAAAGUAAUAUCGAGUGAAACAUUUGCUACGGAAUACUUCUUGGAGAUGACACUUUACAUGGCAAUCUUGUUCUAUAAGUGAGUUAUUUCAUGAUAGUAUUAUUCUUAGAUGAAGUUGCUCUAAACAAUUAUUAUUCUUGAGCAAACAACUAUUUAGAAGAAGACUUGUUUUGGAAAAAAUUGUUCUAAACAUAGUUGUUCUUGGUAGAGGUUCUAAACAUCAACUAUUUUAAAUAUAAUAGGUUUUUGGUUGAGGCUUCUAUCAUGUUCAUCAAUUCUUGAAUAAAGGUAAGAAUAAGAGUAUUUUGAUUUUUAGUAGAUUAUCCAUGUCUUCUAAUAAGUUUAGCGUUGAAGAUUUUAGUCAUCUAAUGCUAUCACUCCUUCAGAACAAAAUUGUCAAAAUGUAAAGGGUUUUUGGUUUAGAGAGAAAAAGUUGCAAACAAGGAAAACAUAAUGUACCAAGACAUCACAAAGAAAGAUUGAAGCAAACCAACAACUAGUGGUUCGUAAGGUGGAGAAUUGUUGAAGUAGACUACUUGUGGAUAAGAAUAAACUUGAGAAAAGGAACAUGUUGAUAGAACUUUAAAAAGUUUUUAAUGGAAUAUGAAUUGCUAAAAUGCUAAAAUCCCCUUACAAGUUGUGAAGGGCUUUUAAUUAUAGAUGUAAAAAUAAUAGUUAUAUAGUUAUACAUUAAAUAAGAUAAAGAGAAAGAUUUUCAAUUACAAAAGACAUUAAUAUGUUUUAUUAAUAAAGUUUAACCACCUUUUGAUAAUAACUGCAUAGUAAACAAAAGUUCACCACAAUUCCAAAGACAAGGAAAAUCACUUGAUGCUACAUGAAGGGAAAUCACUUGGUUCACACUAAUCUCUAAACUUGAUAAAAUUUUCUAUUUUUGGUCUAUAUGAUGAUGUGGCACUUUGAGAUUGUGUCAUGUCAUUAGUUAUAUUUUAGAAAAAAUAUAAAUUUUGAUGUAAUGAUGUGACAUAAUAUAAGUGUAACACCCUACGCUUGAACUGGUUGUCGGAUUCGGGUAUGGAUCAUUAUAGGUUGACCGGAUUCGAAAAACACACCUAUGUACUUUUCUUUAAAGAAAAGCUCAUUAUCCUUAUGGUGGGUACCUCCUUCAUCAGAGUGGUAUUCCUUUAGUUCAAGACCAUUUUUGUAACAACCCUAACCCGUAUCUGUCUCCAGAAUAAGGUUAUGAAGCAUUAUCAAACUUUUCACAUAAACAAUCAUACAUUUUCAUAUUCAUUUCUCAUAUCCAAGCAAUAGUCAUUCAAAUUCAAUCAUAUAGUCCCUAACACAAGCCCUCAAGGCCCAAAAAAAGCAUUAAAAACAAAUUGAGACUAAAUUGAAAACUCAUAGAAGUUUUGGAAAAACAUUGAAAAUUUACAAAGUGCUGGGGACACAUGCCCGUGUGGCCAGGUCAUGUGUCUCACACAGUCAAGAGACACGUCCAUGACUCAGUCCAUGUGGGCAUUCGAAAUGGGAUCGCAUGGCCGUAUCCUAGCUAGUGUCCAACCCCAUGUAACUCACUGACUUGGGUCACACGGCCAACCACACGCCUGUUUGACUAGCCCGUGUAGCUCAUUGACUUACUUUCAUUAGAAAUUUUAGGGGACACACGGUCGUGUCUCCUGACCGUGUGUCACACAGGCCUGCGUUUCUGCCCGUGUGGACAAAAAUAAGCUAUUUUCUAAGCCAGAUUUCUCACCCAAAUAGGUACCAACCUAAGCUCAAUAAUGCAUAUACAACCAUGGCAUAAAUAAGCAUUCAAAACUAACCAAUACCAAGUUUAUAACAUGUAAUAUCCACACAUACAACAUGAUAUCCAUAAGCACAUUCAUUUGACCACUUUAAAGCAUACCAAAUAUACUUCCAAAGUCUAGUUAAAUGGUUAAUUACAUAUAUGAGACAUUGAACCUAAAACUUAGAAUGCAAGCUUAUCUCAAUUCCAACCAUUUGGUUCCAAAACACAAUUUCACAAGCAAGGCAUUCAUAUAGCAACUAUACACCACAUAUCACAAGGCCAUUUAUACAUAUAUACAUAUCAAAAUAUAUGACCACUUUUCAAGCCAAUUCAAAUGGCCUAAACUCAUCAAGACAUAUAGGCUAAAUUAGCCAAAAUACCUAUACAUGUCAUUUAACCAAAAUAUAGAGAUUCAAAAGUACCAAAACGAGAGCUUGAUAGUGAGACACAAUCUCCGAUAACUUUCAAUUCGAAUGAGCUUCCGAUUCAGUAUUAAAACACGAAAAAUUAAACAGAGUAAGCAAUUAAGCUGUAACAUAAAACUCAGCUUACCAUUUAAUCAUAAUUUAAGUAAUUAAACAUAGCAUAAUGCAACUCAAUUUGAUCCAUAAGCCUAACACAUGUUCAUCCACAAGAUUAGACAUGAAAUAACAAACCUCAUAGAUUCAAUUCUCACAUGAUUGACAUACAUACCUAUACUAGUUCAUAUCGAACUCAUACACUUUCGUAAUAACACUGUGCCCGUUGAACUAUUUGGAAUAAUAUCGGAUACUCAGGUAUCUCGCACACUUAGUGCUAAUACAUGGUCGAAACCAUCUCUAUCUCAUAUAGAUGCUCACUCUCGAGCCAUCACUAGGUCUGCUCACACAAGCUGACGGUCAAGACGUAGCUACACGGUGCUACUCACACAAGCUAUCGGGUAACCGCAACACAUGCUAGAAAACUUAGCCAUCGGUAGAACGUAUGGGAUCAACACCCAAAACACGAUUAUUCCUAAUGACAUGUCAUUUGUACCUAUCUAUUCCUAACGUUCGAUCGGGAUCCAUACACUUGCCGAUAUCUUGUCGAGAAUUUAUGUAGUAUCGUAUCAACUAAUAUUUCAAUUAAUCAUGUAAACAUAUAUAUAAUUUAAAGCUUAUUAAUAUAUGAACUUACCUUGAUCUCGUACGAUGAAAAUUUAUCGUUUAAUCGAUAACUUUAUCUUUCCCUCGAUCUAAUUCCGUACUUCGCUUUUCUUGAUCUAUGUAAUCAAAUUUAACUCAUUUAAUCAUUAAUCUAUUAAAUUCAAUCCAAAGUUCAUGUUAUGACAAAAUUACUAUUUUGGCCCUAAACUUUUGGCUUCUUUAUAAUUUAGUCCUAAACUCAUAAAAAUGCAAAUUCAUGCAAUUCAAUUUCAGCCCAUGCUAGCUGAAUAUCAUAUAGGUCCCUAGCAAGCCUUAUAUUUCAUUUAUUUCACAAUUUCACCAUGUAUAUUACAUAUUUUAAUUAAAUCCCUAUUUGACAAUUUUACUAAAAAUCACUUAACAAAUGUUGUUUAACUAACAACAAAGAUUCAUUUUCUUCCAUCAAACAUCAAAACACAUACACAUUCGUCAAUGGUGAAACCCUAACUCUUUAACACUUUUGCAAAUUAGUCCCUGGGCUAGCUAGAUUAAGCUACAACGACUUCAAAACCAUAAAAAUCAUUAAAAACCGAGCAAAAUUGCACUUACAUGCAAGGGAGAAAGAUGGUUGAAUGUUCAAUCUCCUUCCAUGGAGUUUCCUAGGUCUAAUUUCAGUGGUGGAUGAUGGAAAAAGAUGAUAGCCAUAUUUUAUUUUACUUAAUUUAUCAUUAUUUACCUAUUUACUAAUUUAACCUUUAAAAACAUUAAAAUUUAUACAAAUGCCAAGCCAUUAUCAUCCACUAAAAUUUUAAUUGUAUAAUUGCCAUAUAAGGACCUCUACAUUAAAGUUCAAUAGCUAUUAAACACUUUUAGCUAUUAGAACCUAACUUUUACACUUUACGCGAUUUAGUCCUUUUCAUCAAAUAAAACAUGUAAAUGAUAACAUUUCUUAACGAAAUUUUCAUAUGACUCUAAUAACAUUGUGUAACCAUUAAAAUAAUAAUAAAAUAAAUAUUUUCACUUCGGAUUUGUGGUCCCAAAACCACUGUUCCAAUUUCACUAAAAACGAGCUGUUAUAAUUUUAGUUUGGAAGCGCAAUUUAAAUAAAAACUCACUGCGUUAAGGAUGCAUGGAAUAACCCUUUGGUGGCCACUUAAUUAACAUUAAUAAGUCAUAAUAGCAUUUGAUCAUCAAAGCUUCCAUUCAACAUUCAACGUUUUCAAAGUAUUGUUCAAUAAAUAUUAAAAUUUCAAAUUGGCGGUUUCUAAGAAUUGGCCUAAUAGCCCCAGUAAAUGCAUGUUAACUUUGAAAUUAAGAAGGCUCAUAAAUGGUCGUAGAUCUAGCUGUAUCCCUUCGAUCACCUCGCUUAACCUAAGAACUUGAAAGGAAGAAGAAACUGGGUAAGUUCGUAAGAACUUAGUGAGUUCUUGGGAAAAAAAAUCCCACCUUAGUUAGUAUCAGACAUUAAGACAAAAAGACUUGACUAGAUCACCCUAUUUGGCAGAUACAUUACCUUGUCUUGUAGAUCAACUGGCGAAUGAUACCGCAAAUCAACUCAGCUUAUUGGUGAACAACACUGGUUUCUAUAAUCAUAUAUGAUAAUCACGGGCACAUAUUUUCCGCGAAUUUGCCACUUGUGUGGACUACCAUUUUUGAUAGAUAAGCUUACUGUUCAUGCUUUCAUGCAACAUGCAAUACCACAUACACUGUUUUUCUACGUCCUCUCUUUUUUAUGCUAGGUUCUGAUCCCUAUUCCUGAAGAACCAAAAUUUUCCUGUAUCUUCAAAUUCACUUGUUUGAGCCCUAACUUUUUUCCUUGUAUGAACACAUAAGUAUUCUACCGCAAGGUCGAGUUUUCACCAAUCAUGAUUUGUAUCUAAGUGUCAUCCAAAGGCAAAACAUAAUUUCAUGUAUCUUCGUUAUCAUUAUAUACAACAUUCCUCCGAUACCUUCUUACACCCAUCUAGAUGCGAAGCUUGUGCACCAAGGAAUGAGUACUUAUACUGUGUAUAUACCAGGUUUUUUGGGCCUGUUUAACCAUGCAUGCAUUGACUCUUUGAAUGAUACUCUUCAGACAUGAACUUCAAAAAUAAAUAACUAAGUCACUUACCUAGCUUAAUGAAGUUUAGAGGUAAAUAAACUAAUGCAGAUACCAGACAUAAAGUGCAAAGGAACUCACCAGAAUACUUUAUUCAGAGCUUUAUCUACUUUACUAGUUCUUUUCCUUUAGCACACAUGAACUUCAGAAAUAAAUAACUAAGUCACUUACCUGGCUUAAUAAAGUUUAGAGGUAAAUGAACUAAUGCAAAUACCAGACACAAAGUACAAAGGAACUCACCAAAAUACUUUUCUCAGAACAUUAUCUACUUUACUGGUUCUUUUCCUUUAGCACUGGGACCUUUUCCCGUUUCUUUAUCUAAACAAUAAAACAACUUUUUUAACUAUCAAAUAUAACCAAAAACUUAUGAUACAACAAAAGUCUAUAGACAUGCAAACGAUUUUUGGAUAAGAGUUUCCUUCCUACCCUAGAUUCAAAGAAAUCCUAUCAAUCAUUUCUCAAGUUAGUUUCUACCUAUUUGGUAAAACUUCAAGGAAGGUUUAAGAAUUUACCAGCAAACAACUAGCAUAGAAGUUCUCCUAAACUUUUACAAUUAACACCCUUGUUAGCAAAGAAGAACUCUUCUGGUUUCUUCGAUGAUAACAAAUUCUAUGUUCGAUCUGGUGCCUUGAGUACAAUAUAUUUGUCUAAUGAAAUUUGUAAUGUCACACCCCAAAUUUGACAGACCUAGUUAGAAGACAUGUAGAUGUGAAGUUAUCUGUUUGGCGUAGUGUAGUUUGCACAUUUGUAAUCUUUUGGUGAAUAACUGUAACAGCCCGGUUUUCAGUGGUGAUAGAAAUAGUGGUUUUGAGACCAUAAAUUUCACUGUGCCGACUUGUAAAUAUUAUUUUUAGAAUAUUUAUAGUCAUUAUAGUCAUAUUAAAAUUUGGUUAAGAAAUAUUAAUGUUUAGUUAGUUAAUUAAGAUAAAAGUAACAAAUUGAAAAAGGUGCAAAACUUGUUAAUUAAUACAUUUAGGUGAUUAGAUGGUUUAAUUAAUAAAUGAGGAAGGGAUUAAGUGAUAAUUAAGCUAUAAAUAAUGAGUGGGACGACAAUUAAAGUUAAAAAUGAAAGAAAAUUUAAUGAUAAUGGCAUAAUUGUAAAUUUCUUGAAAGUAAAACAAAAUUAAAAGAAGAAAAAGACAUUUUCUCUUCAUCUUUCUAUUUUUCAUUGUCAAAACACCAUGGGAGCUUAACUUGGAGGUUCGUCCACUUUAUACUCUUGCAUGUGAGUUUAAUUCCUAUCUGUUUCUUGUAAUUUUUAUGUUUUUGAGAUCGUUGCAACUAGGUCCAGCUAACCCGUACCUUUGAUUUUUAAACUGUUAAAGAUUUUGAAUGUUGCCAUUGAUAAAUAUACUAAUUUUUUAUGUUAAGUUGGUAUUUAAAAGUAUUUUGUUAAGGGAUUUUUGAUAAAUUUUUUAUUAGGGACUAAAUUGUUGAAAUAGUAAAAAUACAAGGGUUUGUUGUGAAAUUAUUGAAAAAAUGGGCUGUAAUGAAUGCCAUGAAUAUUUGGUUAGCAUGGGUUUGCAUUAAAAAUGGUUAAUUUGCAUGUUUUAGGCUCAAGGACGAAAUUGAAUAAAAGUAAAAUGUUAGGGGCAAAUUUGUAAAAAUGUAAAAAAUAAAUUCCAUAAAAUAAAUUUUUUUAUUUUCUAAAUUAAUAAAUUUAAUGAAAUUGUUAAUUUAAAUCAAGAUCGAGGGGAAGAUCGAGGAGAAUGGAAAAUUACCAAAAUGCCCUUAUACUUUUACAUUUCUACAAUUUAGCCAGGUAAGUUCGUACGGUUAAAAUUUAACAUUUGUGUAAACUGAUGAUUGAUAUUAUAUAUAUGUUCUAUUGUUGGAAUUGAAUUAUUGCUAGAAAUAUAUUAUCAAAUUUAAUACUUUGUUUGGAUUGAACGCGAGAUUUGAGUACAUUUGUGAUUUGGUGUAUGAUGGGGGUUUGGAGUGGAGAUGUUAUUGGAGGGUGUUAAGUUCAAUUUUUAGCUUAACUUAUUCCAUUAAUUACCUAAAUUAUUGACAAAUUCUUGAUCAAUUAGUUUCAAUUAGCUCAAUUUGCAUUAAGAAUAUACUAUGCUUUGUUAAUUUAUUUUUGCUCCAAUCCGAUGAUUUAAUGGUAUUUUAAGACAUGUUGCAAGGUAGGUACAUUGGGAAGGUUCGAAUGAACCCAAAUGUGGAAUUCACUUGCCCCGAAUAGAGUUGAUGGAAGGGGCUGGGCGAAUGCUGAAUUCUUUAAAGUCGGCGAAGUCAAAAUACAAAUUUGAAGUAAUUGAGUCGACCGCAAAAGACCUUGACAGCAAAAGCAAGAUUCGGUCCAACUUGAAGGUGCCAUAGACCGACAUUGUGUGACCAGCCAGCAAGGGAAUCAAAUUUAAAUUCGAAUUCCCCUCUUUCCAGCUAUGACCGAUUCUAGUGUACAAUGAACAAACCAACUCAGACUUGAGAAGUUAAGUUGGAGUGAAAGUCUAAUUGGUUUGAGCUAACCUUAUGCGAUAGGCGAGGAAAAAAUCAACGGAGAGAUCAGAUUUUUAUUUUCUAUAUUUAGAGGCUGAGUUUUAUUUUUGAAAAAGGGGAGAGGAGAAGAAAUUGAAAAACAAGAAUGAGGGACUCAGGAAGAACACCGUCUCCAAUCGACCUAGUAGGUGCGAAUCAAGGAGCUAGAACCGGUCUUAGAGUCCAGCAACUUCAGGAGGAGGGAAGCUCGAUGACCUUAGCAGUGUUGUUAAGCAAGAGUGAUUCUAAACUCGACUUGAUUUUAAUUAAUUGUUGUUUAGCCAUGAGGAGCUAAAGUCCCUUUGCUUAGUUAGGCAUUAUUGAAGCCGAACACAAGUUGAAGUAAAGACUCAUUUUAUCUGGAAUUAAAACUCGGUAAUUUGUAGUUGAUUGUUUUUCUCAAAGGGGUUUAUUUUCUAAGUCAAGCUAAAAUGAUCACCUAAUUAAUUUAGGAAUUCUCCUAUCAUCACCUAAGUAAAUUUAAGAAAUCCUAUUUCCUAAGUAGACUUAGAAUCGAUGAACACUAUUAAACAGCUACGGGUUUAAUUUAAUGGGAGCCGUUAGAGGUUUUCCAUGGUUAAUGCAAGGCAAAGCCUCUUUAGCACCUUACGCAUGUUUAAUCGAUUAAACAAAGAGGGAUUAAAUAUAAUUUUCAAUUAAGAACGUUUCAUAAUUGAACUAACAUUGGAAGAGGUAGGGAGUCACUUCGUAAGGGAUUUUCCAGCCUUACUAUCGAGUAGAUUUCCUAGGAUAAGUUGAGUCUCAGUUAGUUGUGUUUGGUGGAUUAGUCGAUAACUAAGCAUCUUUUUCCAUUUGAUUCUAGAAUAUAAGCAUUUUCAUCUCAAACUACUUUCUUUCGUUUUUAGAAGCAACAUUCAUAUAAAACCCCCCACACGCGUAUGUGUGUGUAUUUCAUUUAAUUCUUUUCAAAUAGAUUUAAUACGAGCUUCCUCGUGGGAUCGAUACCCCAUUUUCCCUAUAUUACUAGUUAAUAUUGGUUGAAUAGUGGAUUUAAUUCGGUGAACGUAACGACUUCUCACCAGAGGGAUAUAUCGACAUUUUACCCAAGUAAAUUGGGGUUCAACAUUUAUUGUGAACUCUCGGCUUUUACUUUCUCUUUGGCAUGAUUCGGGUGGAUUAGCUCUUACGAGCUUCUGUUCAGCUCUUUUGAGUUUCUAUUAAGCUCUUAUGAGCUUCUGUUGACGAUGUACUCUUACUCGUAAGUCGUUCUUCAUAUGAAAAAUCUCGAUAAGGUAAUUUGUUUAAUGAAUUUGAAAGUUUUGUUAUUUAUUGAAUAUUGACCUGAACAUAAAUGAAUUCAUCAGUUGAGAUUGUGGAUAAUGCUUAGGUUUGUGCUAAGCUGUUGGUUGCAUUAUAUCAUGUUGAAUAUUAAUUAUAUGAAUUGACAUGGUAAUUGGUUAAAUGGAAAUAUGCUUAUGUUUAUAAGAAGGUGGUAAGAUUCAAAAUGUGUAAUUUCUUAUAAAAUGGUUUAUCAUGUGAUUGACCCCGAAUGAGUUAUAUACAUAAAUGCACUAACUUGUUUAUUGAUGAUGGUGAUUAGGCUUAUGUCAAGCUUCAGAUUAUGAUUGAUGUAUAUGCUUAUGUUUGGUAUUAUACAAAUGAAACGGUAAGUUCAUAAUUGAAAUGUGAUAUGAUGAAAAAGGGAUUGAUGAGUUGAAUAAUGUACUUAUAUAUGAGAAAUUACGUGUGUUAUGGUUGAAAUUACCUAUGUUAUGAAUAAAUAUACUAAUUAGUUAAUUGAUGUUGUUAUUUAAGUUUAUGUUUAGUAAAUGGAAUGGAAAGUAGGUAAAGAAAGUUAUUCGUAGUUUUAUGAAAAUGUUAAUGAUGGUGUAAAAUGUUUUAUAAAAUCUUAUUAUGUUAGGAAUGAAUAUAUAUAUGAUGUUGAUAGACUUACUCAUUUAUGAGUUAGUGGUUAUGUAGUUGAUAAAUCUUGAGGCAUUGGUAUAGCUUUAUAUUUAUCAUAUAAAGUUUAUGAUUAAAUUAGAAUAUUAUGUUUAAAGUUUGUAUGAGCUUGCUAAGCAUUCAUUGCUUAGGUAGUUGUUGAUCCCUUACUUUAUAGAUUAUUAGAAGCUUGAUCGGGUUGGAAGCUUGUCAGAGAUCUAUCAAACUAUCCAACGAUUAUAUCAGUAGAUUUUGAUGUCUUGGUUAAAGUUAUAAUGGCAUGUAUAGUUGGAUUAUGUCUAAUGCUUAAUUGAUGAGUUUGGUAUAUAUAUGUCAUUUUGGUUGAUAAUUAUGGCAUGAAAUGUUGCCUUGAAUUUGAGGUACUUAAGGUACUAUUGAUAUCUUGUUGGUUAUGGUUAAUAUGGUUAAUUUGAUGCAUGUUUAGAAAUAACCAAAUUUGGUAUAUGUUGUAUCAAUCUCAAUAUGGCCAAGACAUGGUAUGUUUUGGACAAGUCUUGAAUAUAUGUGCAUGAUUGAAAUAUGGUAUGCCUAAUAUGGUAAGGUUAGUAUGUGUCAAUUGUGUUAUGCAUUGGUAUGGAAACAAGUCAGUUGGUAAAUGGUAUCAAUGUGGUCAAAUGUGGUGAGAUUAUUUUUGAUAUAGCAUGGAAAUAGUAUUGAGAUUAUUUAGGUAUGUAUGGUUAAGGUUUGUACAAAUAUGCUUAUGUAUAUAUAUAAGUUUGAUGCUUGAUGAUUAAGGUGCCUUUUGGCAUAUUGGUUAAAGUUGUAUGAGCAUUUGGUAUGGAGAUUAGUCAUUUUUUGCAUAAUUUGAGUAUUUUUAAAGGCCUUGUAUACAUGUACAAAUUUUUUGUAGGUUUAUGCUUGAAAGAGGUGAAAGAAAUGGCUUGGAAAUGGUCAUUUUCUUGUUACACUACCUAAGACACGGGCGUGUGUCUCAGCUGUGUGAGUCACAAGGCUUGGCCACACGACUGUAUGAACCCUAUAGUUUGAAAAAAAUUCUAUCUUUUUUUUAUGAAAUUAUAAAUGUUUCUGAUUUUGUCCCGAAUUGUUUCUAAAGUGAUUCGAAGGCCCCGAGGGCUCGAAUAAGGGACGUUAUGCAUGUGUUUGAAUGAAUUAUGCUAUGAUAUAUGAAAUGUUUAAGAAUGAAAGUUUUUAAGUUAUGAUUUCCCGGUAAUGCUCAGUAACCCUAUUCUGACGACGGAUACAGGUUAGGGGUGUUACAAUAAUAGUUGGCUUAGAGUAUCUACCGUGUAAGUAAUUAAAGAUUUUAUCUUAUGUUAUUCUGCUAUUUAAGAAAAGAAUAUGACAAGGGAACAGUAAUACUAGUGAGAGUUAGCGCCAAAAGUAUAGUACCUCCAGUUUGCCUAAGCACUGUGGUUAUUAGGUUUUGUAACAUGAUCUAGUUAAAAUCCAACUGAAUUGGCUGGUCAAAUAAUAUUUGUACAGGAUCCUCAUUUAUAUUUAUCUCAGAUUUUGUAGGCAAUUUAUUAGGAAAAAUUCUGGAUACAAUUGACACUUGUCAAGUUCCACUAAGGGAACUAGAGAGAUAUAUAUGGUGAGAAGGGUUCGCAUGAAGGGUUUUCUUCUUUUAAUACUAUUAUCUAGUUCUUCUACUUAAACUUAUUUGUUUUUUUCUCCUUUAUUAAGUUAGAAGCUAAGGUUCUUGAAUUAAUGAGCGGAUGUUCUAUCUCAUGGUAAGUUUGAUAGCUCUGCAUGCUAAGUUUUUGAAAGAAGGGUAUUAAGAAACAUAUGAAUAGUGAGUUGUGAAUAAGAGACCCCGUAUAGGGGUCGUCUGUGAUUGAGAUAUUAUCCAUUUGUCUAUGAAUGGGUUUUAAUGGUGGUUCCAUGUUCUUUAAGAAAUUGCUGCUGCUGGUUCGAGAGGGAUGUUCAAGUUUCGAACUCCAAGCUAUAGUUUAGGUGAGUAUCAUGUGAGUUUCUAUCUUAGCUCCUGUAUGUGCACUGUUCAAAUAGGGUUAUAUAUAAUGAUAACGUCUCAAAAAACUGGUAAGUGUGUUUUGCAGUAAUGUAAAGAUUUUACUUGGUUUAGGAUGAUAUGUGUGAGGUAUUGUGUGCGUAAUAAGUAAAAUGGUAAGUAUGCCUCUGAUAUCGGAUAUGAGUAAAUAAGAAUCAAUCAGGUAUGUGAAUAAUCUAGGUAACUAACUUCUGUGUAAACAUCUAUUGUGAUGCCUUUGGUUGGGCAAUUAUAGUUCUAACCAGACUGGAAUAUCAUGAUAUGAUGAAACAUGUAAGUUCAUGUGGUAGAGACCCGUGUCAUUAUAUGAUAAGUAAGACAUUCAUGGUGGUGCCUCUAGUGAAAUGAAGAAUGGACUGGAAAAUCACGACAUGAAUAUGUGUAAGUCCAUGAGUCUGAGAAUCAUGACGUAAUAUGAUAAUAAGAAUGUUCAUGGUGAUGCCUUCGGUAAGAUGUAAAUCAGACUGACAGAUCCCAACAUGGAGAUAUGAAUAAGUCUAUGAGAGAGAAACCCAUGAUACCUUUUGUGGAAGUCCGUCGGGCCAGUAAAUAUGUGAUUCAGUGUGUUGCCUGUGUGGCGUGAUCUGCUAAGCCUUGGUGGUGUAUUCUAUGUUGCCAUUGUAGCGAAUUAUAGAAUGCCUAUGUGGCGUAUUCAGGGGUGCUUAUGUGGCAGAAUUUGAUUAUCCACCUUUGUGGUAAGUUCUAAGAUCUCUUUGAUAAAUGAUUCUAUGAUAAUGGUCUGAUACGUCUGAAGUUAGCUUGGUUUGGUUAGGCUUGUGAGGAAAUUGGUUGAGUUUUAAAGAAAGAAUCAGCCAUAGUAGUCUACUAGUAUAGGAUAUGGGCGUAUUCAUAAUUAUGAAGGGUAGAAGUGUUCGUUGGUAAGAAUUCAUCUACACUAUGAAGGGCUGAAAUAUAAAUAAUCAGGUAUCUGCCAUAUCUGAAUGGUAUCAUGUCUCGUUCUGGGGUUAUUUGGAAUCUGAACCAUUUGUCAAUUUUGACAUUCUUGUGUUAUGUAAUAUAGACGUAUGGAAUUCUUCUGAAUGAUCCAGAAUGUUUCAUCAUUAGUAUGAGUUUGUUUUGGGUUUAAUUCAAGAUACGAUCUGAUUGGUGGACUGGCAGCUGCUAAACACAGUAUGGGAAUCUGCCAAGUGUAAGGUUAAUUAGUAAUUAUCCACUAAAGAAUAGUGUCUAUGAAUAACCAUUUUGGGAAAAAUGUGAAGUGUUGUUUGAAGAGGAAAUUCGAUGAAAGUGAGUUCUGUAUAGAUAUUCUUCUUAGAAGUAUCUUGUGUUCUAUGAAUGAUUAAGAUCUAUAGUGACUGGUACAAUUUGGAAUCGGUCUAGGAGUGAAAUGAGAGUGACACAUUAAGUAUAGAAGCUGACAUAUAGGUAUAUAUAUGAUAUUAUGAAUGUAUUAGCCAAAGAUAGAGUGAUAAUCCAAAAUCUUCAAUAUGAAGAAUUCAACUAUAAAGGCUCCAAGGUAUUUUGUAUUUAAACUGACUAGGUUCGCAUGAACUUACAAACAUUUUGUUCGUGUUUCAAGAGUUCACUAGGAGAGACCAAGCCAGGGAUGCACUAGAGAAAUUGGUGAGGGGAUAUUAUGCGCACAAAUGAGAUCUUAGUAGUAUGACAUAUAGUUCUCUAUGCCAAUGAGAGUAUGUCUUUAAUGAACUUCUGUGUUUAAUGUAUUAUAUUGUUUUUAAGGGUCUGUUUGUAUUCUUGAACGUUUUCUUUAUCUCUUUUAUUUAGAAGACCUUUAUUAAAAUAAUAUGAAGUAAGUUGAAAAAGGAUUAUACACAGAUGGUUUAAAAUUUAUGCUAAGUGUUCGUAUGUGUAAACAUCCGUUAUCCAGAUCUGGUGAUUCGGGUUUGGUAAAAGGUGUUACAUAUAAUUUUUUUGAGAAAAUUAGUUAAUAAAAUUAUUAAUUAAUUACAUUAAUACUUUGUAUAUUGUCCUCACCUGGUUUUUGCACGCAAAGAAAAAUAGAAGAAAAUGUUGCUCAUUGGUUGUCUAAUGUUUAAAUAAUACUAAGCGGUAUUACGUGGUCGGAUCAUAGUAUGGAAAGAAAACUAUCAGUAGAAGAACCUAAAAAUGUCCGUAGUGUAAUUGGGGAUGAGCAAACCGAUUGAAAGACUAAUAUGUCGUCUAUCAAGUCUAAUUAGGGAGAUAUCUUAUCAUGGGCAUCGGAGCAGAUUACUUUCAGAAGAUAGAGACAUAUAUGUGACUGACAUGACUGACAGUACAUUAGAUAGGACCCAAGAAUAAUAGAUCCUAAAUCUGUUUAUGGAUUUAUUCACUUGUGAUGUUCAUAGGGUAGCAUACCUAAAUCCUGAGUGGAUGGCAGAUUAUGUAUGCGUGACUCGUACACUUUGAUGUAAUUAAAAGCCCGAGUUCAAAUAGAUACAGAACCGAAAGCUGGUGCGUUGGGUGUACGACUUUUGUAGUAUGUAAUGUCAUUGAAAAUAGUGGAUUUCAUAGCCCAAAACAUGGGUAAAUGAUAUCUUCUCAUUAGCAUUACUUGAUCACUAUUUGAUGGUGAUUGAAUUUUCAUGAAGAAAGAUGUAAUGAUUAUCGUAAGAUAAAAUAGGAUCAUAUUGGGAGAACAAAUAUUAUCCCAAAGAGAUCAAGGAUUUCCUAUGAGGGUAACACACUAAUGACAAGGUCAUUAGACGAUUACUGAGUAGUUGCUUUCGUAAUGGUAUGUCGUCGGAGAGAGUUCAACCAUGAUACUAUAGUGGAUUGACUUUAUGACUAAAUGAGCCUAUAAUUAAUAGGCAAAAAGUCAAAGCUUAAUUAUAAAACAUUUGAGCGUCAACUACAUAUGUCCAAUCAGUCCCUCCGCUAGCUCGUUGAAAUAAAAAAAUAAUUUCAUGUUUGAAUAGAAAUGAAUGAAAUGAAUAGAAGAAGUGAAAUUGGGAACAUUCGAGAAUGAUUAUGGUUUUCUUUAAAAUGGAGAAAUGGAAUCAUUUGAAAAUGAAUGUAGGUUUCCAAAAAUGGAAAUGAAAAUGGAAAUUUGCAAUCCUAUAUGGAUUACUUAAAAAAUGAUGGGAAUAAUGAGUUCAUGUUUUUAGACUAUUUUGAAGCCCGAAAAGGAGAACAAACUAUUCAACAAAAAAAUAUACACUAUUUUGAUCUCCUACUCUAUUUAGACUGAAUAGUUUGUUUUCAUUUUCUAUUUGAAAUGUCAACCGCUCUCCUACUCUAAGUAGGAAGUGAUUUUUCUAUUUGAAAUAAACCACUACAACCCAAGAAGGGUUCUAUAUUCUCUUCCUAUAAAUAGAUGACACUGAUAGAGCUAUUUACAUAAUUGUUAUUCUGCCAAAAAUAGAGAGAAUUUAUUCUCAACUAUUACAUAUAUUUAUCCGGAGUAAUAAUUCUAACAAUUACUAUUAAAUAAUAGAGAAUUUUUGUUUUCACCCCAAAAAGAAAAGAAAGCUUUUUCUAGUUCCGUGUUUUGUUUCAAUUGGUUCAAGCCUAUACUUGAAGUAGUUUGUGGUACGAGAAUAGUGAAGAAUAUCUUUUCAUUGAAAGCCAGAAAAUAUCAAGAAUUUGCUUAUCUGAAAAGACAUGUAUGAUUGUUCAAGGUUUAAUGCUAUAAAUACCACAUAUAUAGUCAGUUUUCAAAAUUUUAAUUUUCUGCUAUGCAAGAAAACUGUUUUCAAAAUAAGUUUUUUUCCAACAGUUUUGUGGAGAAGGUGAAUCAUAAAUCUUCUCUCCACUAUCGUUCUAUCCUAUUUAUAGAUAACCAAUGUACAAAUCCCAAUUAGGAUUAUCUCUAAUCAUUACUUAUUCUCGCAUGCUUCCACUAAUUAAUAACAUCUGACGAGGCUCUAUAAGUGUCCUAAUUAUUGACUCGUUCCCUCCACUAGGAUGUCAGAUGACUUAAACAUGUCUUACAAGCCAUAGGACUUACUUAAGGAAUGAUAUUGAAACACGAGUGAUUAUCUUAUUAGUCGGAAAGUCUACCUAAUAAGGUGUUCGUCCUAACUAUAUCCUCAUUUAUUGCUCAAAUUGACACUCCGCAGCGUUGGCGAAGUUCUUUGUAGUGCUCCACCACAAAGUUACCAACCUUAUCCGAUCUAAGUCUUGCAACUUAGGUGGCCUCCGCUAGUGUAGUCUCCCAAACCAAACCGAUUUGCCAAACCAGGAUUUGACAAAAAAAUUCAAGUACUAAGUUAAUAAAAAUUGACCAAUUCGAAGACUAAAUGUUACCUUAUAAUAAAACAAUAAAGAGGUUUAAUUAGAAAUGUUUAAGGUAAAUUACUCAGUUGGCAACCCAACUUUUAGGGCGCUUUCAUAUUAGUUACCCAAGUGUCAAAUCCGUAAUAAUGACAAACUGUAUACGCCGAAUCAUGUCCACAUCGUGUUUACACUUUCAUUUUGAUCACCCAAGUUCUAGGUCACUUUCAUUUUGGUCAUUGAAUUUUUUUAAAAUUUUUGAUCUAGGUAAAACCAUUAAGGAUUAAAGUGAAAAAGUGGUAGAAACUAAAAUGAUUGAUUAAAAAUUUGUCAAAUUGUACAAUUAAAUAAAUUGUUGAAACUUUUAUCCCUUGAAAAUGUCAACCGAUUUGUUACCAUAACAUUGAAAUUAAUUUAAUUAAUUAAUUUAAUCUCCUAAAUUUUAAAAUUUUGUUUUAUGUUUCCAAAUUAUCCUUAAUGAAAUCAACUCCAAUAAAUCAUAUUUAUUAAUUUUCUAUGAAACUUAAAUCUAUUUUGAUUAUAUAAUAUCGAAUCUUCCAUGUUAAACUAAAAGAUAAGGAAAAAAAUCAUUGCAAUUAAUUAAGUUAAUUGUUUGUUCUUCGUUUGGGUAAAGAAAUGAAAAUAAUUUUGGAUUUGUUUGGCAUGUAAGAAAGUUAGUUAAUAUAAGAGAAAAAAAUUAUUUAUUUUUUUUCUUAACAUUGAAUAUUCAAGAUCAUAUAAAAAAAAUUAAGUUCGGUAGACAAUUAUUAAAAAUAAGUGAUUUUAUUUGAUUUUAAUUUGGAAACAUAAAAUAAAAUUUUAAAAUUUAAAAUGAGGCUAAAUUAGUUAAUUUCAAAAUUAUAGUACCAAAUCGACUGACACUAUCAAGGGAAGACAAAAUUUCAGUAAUUUAUUUAAUUGAUUGUAAUGUUUUAAAAUUUAAAAUUUAAAAUUUCAGUAUUGAAAAAAAAAUUAGAACUUUGGGCAAGGGGGUAAACAAAGAUAAUAUGACAGUUUUUUAACUCAUUAUUUUAGUUGUUAUCGCUUUUUUACUUUAAUGUUUAAUGUUUUUACCCCCAUAAAUAUUUUAAAAAAUAUUUUUUGUGGUGACGAAAAUAAAAGCGGCCUAGAAGUUGAGUGACUAAAAUAAAAGUUUAAACAUGAUGUGGUAUGUACAGUCAACCAUUGUUAGAGAUUUAACGUUUGGAUGACUAAAAUGAAAACGCUUUAAAAGUUGAGUGACUACCACAAUAGUUUAUCCAAAAAUUUAAGAAUAAAGCUAAAAGUUGCAUUGAAAGAUUUAGUUGAAUUGCCCUUUUUCAGGGAAAAGUUAAGUAUGUUAUGGGGUACUUUGAUUUGACACUACUUUAAAGGCCUGAUUGAACUUUGAGACGACGAAACUGUCAUGUAUGGUGAAUCAGCUAGUUAUAAAAUCAAUUUUUUUACUCAAUUAACCCCCACAAUUAAUAUUUACGAAAAUGAUCGAAGUUGAAAACUUAUAACGAAAAUGACUUAAAAUCUAUAGUGUCGAGUGGUGCCGACACUCCGAUGGCCGACACCAAAGUCAAUCAUCGUGUAUUGAUUGCUUGUUAAUUGGGUUGGGGUUUAAAAAACUAAUUUUUUGAUAUAAGUUUUUCAAAAAUACAAGUAUUUGCCAGUUAAAAAGUAUUUUUUAUUAGGUUACGGCAUCUAGGUGGCUGACACGCCGACACCAGGAAAAAUAAUCCAAAAUUUAUGUUUUGGCAUUUUUUAGUUUUGGCAUUGCGAUGGCUGGCACUCGUGUCGAAUGGAUUUUUUUUGGUGCUGCCACCGGUGUGGUUUUUAAUUUUUUUGCCGGCGUUCUCUGGUUUUUAGGAACGGUGACUGUUUGGUUUUUCUUCAUUAAGCUUUGGACAAUGCGACUCCUAAACUUUCAAUUGCAUGAGAAGUGAUAUUUGAAGAAAAUAACACAAUAUCAGUAGAGAAGAGCACUGGAUAUUUGAGAAGAAAAAUAAAAUGAUUUUGAGUCCAGUUUACUGAUGAUAGUACUUAGUAUGUAAAAUAAACAAGAGAACAAGAAGAUGAAAAGAAAAAUGGAGAGUUGUAUAAAAAAAAGAAGAGUGGAAGAGAAGAAAGCAAGACAAAUUUAAAUUUGACAUUUAUGGUUUUAAUAGAAAAAAAAAUUUGUAUAUGGAAUUACAUUCACAAAUUUAAGUAAUGGAAUUACAUUAAAAAAUUUGUUUAUGGUUUUGAUGAUGGACUUUUGUAAACUUGUCAGUCGGAGGCCCGGGUCACAAAAGAGAUGCAUUUUAAAGGAAAGGAGGGAGGUAAAGGCAUGGAUAUAGUGGUUGAUUCAUCACCAGUGAGGGCUCUUUCUUGGAAUGAAAAACUUUUGGGGAGAGGUGCUACUAGAUCUCGAGACUCAUCGGGUGUUCCUGAUAGGGACUUGAGGAGGACUUCGACUUUCUAGAAUGAGGUAUAUUAGAUCUAUAGUUAAUGGGAUUCUGUCGAUUGAAUUUUCCAAUAGGGUACAACAAAUGCUGGAAAAGUAAAUGGCAACUACGAUGGUAGUCAAGCUAUUGGGGAGAAAUAUUGGAUAUAAUACUUUUCAAAACAAGAAUUUCAACUUGUGGAAGCCGCCUAGGCCAUUUCAACUAAUGGACGUUGAACAUGGAUAUUAUUUGGUAAAAUUUCAAAGUAAUGACGACUUUGAAAAAGUGUAAACUCAAGGACCGUGGGUAGUGUUUGGACAGUACCUAACUGUUUAGCCAUAAACACUGGAUUUUAACCCUCUCCAACCAUACCCAAGCAUUGUAAUGACAUGGAUCAGAUUGUCAAGUUUGCCUGGUUUUUUAUACAAAAGGAAAAUAUCUGAGGAGAUCGACAAUUUGGUCGGCGGAGUAGCAAAACUCGACUACAAUAUUGACAGUAAAUCGAGAGGAAGAUUUUCCUGAAUGACGAUUUUCGUGAACCUUGACAAGCCAUUGAUCCCUCAAGUUUUGGUGAAUGGUAAGGCUCAACUCAUGGAAUAUGAGGCUUUGCCGUCGAUUUGCUUUGGAUGUGGUAGGUACGGCCAUACGAAAAAUCUAUGCCCUCACAUUUUUGGUAACUAUAAUUCCACCAUAUAGAAGGGCGAGACGACAGAUCCAUCAAUAGGAGAAAAUACGUCGACCAAGGUGGCGGGGGCAUUUGGGUCGUGGAUGGUGUUGGAGAGAAAAAUACGACAGAAUUUUAGGGAGAAUCAGAAUCAAAAUGCUAGAAAUCAAGAGGAUUUUUUUGGAUCAAGAUUCGAUAUCUUGAACCCUCUGGAAGAUGGAAACGACGCUAUUAAUGGAGAUUUAGCAGAUCUAUAGGGCAUCACUAUUUAGAAAGGUGAUUUUAUUAAGAGUAAUGUUAGGGUUGAGGGAUAUGAUGAUGUUAGAAGUGGGCCAGGUAAGAAAGGUGUAAAUUAGAUUUCUAUAGAUAGCCUGGUAGGUGAUCGUGAGCCAAAUGGAAAUGAAAACCUUUAUGGGUUAGUAAAGAAAGGGCCUAGACUAAAAAAAAUGGUGUUACAUGUGAUUUUAGGUAGAUUGGGGAAACUAGGCCAAUGGUAGAAAAAGCAAAUUUAAUUCGGGCUAGCAAAUUAUAAGGGUGGGCGAAAAUUGGAAAGUGUCAUAUCUUUGCAUAACUUUAAUAAUUCAAAAAAUAAUUAUGGUAUAGUGGAUGCUAAUUCUGGAAAUUCUCACGAUAAUGAUCUUUUAAUGAAGGAGAUGUAUAUUGAUAAUGGGGCGAAAUUAUCAUUUAGUCCCUGUUUGGCUACGACAUCGCACUUUAAUCCUACCUUUGAGGGACUAGUUGAAACCACAGUAUCACUUAGUGGUAGUGUUUUGGAUCUAGGAACGCAUUCUGUUGUUACCUUCAAAGAAAAUUCUAACCUAGUUACUAAUAAGCAAUAAGAUGAAGUUAGACUCAGUGAUUCUAGUAAAAGCAUUCUAGUUCCUAAAGGGCAUAGUCUUGGGACAAAAGAGGGAUAUGUCUGAUGUAACACCAUAAACCCGGCCUAGACGUCCAGCCCAAGUUUAUAGAGUUACCUCAUCGAUUAUAAAACGUCACGCAACAACACAAAUAAGCUAAACCAUGUUUCAUAUCACAUUUAUCAUAAAACAAAUUAAUUAUAUAAUCUUCUAAAUUUCAUACUGUUAUAGUUUACCGAAAUUCCUCAUACUACUUAUAGAAAGAUAACGCUUGACAGAGCAUCCGUUGCGCCGACCCAUUCAAGACUGGGAACCACAUGAAAUCCAAUAAAAAACAAAAUGAGUUGUAAACUCAGUUCGUAAAAGAAGUUUAUUCAGUUAAUGUCCACUUAUAAGGUAGUUCCAAAUUCAGAGAAUUAGUUCGAUACAAAAUUAAUUACAGUUUAGAUUCACGACAGAUCAGUUACCUAUAGAUAUGCAAUUUCAGUUCAUAUACAAUGCAGGUAAGAUUUAGAUGCAGAUAUUCCUAACCCUAUCUGCUACACACCAUCUUCAACCAUCCCAACACACCGUUAAGUGCAUCCAAUACCCAAUCAACCUUACACACCACAAAGUGUUUCUCUGACACAUUUAUAGAAACACAUAUUAGCUGCUGGAUCAUAAUGUGACGAAGUGCCAGAAUCAGAACUAUACACAUGGUGGCUUAACCACUGAUUCAGAGUGGAUUACUUCCUUCAUCAUACAUCCCAACCCAUACAAAUACAGAGUAUAAUUAUCUACAAUACACUUACAAUUAUGAUAUUCAUACGUCCGUUACAGAGUAUCAGAGAGUUCUCGUUCAGUUAAAUUCAAAUCAUUCAUACAAUAAGGAAUCAAUAUCAGCCAUAAACAACAUUUACGACCUCAAAAAGGGUUUCAGGCCCCUUUUACGAUGCCAUACGGCUUGGACACACGCUCAUAUCCUUGCCCGUGUGGCUCAAACGACUUGGACACAUGCCCAUGUCCUUUACCCGUGUGGUUCUAAAACGUAAACAGAGAGUUACACGACUCGGACACACGACCAUGUCCUUGCCUGUGUGACUCACACGGCCUGGGCACACAGCCGUGUGCUUGCCCAUAUGGUUCUAAGUCACAAAUAGUGAGUUACACGGACUAGACACACGCCCGUAUGCCAUGCUUGUGUGGCCUCAAAUCGAUGAAUAGUAAGUUACACGGCCACCCACACAUCCUAGCGAUCCACACGGCCUAGAAACACGCUCAUGUGCUUGGCCGUGUGGCGUCGACAGCCACCAUUUUCGGUGAACAAAACUUGCAAAAGCUAAGGAUUUUGAUACGCGCUUAGUUUCUCUUUGAUGGGAAAUAAGACAGAGAUUACUUGAAAACUAAUUGAUCAUUCAGUAAUCAAUCAAUUGACUAAAUGACCAAUUAACACAACAAUAAUACACAAUCAACUAUGCCGAAUAAAUUGACACGAGGGAACUUCAACGACUAACGCUUAUCGAUGAUUUAACUCGAAUUUUUUGCGAGUACAAUAGAGAAUUUAAGCUUGAUAUCGUGGGAUUGUUAAGGACUAGAGUAAAUGGAAGUAAAGCAGAUUGUAUCAUUGCUAAAUUAGGUUUUCAGUUCUCUUAUCGGAUAGAAGCUAUUGGUUUUUCUGUUGGUAUUUGGGUUGGUUGGAAGGAUUUUAUACAAGUUGAGAUUAUCCAGAAUCAUUCACAAUUUCUUUUGGUUUGGGUCAUUUCCAAUGUUGUGAAAUCUCCUGUUUUUAUCUCCUUCAUUUAUGUGAGUCUUGAUAGAUAGAAGAGAAGGCUUUUUUGAGAGGGUUUAAAAUUGACUGUGUCUGAUGUUUCUAUGCCCUAGAUGGUUUUUGCUAAUUUUAAUGUCAUUAUAUCUUUCUGUGAAAAGAAAUGUGGACAUAUUCAUGAAAGAAUAUUCAUGAAAGAAGGUGUCCUUAUUUUAGGGAUUUUAUGGAGUCACCUGACCUUCAUGAUUUGGGAUAUAAAGGUCCCUCAUUUACUUGGCAUAGAGGUGGGGUUCAUGAGCGCCUUGAUAAAGCCAUAGGUAAUAAUGCUUGGAUUGAAGCCUUUCUGCAUUAUUUGGUGUCCCACCUUCCGAGAAUUAAGCCUGAUCACAGGCCUCUACUCAUGUCUCUAAGAUCAGAUGUUAUCCCAUCUAGAGGUAGACCUUUCAGGUUUUUUACUAGAUAGACUGAACAUCCAGAAUUCUCAGAGUUGGCUAAUAAUAAUUGGAGUUAUAAUGGGGAUAUGACUACUUCUAUUGCUAAAUUAACUUCCGAUAUUAAAAAUUGGAAUAAGUCUGUCUACAGUCAUAUUUGAUAUCGUAAAAGAUAGUUGUUAUAGAAACUUACUGGCAUUCAAAAGGUUAUGUGAAGGUCAGAUUCUAAUUUGUUAAUUUAGCAAGAAAUAGAGGUGCAUGAACACUUGGAGAGUGUCCAGCAUGAGGAACUUCUUUGGAGCUAAAAAACAAGAUGUGAUUGGUUAGUCUUGAAGGAUCAAAACAUUAAUUUUUUCCAUAGACGAAUAAUUCAUAGGAGAAAGCAUAAUAGGAUUACUGCUCUGAGGAAUGAGAACGAAGAGUGGGUUUUCGAUAACGCUCUGUAGGUUGAGGUGAUUAAGUUUUUUCUGAGUUUAUAUGGAGAGGUUCUUGAACCUUUGAGUGGAAUUCCAUCUAGUGCGUUUCCUAAACUUGAGAAUGCGGAGGUUCAUUUUUGAGCAAUGAAGGUACAGAUGAGGAAAUUAGAACUACCCUAUUUGAUAUGGCUUUGCUUAAAGCUCCAAGAAGCGGAGGGUUUCAUGCCUUAUUCUUUCAGACUCAAUGGGACCACAUUAGUACAAUUAUUUGUAAUUGGGUUAGGUUAGUGUUUUUCGAGAAAGCUAUUAAUUCAGAUUUGAAAUAACACUUUAAUUAUUCUUAUUCCCAAGGUUCAUAAUCCUGAAAGCUUUUCUUAGUUUUGGCCAAUCAGUUUAUGUUCAGUCCUCUACAAACUGGUAAUAAAAAUCAUCGCUAAUCGAUUUAAAGUAAUUUUUCCUAAGAUUAUUGCAUAAGAACAAGCAUGAUUCAUUUCUGAAAGAAACAUCAUGAAUAAUAUUAUUAUAGAUUAAGAAGUUAUUCAUUCCAUGAAAAACAAGCAGAAGAACAGAAACUGGAUGGUUAUUAAAGUUGAUUUGGAAAAAGCUUAUGAUUGGUUGAGAUGAGAGUUUAUCGAUACUUCUCUCCAUGCUACAGAUAUCCUUGAUUUUCUUCGUAAUGUUAUUAUGUCUACUAUUACGAACUCUAAUUUGCAGAUCAUGAUAAAUAGAGUCCCAAUUGAGAAGGUUCGACCUAUUAGGGGCAUCCAAUAGGGGCGUUCGCUUCCUCUAUACCUCUUCAUUUUGAGCAUGGAUUGGUUAGGACAUGGUAUUAAGUUUUCCAUUACCAUGGAUCAGUGGAAGCCUACCAAGUUUUCGCGCAUAGGGCCUACCCUUUCUCACAUCUUUUUUGCAGAUGAUCUCAUUUUUUCGAGUGAGUGGAGGUGUAGCAAGCCAAAAUCAUAAAAGGUAUGAUGGAAAGUUUUUGUGGUUAUUCCAGCCACAAGUUAAUUCUCGAAAGACGAACAUCUUCUUUUCUAAGGUGUUAACAAGGAGUUGGGGGAGCAGAUCAGUAGUAUUUUUUGUUAUCAUAAGGUUCAAAACCUCGGUACGUAUUUAGGGUACCCCCUUUUGAUGAUAAAGUUACUAAUAGUACUUUAACGUUUGUUAUGGAUAGGGUUUGGAGUAAGCUGUAUAGUUUGGAUGUGAGACAUUUGUCUCUGGUAGGAAGGUUCAUUUUGGCUCAAUCUGUCUUAUUGUCGAUUCCAAGCUAUUUCAUAUAGUCCAUGAUGGUCCCUAAAGAUAUUUGUGUAGAAAUAGAAAUCAUAGUUAGACAAUUUAUCUAGUGAUCCUCAGUUGGGGGAAGGAAAAUAACAAUGGUUAGAUGAGAAGAUAUUUGCCAACCCCGAUCUUGUAAGGGGCUGGGCAUUAGGCAUCUGCAGGAUCAGAAGACUUCCUUUAUGGCUAAGAUUGGUGAUGAUGAAUGCAAAUUCUCUUUGGGUAAGUUUCCUGAAGUCGAAGUACAAAGUACAAAGUUCAAGAUGAGACUCCAAAGGAUAUAUUGAGGGGAAGAUGCUCGUUUCUUUGGAGGGCCCUUUCAAAGACCUGGCCUCUAAUCUGUGAAAACUUAAUAUGGUCUGUGGGAAAUGGUUGCAGUGUUAAAUGCUGGUUGGAUCCCUGGCUUCCAAAUGUUUGGCCGUUUGUAGAAAAAAUCCAUUCAAAUUCUAAUCUUGAGAGGGAUUGUUUACUUUUGGAUAUGGUUAUAGAAGAUGGCAGAUAGAAUUUGGAUCUCUUUCAUCUCUGGUUAUUGAAGGAUAUAUUUAGAAAGAUUGUGGGGAUCCCCUCCACAUCCUUCUGCACGUCAAUAUAGAAUUAUAUGGGCUAGGUCUACUAUUGGGGCCUUUUCUGUUAAAAAUGCUUAUAGGAAACUUCGUGAGAUGACGUGGAAUCCAAAAAAUGGAUUAUGGCAGAUUCCGUGGAAAUUUCAUGGUCUAUAAAGAGUUAGAUUCUUCAUUUGGAUGAUGAUUAAAGAACGUCUUCUAACUAAUAUCGAGCGUGUAAGGAGGGGGAGAAGGAGCAACAGUUUAUGUGGAUUUUAUGACCAUGACUCUGAGGAUGGCUUACAUGUUAUCAGAGAUUGUAGAGCAACUAAAGAUAUUUGGUUACAUGUGAUUCUUGAAGAUAAGUGCAAAUGGUUUUUCUUUGGGGACUUGAAAGCAUAGCUAGUGGCUAACUUGCAGAAUCAGCCACAAAUUUUGUUUGGGGAGGUGGAAUGGUCAUGCCUUUUUGGGUUAAUCGCUUGGCGUAUUUGGAAAAUUGAAAUUUACAUAUGUUUCAAAGAGUAUCGUGGAGUGUUGAUGAAGUGAUUAAAGAAUCAUAUAGUUGGGCUAAACAAUAUGCUUCUACAUGCAAGGUGUAUGUGUCCAAAAGGAAUACAACAAAUUCCUGUCUGAUAUUGACAGGUAAUUGGAUUAAGUUAAACACGAAUGGUGCCGUCUGGGUGGAUUCUAGUUUUACUACUGCAGGAGGGGUUAUGCAUGACAUGAAAGGGAAUUGGAUCUUAGGAUUCAAUAGGUGUUUGGAAGUAUGUAUGUUCAAUGCUGGAGGCUGAGUUAUGGGGUAUUUUUAAGGGUUGCGAUUUGACAGAGUGUUGAUUAAUAUAGAUAGCUUGGAAGCAGUUUAGGUUAUUCAAGACAACAACUUAAGGAACUCAAGUUCAACUUUGGCGAGGCGUAUACAUCAACUAUUGGGAAGGACAACUCAAUGGCAUAUCCAACAUGUAUCUAGAGAAGAUAAUAAAGAUGCGGAUUUUCUUGCAAAAUGAAUCGUAGUAAUGAAGACGUUUUACUUCUGUUUGAACAACCUCUUUUAGGUGUUUUAGCUUAAGUCCUUGUGAACACUUUGAUUUGUUUUAUAUUCACCAAAAAAAAAUAAUGGUUUUUUUAUGGUUUCAAAGUAAGAAAAAAUUUAAUGUCAUUUUAUGGUUUCAUUAUGAAAAAAAGUUCUGUAUAGAAAAAAAUUUCUUCCCUCUGUCUAUUAUCACCUUUCUUAAAGUGUAUUAAUUAACUUUUAAUCCCCAUGUACAACUUUUUUUCUCUUAAAAAAGUUAAUUAAUAACCUUAAAAAACUUUGUUUAAGAUUUUUAAACUUAAUAAAAAAUUGUAAUACAUUAUUUAGAAAAUUUCAAAUCAUAUCAUUUAAAAAUAAUAAUGCAGUUAUAUUAUAUAUGUUUAAAAGACAUUAUCAAAUUAUAAUCAUAUAUCCCGUUUAUGCUUGUGAAAUAAAAUAUUUGAGCCAUUUUAAAGGAUUUAUGCAGGGUUAAAAUAGUAAAAUUUUGUAUUUUAAGAGUUAUUAAAUCAUAAAAGGAUAUUAAUUAACUUUUUUAAGAGAGAAAAAGUUGCACAUGAUUAAAAGUUAAUUAAUGCACUCUAAGAAAGGUGAUAAUGAAGAGGGGGAAAUUUUCUUUCCAUCUACAACUUUUUUACUAUUGAAACCAUAGAAUUGCAUUAAAUUUUUUCUUGCCUUGAAAUCAUAAAAAAUUAUUAAUGUAAUUUCAUAUACAACUUUUUUUUUUCCGUUGAAACCAUAGAUGUCAAAUUUAAAUUUGUCUUGCCUUCUUCUCUUCCACUUUUUUUUUUUACAGCUCUCCAUUUUUUUUUCAUCUUCUUCUUUUGUUUCCUUUGCCUACUAAGUACUAUUAGGAGUGUUCAGUCGGUUAACUGACCCGAAAUUGUAAUAACCGAAUUAACCGACCUCCCAAAUUUUUUAAUCGUUAACCGAACCGAAUUUUUUUAAAAAUAAUUAAUCGAACCGAAAUUUUUUUCGGUUAAUAAGGUCGGUUAACCAAUUUAACCGAAAAAUAUGUGUUGGUCAUUUUUGGUUAAAAAUUACCCGAAUUACCUGAAUUACCCGAAAAUUAUCCAAAUUACCCGAAUUACCCGAAAAUUACCCAAAUUACCCGAAUUACCCGAAGAUUACCUAAAUUACCCGAAUUACCCGAAUUAAAUCACUACAUAAUUAAAAACAUUACAUAAAUAUUUGAAUCACUACAUAAUUAAAAAUAUUACAUAAGUCUUUGAAUCACUACAUAAUUAAAAACAUUACAUAAGUCUUGAAUUAACACAUAAUUGAAAUGUAAGUUUUUAAUAUUCUCGAUUUAUAUCCAUUUCAUCUCUCCAAAAUAUAUUCAUUUCAUCUCUCCAAAAUAUCUCCAUUUGCAUUAAACCUAAAAAAAAAAAACAUGAGCAAAAAUUUAGCAUAUAAUAGAAAUAUACGCAUUUAAAAAAACUUAAAUAAUAUAAACAAACGAAUAGAUUAUAAAUUAACAAGAAUAAGAUAGUAGUAAGCAUACCCUUCAACUCACGAAAGCUCAUGAAUCUAGGGUAGGCUCUAAUGCAUUCCAAGAAAUGUCUAAACAUUGAAUCAAUUAAAUAAAUAAGGGUGAUAUGGUAAAAAAAUUGAAACUAUUAAAAUAAAACAAUAAACAUACCAUUUUCAAUCUUGUCAAGCUCUUGGAUUUGUUCUUCAAUCUUUUUUAUGUCUUCUCGUGAUGAUGAUCUUCGAAUCCAAUCUUGAGUACACACAAGAGCUUGUACAAUUUUAGGAGUUAAAGAACUCUGAUAUUGAUCAAGCACACGUCCCCCGGUGCUAAAUGCAGACUCUGAAGCAAUCGUAGAAACCGGUAUAGCUAACACAUCUCUGGCAAUUUUUGAAAGAGUGGGAAAUCUAGGGCUGUUCACUUUCCACCACAAUAAAAUAUCAAAAUCUUCAACAAAUUCUUCAUUAGCCUCAGCUAGAUAUUUAUCCAACUCAGAUGUUUUAUCCUCACCACAAAUUUCCAACUCACGCUUUUUAUACAAAGCUUGCAUUCGCCUUUUCAUUUUUUGUUGUGGUUCACCAAUAGAAACAUGUGUUGACACACUCGAUUGGCUACAAGUACUAUGAAGUGGAGGCUUAUACUCAUCAAACAAUUCAUACAAAGAUUCCUUCAACUUUUGCAUCAUUUCACAAGCUUUUUCAAAACUAGACAUUUCACUAAGUGCAAAUUCAAGAUACUUUAGUUUUUGUCUAGGAUCUAAAACACAAGCAACAAACAUAAGCAAAUUCAUCUUAUCAAUACCACCCCAAUACUUAUCAUACUUCUCUUUCAUCUUGAUGGCCAUAACAUUGAAAUCAAUAUUACUAUUUAACUGAGCAUCUCGUAAAAGAAUAUCAAUUUCGGAAAGAUCAUCAAAAAAUUAUUGGACGUGACAUAUGAAGUGCCAGAUAUACGCAAAGUGACUUCAUAAAAGUGUUCCAAGAAAUCCCUCAAGUUUCUAACAUUAUCCCAAUCAUCCACACUAGGCCAACCCUCUCCCUUUUCAAGUUUAGCCCUAAAGUUUGUAUCUUGCUCCUGAAAUCUCUCAAAAGCUCUCUCAAAGUUCUGAGCAGUGUCUAACAUUAAGUAGGUCGAGUUCCACCUAGUACAAACAUCAAGACACAACAUCUUCUUGCACUCUAUCUUUUCCACCACAACACACUCCUUAAACUUUUGUAAUCUAGUUGGAGAUUGUCUCACAUAUCUAACAGCCCCCUAACACGUUCAACAGAUUUAUUCAUUUCCUUUAAGCCUGCAACAAUAAUCAAAUUCACAAUGUGUGCCAUGCAUCUCAUAUGAAGAUAUUUACCAUUUUGAACUAAACCCCCUCGAGGGUUAAAUUUCUUUCUCAAAUAACCAAUAGCAACAUCAUUUGAACUUGCAUUAUCAACAGUAAUAGUAAACAACUUAUCAAUCCCCCAAUUCAACAAGCAUUUCUUAAUCACCAUCCCAAUCGACUCACCCUUAUGACUAGAAAUUGGACAAAAGUUUAAAAUCUUUUUAUUCAAUUUCCAAUCAUUAUCAAUAAAGUGAGCAGUGAUACACAAAUAAUUAACUCUUUGCAAAGAUGUCCAUGUGUCAGUAGUUAAGCAAACUCUAGAACAAGAACUUCUCAAAAUUUGUUUUGGCUUGACCCUUUCAUCUAGAUACAAUUGAUAAACAUCCCUAGUCAUAGUAGUUCGUGAAGGAAUAUGAAACCUAGGACACGCCACAAACAUAAAUUUCUUAAAACCUUCACUUUCAAUAAACUUGAAAGGUAAUUCAUCAAUCAGAAUCAUUUGUGCUAAUCCUUUCCUACAUGCUUCUUGAUCAAAUCUCCAAGUUGAAAGAUUCCCUUCCCCCGCCCCCUUCAACUCCCUUGCUAGGUAAAACUAGUUGUCCUUGACUAGUGUCAACUACAUUACUAGGAUUUUUCUUACAUGAACCAAUAUGAUAUUUCAAUGACCUUGCACCUUUUUUUUCAUAUCACAACAAAAUUCCUUUUCACAAUAAUUACAUUUAGCCUUACUUGCACCCUCACUAUUAAUAAACUUAGUGAAGUGAGACCAAACUUCUGACCUUUGAGGAGGAGCUUUUCUUUUCCUGGACGUAGUCCCCUUCGUUUGGAUUGAAGCUCCAACCCUCGAAUUUUCAGAAUCUAUCGAAGUAGGAGGUGUAACACUACCCUCAAUAGAUGUUGGUUCGGUUGACAUUCUGCAAGAAAAAAAGUAUAUAAUAAAUUAAAAUAAUACGACAAACUUGGGGUCAACUGUCAAGGACAAUAUUAUUUACAAAAUCCAAAAACUUAAUAAAUUGAUGCAAUAUUAUUUAGAUCAUUUACAUUUUUUAAUUUCUCCAAUAAUUAUUCUAAAAUAUAGCAUUUUAAACCAAGUGAAAUCAUUAGAUAAACCACCAAAGAAAUAGUUUAACAGAUAAGAAUAAACCUUAUGGAAGAAGGCAUGACGAUCUUAUGGGUCCUUCAUUCAUCCAAAUUCGACCACAAUUAUUUGAUACGAAAUAAAAUAUGUUCUGAGACUUAUUUAUUUAUGGAAAAAACACUUAUGAAGUCCCAAGUUAAAAAAAACCUAAUAAAUGAAACUAACUAAAUUAUUCCAAAAUCUUGAUUGAUUAAGUGUUUAAAUAGGUGAAGAUAAUGAUUAGACAUCGAAUCUUUAAUGCUAAACAAUUUUAUUCUUAACAAAAAGAUCUGAAAUAAUUAAUUAACCAAAUAAUUAAAAAAAGAGAAAAGAAGGCCACAAAGAUUAUAAUAUGAUGAUAUAAAUAAAGAAAACAGUUGUACUGAUUAUGAUAAUAAUUCUAGUCUGAUUAUAUAUACUUUUUUAUGAAAUAAUCUGAUUAUCAUUAUUAACAAAUAAAUAAAGUCAUGACGGAUUUUAAAAAAAAAAUACAAAGAUAAAGAAAGAUGGCAAGAAAAGCAACGUUUAAGAUAAGAACAAAAGAAAUAAAUGUGUUUCCCCAAUUGAAUAUUAAAUCGUCAUAAAAUAGUAACACAAUUUCUUAGACGUAUAAAUAUAAUAUUCUACAUGUAUAAAAAAUGUAAAUUCUCCGGAUAGGAUUUGCUAUAGCCUUUGGCUUUAAUCUAUGGAAAGGAUUAAGUUUAGUAUGAAAAUUUGUUACUAUUUUUAGUGGUUUCUCCUUAUGUUUAGAUAAUUAGUUGUGGUGUAUUACUUGAAAUAACUUUUGGAGAAUAAUCAUGAAAAGAGGGUAAGCUUCCAAUUCCUUCCAAACAAAAACUUUAUUCCAUUUAAUACACUACAUAGUUACAACCUUGUGCCAAAUGUUAAAUGUAUUUCAUUUGAACUUAAUCAGCAUCAUGUAUCAAACAGACAAACACUCAGUAUUUUUUAAAAAUUAUAAAUUCCAACACUCAAUAUUUAAUAAGUAUCCAUGCAUCAUGCACGUUUAACCAAUCACUAAUUAUUAUAAUUAAGUAAUUAAUUCCUUUUAGAACCUAAUAAUGAUGCAGAAUACACUUAAAAGGGAUCUAUAUUGUAAUUCUCACAUCCCCCAUGAUAGUUUAAGUGCGCUUUCAGCCUAACCCAUUAUUUUUCAUCAAUAAAAAUAACUGAAAAUGUCAGGCUCUUCAACCCUUAGCCUAUCAACCUCCUCCGUCAAACCUGGAUAAAUUUUCCCUAUAAAUAACAGUUUUGCGUGGCCCUAAGGUUUAAACAAAUAAGCUACAUUACAUACAAUCUUUGCAAUGUCUUAUUCAAGAGUUGCCUAUUAGCCCUUACUUUCAUUGUCCAAACAGCUUUUGGAGCUGACCCUCUUUUCCAUUUUUUUCCAUUAGAAAAAAAAAACGAAUACUAUCUAUAUCAGUCAACUACAGAGUACAAACCCAUUCAAGAAAUUGGAAAAAAAAAAGAAAGGGAAAGUAGAAGAAAGCAAACCUAGCUAUUGGUGUGGUGGUCCGACACUCUGACUCGGCGACUCUGGCGGAAGAGAAAUAGUGUGUGAGUGAAAGUUUAAGUGUGUGAUUUAGGGUGGGAUUCGACUGAGAUUGAGAAUAUUAGGGUGGGAUUUAGGGCUAGAGGGGUUGGGUGUUAACUGUUAAGUGUGUGAGUGAAAAGUGAAAACUGAAAGUGAAAGGGAGGGGGUAGAGACGUAGUAGUCGGGCUGCUGCAGUGCUGCUGAGAAAUGGGCAUUGGACAGUAGGUUUAAAUUUGGGCUGGGUUUAAAUUUAAUUGGUGUAGGCCCAACCCUGUUAAUUUUGGUUUACCCGAAUUUUAUUGGUUAACCGGUCCGUUUCGAACCGAUUUAACCGUUAACCGAACAAACCAAAAAAAUUUAACUGACCCUCGACCGAAGUUUUUCGGUUCACCGACCGAUUAACUGAACUCGGUCGGUUAACCAAAAAAUUUCAAUUUUAACCGACUAAUGCACAGCCCUAAGUACUAUAGUCAGUAAAUUGAACUCAAAAUCUUUUUUUUUCUUCUCAAAUAUUCAGCGCUUCUUCUCUACUGAUAUUGUGUUAUUUUUUUUCAAAUCUCUCUUCUCAUGUAAUUGAAGGCUUAAGAGUCACAUUUCCAAAGCUUUAAAAAGAAUCAAACGGUCACCGAUCAUGGCAACCAGAGCAUGCCAUAAAAAAAAAACCACGCCGGCGCUAGUGGAGAGAAGGUCGGCACCAAAAAAAAUAAUUUAAUCUGACACGAGUGUUAGCACCAAAAAAUACUGAAAAGUAAAAUUUCAUUAUUUCCCGAUGCCGACUACCUAGAUGCUGACACCUAAUAAAAAAUAUUUUUUGAACCAGAAAAUACCCAUAUUUUUCAAAAAAGUACACAAAAAUACAUACGCGUGUUAGCCAUUGCAGUGUCAGCACCAAAAAAAUUAUUUUUUAAAACCCUGACCCAAUCAACAAGCAAUCAUUAUACGCUGAUUGACAUUGGUGACGACCAUCGGAGUGCCGACACUGCCCGACACUGUAGAUUUCAGGUAAUUUUCGUUAUAGUUUUUCAACCUGGGUCAAUGUCAUAAAUUUUUUUUUGGUUAGUUGGGUAAAAAAGCUUAUAAAAUCACUACAAAUAUAAUAUUUUAAAUGGUAAAAGUAUGAUAAAGGCUCUUAUUUUAAGAGUAGAUUACAUUUUUCUCUUUUUACUUAAAAAAUAAGUAAAUUAGUCUUUUUUAUAUUAAAGGUACACGUGACAUUCUAUAUGUAAUUGUCUGAUUAUUCUAUCAAUCAAGUCAAUUUUUAUCAAUAGAAAUAGAAACUUUUUAAUAGAAAGAACUAAUUUACUUUUUAAUCCAAUGUACAAGAAUUAAUUUAUUAAUUUAAUUUUGCUCUUAAUACACAGAUUUUUUAUUUUAUUUUAAGCAUGAUCCAAUAAAUUAACUAAACUAAAAUCUGGUGUUUUUUUUCAAAAUUGAUCCAAAAAAUAGAUUAUUUAUGAAAAUGACCCAGGUGAAAAAUCUUUGAUGGAAAUGACUUGGUUCUAUAGUGCAUGUUGGUGCCAGCCAUCUCACCGUCGGCACCACCCUCCAUGAUCUCUUAAUCAUUACCCGAUGAUUGCCCGGUCAAAUAAAAAAUAAUUUUUUUGUGUUGGCACUGUGUUUGUUGACACCAAUAUGUUUUUUUUCAAAUACACUUAAAAAAUACAGUAUUCUAAGAUUAAAAAAAAAGAAAAAAUAAUAAUAUUUUAAUAGGUGUCGGUGUUCACGUUGCCAACAUAGGUUCAAAUUUAAAAAACAAUGUUUUUUAGUGUUGGUACUAACGUUCUCAUUGUCAGCAUCAGUGUGGUUUUGAUUUUUUUUUGUCGGUGUGCUCUAAUUACUAGGACCGGUGACUGCUUUUUAAAAAAAAAAGCCAAAGGCAUUUUAUCAUUGACAAAAGACUACGGCGUUGUCAUAUUUGUUGCCGUUAACUGCAUGUCCUCCACCGCCAAUGUCUUCUUCCUCUAUUUGCUGCUAUCAUCACACGACACUCUCCUCCGCCUGCUUCUUGUUCUUGAAGCGACCAUCAUCGACUUAUUCAACAUUAUGACUUUUUAUUGAUUGGGCAAUCAUCAGAUAAUAAUUAAAGGAUGAUGGAGGAUGGUACCGACGAUGAGAUAACCGACACCAACAUGUACUAUAAAAAAAUAGUUCAUUUUCAUUGUCGAAACCAUUUUUAUUUUGAAAAAUGGGGUCGACUUUUAAAACGAAAAUGGAGUCGCCACCAAUCUUUUUUCGAGGUGUGAUCUGAGAUUAAUUAUUUUAAUAAAACAUUUUGAUUUAUUAAAAUAAUGAUUUUGGUCUACAAAAUUCGAGAAAACGGGCUCGGAAGUUGGUUAUGCACGAGGAAGGAUUAGCACCCUCGUAACGCCCAAAAAUUGGUACCUAAUUGAUUAAUUAAUGUCUCAAAGUCGAAUGUCGAAAAUUUGAAAAGUUUAGAAACGAUUCCCCUUUUUAUUAAUGCCAUAUUUUAAAACAAUGCUUGGAUAGAUUUGAACGAAUGUAAAAUGAUUUCUCAUCCCGAGGCAACAAGAUGUCGUAUCCCCUAAGUUAGGAUGCAACGUUUGAAUUCCCGAGCAUAAGUUAACCUUUUAAAAAUAUUUAUUGAAACCUUGUGCAUUUGAAAACUAAAAUGUUUAGUCAUUUUAGUUCAAUGAGAAAAUCGAAACCCCGUAAGUUAGAGCACGAUUUCUCAUCGUUCCAAAGACGACAUAUUGCAAACUUCAUUUUCCCUUUUUUACGAAAUUGGAUCAAAGCGAAGGUUUAAUGCAAUAUUAACAAUGAUAUAAAUUUGAUUUAUUCGAAAUGAAAAGAAAUGAAAUAAUCAAAUUUUGGCAAAUAAAUCGAAAAUUUUAACUAUGAUGUAAUGUUCUCAUUUAAUAAAUUGUUUAAAACAACUAAUAAAACACAAUAUAUAAAAAUAUUGAAGCAAAUGAAGUAUGAAGAAAAAUUAGAAUAUCCAUUAUAUAGAAAAAAAAAGUAAUAUUUAUAAUUCAAAAUAAAUAGUAUGUAUAUGGAUGAAGUUUAAAACAAUACAUGAAUUAAAACAAAUAAUAUAUAUGAAUGUACAAUUUAAUACCAAUAAUAUCUACAAUUUGAAAUGAAUUGGAUAAUUUACAAUAAAUAAUAUAUAAUAAAUUUGAAAUAAUAAUACAUAUAAAAUUUAAAAAUUUUAUGAUAAUUCUAGAAUAAUCAUACGUGAUAAAUCCAAAAUAAUAGUAUAUAAUAAAUUUAAAAAUAUUAAUGAUAAAUUUGAAAUAGAUAUACAUGAUAAAUUUAAAAUAAUGUUAACAAUGAAUUUAAAAUAAUAAUAUUGAUAAAUUACAAAUAAUAAAACAUGAUAAAUCUAAAAUAAUAAUAUACAGUACACUUAGAUAAUAUUAAUGAUUAAUUUAAUAAUAAUAAGCAUAAACAUUCAAAUAAUAUCAGAUUUAAUUUUUUUAAAAAAAUAGCAUAAUAAUCGAUACUUAAAUAAAUAAAACACAAGCAAAUUAAAUCAAACUAAUGAGGAUUAAAUUGAAUUUAAAGCAAAAUUAAAAGGAAUAAAUGAGAAUAAAACAAAACUGAGGGCCAAAAUAUGGAAAAAAAUAGAUAGUAUAAAAAAAUAAAUUGCAAUUGAUAAUAUAUGGAAAAAAAAUUAAAGCAAAUAAUCAAACAAUUUAAAAUGGACGAUUUAUAACAUGAGUUUUAAAAAAAUAACAUGUGUGACAUAAUAUUAAAAACAAAUAGAGUAUAUAAUUAAUGGAAAAAAAAUAAAAGAAUGAUAAGAAUGGUUAAAUGAAUGAACAAUAUAUAAAUAAGAAAGUUGAUGGAUAAAUAAACAAAUAAAAAUAAAAGAAUAAUUAAUGAUUAAACAAUUAAAUGGAUAAAUAAAAAGGUUAAAAAACGCUUAAGUCAGUUUAACUCUUACAAUAUGAAGAUUCAAAGAAAUUCCUCCAUCAAAAUCCAACUCAAAUGAAAGCAACUUAAAAAGAAACAAAGAUGAACGAAGAACAAGAUAAGAACAAGCCACAGAAAAUAAGAACGCAAGAGAGGGAGAAAUUUGAGUGAAUGCUUUUAAGAAUUAUUAUUGCUCCAAACUUCAGUGUUUUACAAUGAAGGGAGAGGCCUCUAUUUAUAGUUGAGCCUCCCCAAAUCUAACGAUAUAGAUCAAUUACAUCAACGGCUAAGAUUAAAGGGUAUCUACAAAUUAAAUCUCUAAGAUUACAAAAUCUUAUCUUCUAAGAGUGCAUAUCAUAUCUUAGAUUGCAUAUUCUGGACCUUCAACCCACUACACCAAAACAAGUCUUUAGCGGCGUUUUUUUAGGCCUUUAGCGGCAAACAUCGCUAACGUUUGCAGCGUUUACAAAAAAAACCGCCGCUAAAGAUCAUAUUCUUUAGCGGCGUUUUUUUUAAGCGCCGCUAAAGAACCUGCUCUUUAACGGCGCUUUGUAAAAAACGCCGCUAGAGAUCAUAAUUUUUAGCGGCGCUUUUUUUACAAACGCCGCGAAAAGAAAUGUUCUUUAGCGGCGCUUUUAUACAAAAACGCCACUAUUUUUGGGAUUUUUUUAUAUUAAAAUUUUCAUUUUUUUAGCCCUCCUGUAGCAACAAAUCAAAAGCAACCAGAUCUAAACCAGCCAAAAACAAUAAUUUUAUAUAAUAUUUCAAAUUAAAUGAAUAAAAUAAUAUUAAUAUCAAUAAAUAAAAGUAAAUUCAUAUUAUUUUUGCAAAAAUGUUAAAAGUUAAAAUGAUAGAAAUAUUUAUGCAAUACACUAUGACGGCAGAAGUUGCGACUGAAACAUCUUCAUCAUACUCUAAAGCUGCUGCUGGAGUUCGUCGUACUUUUUGCUUUGCUCUGCUUCUCUCGCUGCAGCCUCUGCUUUAAGUUGUAGCUGGAGUUCUUCAUAUUUUCUUUGAACCUCUGCUUCCCUCGCUGUCGCCUCUGCUUUAAGUUGUAGCUGGAGUUCUUCAUAUUUCCUUUGAACCUCAACUAUGGUCGCUUGCAUCUGAGUCAUCUGAUCUUUUAACCUCUGAACUUCAGCUUGAGCCUGACUCCUCGAAGCCAUGUAUUGCUGCGAGCUGGAUCCAAAAUAUUAGGUUGGGCUAACAAAAGAUCCUUGAAAUCGAACCCGACCAUACCUUUCAGGACCUAAAACUUCAGUAAUAAUCCGGUUAUCAAUGUCUUCAGGAUGAACAGAACUAUCACUAGAAGCAAUCGCUUCGUACUCCGCCUUUUUAUCCUUUAGUUUUUCCUAAUAAAUAAAUCACAUAGUUAGGAACGCAAUAUAUAUUAAAAAACAUAUGCAACAUAACAAUAGUCGCAUUACAAGCAAUGAAUUAAACCAUUAGAAAAUAAACACUAUAAAUAACUAAAAGAAGUCAAAUCGUAUUAAGUAAACGUACCAUUAUUUCACCAGCUUCAGGAGUCAUGGGAGAUCCAUCUUUCUUCCUAUGUGUAAUUUCAAAAAGUUGAAGGCAUCAAACUUUUUGACCGGACGACAGUUCCUACAAUAUAGUAGUAAAAAUAUUAUUUAAUGGAAAGUUAUACAUAUUUGACAAUAUUAAAAAAUUAAAAAUACCUCCGCCUCAGCUACACAUGCAAAACUUCUCGACCUGGCUGUGUGAGUGAAUUUUUGUUUCUGCCUACUGCUUUUUCCAACUCGUUCACGAUCCUACGUUAUGAAAUUUUUAGUACGUAAAUAGUAAAUACUAUAAACCAAAAUAAUUACAAUAGUUUGGAAGUACGUCAUACCUUGCCUUUCUUCGAAUGCCAAAAUCUAACCGCAUCUUCCCAUUGGUACCUCAACAUACCCGGCAGGACAUUUUGCAAUUUCUCAUCGAGGGUUAUUUUUGUCUUAUAAUAAUUUUUCUUCAAAGUACUUUUAUGGUCUCUCCAUCUUUUUCCCAAUGCCUUCUUUACAUAAGCAUCCGAGACCUCCAAAGCAAACCUCGCCUACAAAAAACACAAGUUAAUAAAGUAAAUAUAAAUGAAACUAUUUCCCAAGCAUUACAGAUGACAUUAACAUUUUGUUACCUUAAUAUUAUCGAGGGCUUGGUUUUUGUUGCUAUCGGGCAUUUGAUGCCAUGACUUAUAGUUGAUAGGCAACAUAUUCGCAUUUUGUGCUAAAAUGCCCAUGUAUCCUGCUAAAAGUUGAGCUUCUGGUCCAACAGGCUGACCAAAACUAUUUCGUCCAACCUUGACACGCUCGACUGGAUCUAACUCGUAUAACUCUCUAAGCAGCGUACGUCCUCGACCUCUGCACGUCCCACCAUUUUCAGCUACAAAUGGUAUAUUAUAAUAUAAGAAUUUGAAAAAUAAAUCAAUUAUAAGUCAACACGCAUGUAAAUUAAAUGUAAAAUUACUUUGAACUUCUGUAGGAUCCUCAGAUGUAAUCGGAACAUUCGAAGAUCCAAUUGCUGUCUGUUGUUCAAUACUAUUUGUUUCUGUCGAGUUUGGAUUAUUUUGAACCAUGCUUCCCCUUAGAAUUUUUCUUCUAGGCAUUUUAUCUGCAAUACACAUAAAAUAGUUGAAAACUUAAUAACUAAUUACAACAAUAACAACACAUAUAAAAUAAUUGAAAUAUAUAAUAAGACCAAGAUUUAAAUUAUUAUAUUACAUAUAAUUAAACAAUCGUAAAAUCUUACUCCAUCAUUAUUCGUAAAUAUCUUCAUCCGUAUCUUGACGAACCCAUUGAAAUUGUGCACUAGUACUAGGGAUAUUAUCGUUUAAGUUUUGUUUUGGAAAGGGCAAAGUUUCUGAUCUGUCGUCGAUGUUAUCUCUACUUCCACUGCCCAUGUCAAACAAGUCUCUAGGGAUGUUACGAAGUAUAACGUACUAACCCUCAUCAGUUGGAUAUUUUGAGUAAAAAACUUGUUUGACUUGAGAUGAGAAUACAUACGGCUCAUCUAUCACUUGUUGUCCUAUAUAAAUCAAUCGGGCGAAGUUCACCACUGUAAAACCAAAUUGAUCUUGCUUAAUUCCACGAGCAGUAUUAACAUCAGCCCAAUCACCUCGCAAUAAGACAACUUUCCAUUUGCCGUAGUUAUCCAACUCAAUUAUGUCAGUAAGAAGUCCGAAAUAUUCCACAUUUCCCUCAACAAGAUUAUUGUCCCUAGCACUAGCAUAACUUGUAAUUGAGGAAUUAACAACUAUUCCACAAUCUUGCUUUCUCCUCAACCUCUUGCGAUAUUUUGUAUGAAAUCUGAAUCCGUUGAUGAGGAACGCACUAUAUCUUUUAACCACUCGAUCUGGACCUUGGGAGAGCCAUUUAACUUCGUCGUUUACGUUCUUCCCACUCCGAACCUAUUGAAUGGAAAGUAAACCGAGUAAUUAAAAAUUAUUCAAUGUAGACAAUAUUUCAUAGCACACACCUCAAAAAUUUUCACAAACAAAAAGAAAAACAAUUAAAAAAAAGAAAAAGAAAACCCUGAACUACUAGAAUUAAAGAAACCUAUAGCAGGCAGAAAAAUGUAAAGCAACCUUCUUUGUAGCAGGCAUGGCCUCAAGUAUUAUAACCACAAAGAAUAUCUGACAACAAUUGCCUACACCAAACCAACAUGGACUUGUAAAACAAUUCCCACAAGAAGUUGGGUUAAUUUUAUAUGAAAUAGUUUCCCCGCAAAAAUCUAGCUUUUUGGACUUGUAAAACAACAAAUCCAAGUGAAAUGACUUUAGUUUAAAAUUUAAAUUACGGCACUCUCCGCCAUUCAGCCAAUAGUGCUUUUUAAAGAUAUACAAGUAAAGAAAAACAAACUGAAUGAACAAGAUAGGGAAUGACAAGGCCCAUGAGGAAAAUAAUGAAAAAAAUAAAAAUUCAGAUAAUAGUUGAAACAGAACUAACGGUUCUAGGAGAAACUUGGACAAGCCCAGAUACAGAUUUAUACACUUAAGGUAGCCAAAAUUUUCAAUGGCAGCAAAAAUGAAAAAAAAAUGUAUAUAUAUACAGAAAAAGGAACUGAAAUCUUGUAGAAAGAGAAGAGGUGGCUCACUUCUCGGACGUGGAUAAGCAGACGGAGAAACAACGAAAAUGAAGCACAGAUUCAAAAGAGAUGAUUUAAGAGAAAAAGUUUUAUAUUUAUUUAUUCAUUUGCCUUACUAAUAAUAUCAAAUUCCAAGCAGGAAAGAAAGGUUGAAUUCCAAGCAUUGAUUUUAAAUGUCAAAGGAACGAUGACACCUUCGCCGAAGAUCUCCGGUGUGUCAACAUCGUCGACUUCCAUGGCUGAACCUUGGUCGUCUGGGUCCGUCACGAAUUCCAUCGGCUUCUAAGCUUCUAGGGAUUUCUUUCCCCCUUUUUCUUUAGGCUUCUAGGGAUUUCUUUCGUUGUUUUAAUUUUAAUUAUUUCUGUUGAAAUAUCUUUCCCCUCUUUUCCUUACAAUAAAUUAUGGAUUUUGUGGCGUUUUUAGAAAAAACGAAGCUAAAAAAAUUAAAUUUUUGUAGUGAAACGGCACGUUUUGGAAAAAUUUAAUAAAUAUUUGCGGCGUUUUUUGUCCAAACGCCGCUAUUGCUUACCUUUUGCGGCGUUUUUCUCAUAAAUGCCGCUAAUGGUUGAUUUUUUUUAUAAUUUUGUAUUUAAUUAUUAUAUAAUUCAUAAUCCAUAAUUCCUAAUUAUUUAAAUUAUUUAAAAAAAAAGAAAAUCAAGAAUUGUAGAUUUAAUGUUGAUAUUAUAAAUUACUGGUAAAUUCAAAUAAAAAUCUAUCUUAUCUAAACAUUUUAAAUAUAUAUAUAUUUUCAAAUUGUUAAAUUUCAGUCCUAUAUAAAUGAAUCACCAUCCUGUUUCAACAUUCGGCUUUCGAAAUUUCAAUGGAAUUUACAGAAAAUAUUUUGUUAUUUUAUUUAAUAAUUAGGUGUUUUGUGAGAUAAUAAGUAAGAAAUUUAAUUGACAUAUUAUCUUAAUAUGUUAUAAAAAUACUGUUAUUAUCUUAAUUAUAUUACUUACAUUCUAAUGAUUUAUCGGACCUAUUCCAUACACGUGUCAAAUCAGAAAAAUAAUACAACAAUUCUGUAAAAAAAAAUUCGGUGUUUACUUCAAAUAAAUAAGGAAAAUAAUAAUUUGAAUGUUUCAAAAUUCAAUUUUAAACCGAAAAAUCAAAAUUUAGAGGCAAAAAAGGAUCUUUUUCGACGAAAACUGCGGCAAACUGCCUUCGGCAAUUUGUCAGGGCGUAGAUCUCGAAAAGUUAUUCGAGAUAAAAAAAAUGGCCUCAAUUGGACAACCGAGCCAAAAGUUAUGGCCUUUCAAAAUUUUCCAAGCUAAAAAACAUAAACUGUUCAUGAAUUAUUACUUCAAAACUCACCGUUUCGUUUCCAUUGAUUUCAUCGUGCACCAUUUCAAUUGAUUUCACAAAUCCCGCCUCUAAUCCUCCCAAAAUUUGACAUCCCUCCAACUCUACACAACGAUUCAAAAUGCUUUCUUUUUCAGGCAAAAUACCAAAAAAGCCCUAUAUUUUUAAAAUUUAUCGAAAUGGGCCCGGUAUUUUAUUAUUUACCGAAAUGGGCCAUUUUUCCCGAAAUCGCGUCCACGUCAGCGCGAUACCAGGGGACGUGUUGAAACUCUAAACCCCAAAUCCCUAACCUAAUUAUUGAAACCUUAAACCCCAAAUCCCUAAACCCUAACCCCUAAAUCCCAUAACCCAUAAAUCUCUCUAACCUCUAAAGCAUAACACUGAACCCCUAAACCUUAAUUCACAAACCCAAAAUCCAUACCUCGGCCUACUCCUUAAACUCUAAACCAUAUAAUAUAGUGAUAAUUAAUUCAAUAUUUUUAAAUUAAUACUAUCUCUUUUACGAUUAUAUAAGAAAUUAUUUAAUAUAUAAGCUAAAAAAAUCAGUAAUGUAUCCAAAAAGCUUUAAAAUUAUUUUAAAUAAUAGUAUUUUAAUUUUUCCAUUUUUAACAAAUAUUUUAAAUUAUUUUAAAUCCCUGAGCAUUAGCGGCGCUUUUGUAAAAACGCUGCUAAAUCCCCGAAAGCUCAGAAAACGGCAUCGUUGGGUUUAGGUUUUUUUGCGGCGCUUUCCCAAAAACGCCGCUAAAGCCCUGAGCAUUAGCGGCGCUUUCUUAAAAACGCCGCUAAAUCCUCAAAAGCUUAGAAAACGGCGUCGUUGGGUUUAGCUUUCCCAAAAACGCCGCUAAAGCCCUAAGCAUUAGCUGCCCUUUCUUAAAAAUGCCGCUAAAUCCCCGAAAGCUCAGAAAACGACGCCGUUGGGCUUAGUUUUUUUUACGGCUUUUUCCCAAAAACACCGCUAAAGCCCUGAGCAUUAGCGGCGCUUUCUUAAAAACGCCGCUAAAUCCACGAAAGCUCAGAAAACGACGCCGUUGGGCUUAGUUUUUUUUGCGGCGCUUUCCCAGAAACGCCGCUAAUGCCCUGAGCAUUAGCGGCGCUUUCUUAAAAACGCCGCUAAAUCCACGAAAGCUCAGAAAACGGCGUUGUUGGGCUUAGUUUUUUUUUGCGGCGCUUUCCCAAAAAUGCCGCUAAUCCCCGAAAGCUCAGAAAACGGUGUCGUUGGGCUUAGGUUUAUUUGUGGCUUUUGAGCAAAAACGCAAGUAAAGUCCUGGGUAUUAGCGGCGCUUCUCGAAAAACACUGCUAAAUCCUCGAAAGCUCAGAAAACGACGUCGUUGGACUUAGAUUUUUUUGUGGGGCUUUAGCAAAAAUGCCGCUAAAGUCCUGGGUAUUAGCGGCGCCUCCCGAAAAACGCCGCUAAAUCCCCGAAAGCUCAGAAAACGGCGUCGUUAGGCUUUGGUUUUUUGUGGCGCUUCGGCAAAAACGCUGCUAAAUCCGCUAAAGCUCAAAAAAUGGCGUCGUUGGUCUUAGGGUUUUUUGUGGCGCUUUGUCAAAAACGCCGCUAAUGCCCCGAAAGCUCAGAAAACGACGUCGUUGGGAUUAAGUAUUUUGUGGCGCUUUCGCAAAAUCGCCGCUAAUGCUUAUUUCAUCGGCGUUUUCCAUGGAACGCUGCUAAUGGUCGAUCUUUAGCGGCGUUUUUUAUCCAACCGCCGCUAAAAACGCCGCUAAAAGUCUGUUUUGGUGUAGUGACCUUUUCAAGUAAUGAGUCAUUCCGAUCGGACCAAAUGAUAUAAUUUUGGACUGGAGUUAGACUUUAUUUUAUUAUUUUAAGUUUUUUUGUAAACUCGGGCUAAAUUGACCUAUUACAUUCAUAAAUAAAAUUUAUAUUUAAAUCAUUUUUGUAAAUAAUCAAAUUUAAAACCCACAUUUUACAGUGUUGUGCUUCUGGAUUCAUCGUAGGCCUAAGAGUUGGCAAGAUCAUGAGUGACAUAGUGGGUAGUUGUUGUGUAAUGUCAAUCUACAGAAGACACGUAAUUAGAAAGUGACAAAAUUAUUGUCCUUCAGUUGUAGGACAUCCCAUGCAUUUACACUUUGAAAAAUAAUGCAAAGAGCUGACGCGUAAGGACAGCAAUUAAUGGUACGGUAUUCAUCUGUCUCAUAAUUAAUUAAUAUGGCCACAACCACAAGGCUUGUGCCAAAUCACCCCCUACUUCAUUUGACCCCAAUCUGAACUGAAAACCAUGCCUCCAACUUCUUUGCUCCUUAGCUGGGACUGAAUUAUGUUAUUUUACAUUUCCUAUUUGCUUUAAUAUUAUAGAUGUAUAUUUAUUUUAUUUACCCUAUACAAAUUUACAUUAUCCUCUAUCAUUUUAUUAAAUAUAUAUAUAAUAACACCCUUAAACAAUUAAAUUAGGAUUCAACUUUUUAUGGGUUACUUAUUUAAUGAUUUAACCUUUCAAAAUGGUCACAUGAGCGUUACUUUUAUAUACGUAUUUAAAUAAGAGUUUUUCAUACGCUUCAAUUAAGUUCAUAUUAAAAAUUAGUUAAAUGAUAAUAUGUUUAGAAUAAAAUAAAUAACAACUAAAUAAAAUAUUAUUUAAAAAGAAAAGAAAAGAAUAAUAACAUAAUUUGAAACCCAAUAUACGAUAUCUAAGAAGCCAUUAUUUUUGUAGUUUUGAAAUGGUUUGGCUAUUAUUUAAGCACUUUCGAAAAGGUUCGGCCAUUGUUUGAACAUUUUGAAAAGUUUAGCCUUCUUUUGAGCACUUUUGUAAAGAUUAGGCCUUAUAUGACAAUUUUGAAAGAUUUGAUCCUUAUACGAGCUACCCUAAAAGGUUAGACCUCAAAUUGAGCAUUUUUAGCUUUUGAUUUAUUAUUAUUAUUGUUAUAACAUUAAUGUUAUAUAAAAUGUUGAAUAAUACAAUGAGUGUGAUUCACACUAUAAGGGGGUGUGAAGAGCCUCUAGAAUGGGGCAAUUUACACCAUAGAUGAUGCGAUUGGAUUUUAAGUUGUAACACCUUGAAUAAUUUAAGUCUGUUUUUGUGAAAUUUAGGGUCUGUCUGAUUGCCAGUAAAAUGUUUUCCGUAAAAUAAUUUUUGGAAAAUGUUUUACUUUUCUAUAAAAUGAUUUACUGGAAAAUAUUUUUUGGUGUUUGAUUGAAUCCGUGUAAAAUAUUUUCUGCUGUUUGGCAGAUUUCCUGAAAAUAUUUUUCGAAAAAGUUAUUUUUACAUAUAUUAAUAUAUAUUAAUAAAUUUUUAUAUUUUAUUGCAAUGAUUUAUUUAUAAUAAUACUCAAUUAUUAAGCUACAAUAUUAAUCGUUAAAUUAAAAAAAACUAAAUUAAAUAUAUAAUAAUACUCAAUUAUUAAAAUAUAAAAGCAUUGCAAACUACUUCCGAAAUUUACUAAUUAGUAGUGAAUCAAUUGUAGUGAUCUCCUGAUGAAAUUACGCUCAGCAUAAAAGCAAUUUUUUUGUUGUCUUACAAACAACACAGAUAGCAUCAUUAUCAAAUUUCAGCCACUCUCAAGUAUAACCAAUUCCUUAGCCAACCAAUCUACAUUGUAACACAAAGCUAACUCCUAUAAAAAUUAUCCCAAUGCACACAUUUACAGAAAUAAAUAUGUAUAUAUGUAUGCAUUCAACAAAUACAUAACCAUAUGCAUGCAAUCAGCUAUGUUCUUUGAAAGCUACUACUAGAUCAAGCAUUGCCCCAAUACCAUAGGUUGCCAUCCAAUAGAGAGGAAAAAAUACAAGCAAAGAACCCAACUUUUUACUUAGACAUAUGGCGAAACGUGCUCAUGCAACUGGUAAGAAAAAAUCACUCAUGGCCCAAAAAAGAAUUUCAUAAAACUGAUAGUAAAAUCAAAAUGAAUGAUACAUACAAUCAAAAUUUUCAACUGACACCUAUUGAUUUAAUACAACCAGGUAAAGAGGCCGACAACCAUCUGAUAUCUAUGAAGCAAAUGAACUAGCAAUAUACUAGAAAUAUCAGCAAUUGCAAUCAACAAAGGCAACAGGCUCCAUUGAAGUCCCCAAUUUAAAUCUAUUGAUUUAAUACAUGCUCUCAUUGAAGUCCCCAACUCUAGGAAUAUUGUUCUGCCAGAAGCUAGUCAGUUAAGCAAAAUCAAUAAAAAUUCAAGAAACAUAAACCCAAACCUAGAUAAACUACUGCAUUUAUCUUACGGUGCUUGCCAAUUACGUUGCCAUGAUUUCCAAUUAUAACAGAAAUGGAGUUCUGAAAAAGACCGACCCGUACCCGGGGUUCUCUUAACAACUCUUUGUCAGCAGAAAAUUUGAAAGCCUGGAAUGAUUUGAAAUGGAAAAGCACUUAUAACUGCCUUCUACAAUAUACUUGUAUUGAAAUGACAAAAAUUGAGGCACAAGGUGAUAAGAGCUAGAAAGGGGUGCAAGUGAUAAUAGACAUUAACAUGUCCUUACCUUCCAAUAAAUUUAAAAUGGCAUAUCCAUCGCAAGAAUUUUUAUGAUUUGUACCCUCGACAACAUUGGUGAAGAACAACACAACCUAUAAAAUUGUUAUAAGUAUCCUAAAUUGAGAUCUACCUUGAUCAUUAGAGACAAGAUUAGUGCUUUGUUGUAGCACAAUUUAAAAUAAUUGUUUAUGAAAGCAAGACAAUGUGCAAGUACACAAGCAUGAGAGCAACGGAGCUUUCAAUUUUAUCUAUUAAUGGUUUUCACAUGUCUUGAGAGAGAAUAUGAUUGCUAGAUAUUACAAAAGGUUAAACAAAAAAGGUAGGCUAUAUUCUGUACUAGCUCUACAAGUUCAGAGUACAAAAACCACAAGCACUUCUAAUAAAUCAAAUUCUACAGGUCUCUAAUGGUCAGAACCAUUACUCAUUUAUCUUCAGAAAACAGGAGUGGCGAGUUGCAAAAAUCUAUACCUCAUCAACUUCCAUUGAGAGAUCAUUCACACUUUGCCUAAGUAAUCCUUUCAAUCUUCCUUUCUUGAAAUCUGAAAGCUCAGCACCAAUGUUGUUUUCAAAAAGUGAAUCAACAUCUUUAGGACUACAAUCCAUAGACUCUUUAUCAUUGACCACCAUAUACUUCCCUUGAGACAACUCAGAUGCAUUGGAAUUGGACAGAGUAUUUUUAUCUUCUGACAACAGGUCAGCUAUUUGACAAGCAUAGAAGCUAAAGAAAUCAGGUCCAGCUUUACAUUGCUUACUCGAACCAUCUGAAUUUCUCGGCAUCUCUGACAUGAUAGAAGUACUACUACUCUGCAUACGACAACUACAUAGAUAUGAAUCAGUCCAGACUCCAGAUAAAUAACUGAAGCAAAAGAGGAAGAAGCACCAUUAUAUAUACUAUACAAAUUUCUCUCUAAAGCUAUAUUUAGAAACAUGAAUUUGAACAUUUGGAUUUAAUUUCAUUUGUUAUAAAAAUCUACGGAUAAAUAAAUAUUGAUGAGCUAAGAUGAUGGAUCUCUAUAUCAAUGAAUCGUUAUAAUGCAGUAAUGUUGGAUAAAUAAAUAGGCACUUGAAGAUCAAACUCAUGUUUUGAAGAGAGGGCUUUAGCUGAUUCAGGUGGAACAAUAGUUUCAAGUGUUGUUCCGCAAUUCAGCCUUAGAAGCAAUCGGCUGACUUCCUGUUAAUAAACCAUAACAAAAUUCCAAAAGAUUGUUACUUUCACCAGCAAUAAGAUCAGUAGAUUUUGACUUUUAAUAGGCAAAACAUGUUACUUGUUAAUGAGAUAAACUGUUUACAAAUUCUAGGAUCGUCUGCAAUGAUUAUUUCAGUGGCAAAAACUGACUAAAAUGACAAUAACCAAUCAAUUCAUAAUAGACAAUAUGAAAUGGGUUUCCUUUUUCAUGAUCAAAUUUGCUUUUACAAUAUAUAUAUAUAUAUAUAUAUAUAAGCAAGAAAAAUAACAGGAAAGACAAAUAAAUUACAACCCGGAAAGUGGGAAAAAAGAAAAAGAAAAGACCUGGUAGAGUUGAGGCUUGAGAUUUGCGCUCAAGAGGUGGUGAAGCGAAUUAUACCCACAAAUUGAUCCAUAUUUGAAACUUUCUUUUUCUUCUGUGCUUCCAUUUUCUUUCCCAAUUCCAUCAGUUUUUUCAUUUUCUGAUUCCCUCAAUUAUUGCUCCGAAAUCAAAACAUAGAAAAAAGGUUGAUGAACGCCGGUGUCUAGUGUUAAGAAUCGAUGUUGGUUGAUGGCAAGCAGAAGAUCAGGUGUCAAGGAUAGGAGAAAGGGAAGGGCAAGGGAAAGGGAAAGGGAAAGGGAAGAUCGAUGUCUAAAAUUUUCUUGAAAAUGUCUUAUCGAAUUAGAAACGGUAAGAUAUUUUCCAAAAUUAAAGGCUUCUUUUUCCCGUAUUUGUAAUUGAUUUUACGUGAAGAAAAUAUUUUCAGCCAAACAAACACUGGAAAAGGCUGAAAACCUUUUCCGGAAAAUGUUUUACUACAAUCAAACAGAGCCUUAACAUAAAAUGUGUAUUUGCUUCAGUGGUUAAGUGUUCUGGGUGUGUGUAUGAGGUUUUGGGUUCAAGUCUUUAUUUUGGAAUUUUUUUUUAUUUUUUUAUCCAAGCCUUAUCUCUAUUAGGUGGGCUUAUGUUUUAUCUUUAGUAAACCCAAAUCAGAAUGAGCCUGUUGGUUCGAGCAAUAACGAGUUAGCUUGCUGAAGGUCCUGUGUUCGAUUCCCUGUGUGAGCGUGGAUGAUAUUUUUGUUUUAGUUGUGAGAUAGAGGUUAGGUGAAAGUAAAAUUCUAAGGUGGUGGAGAGUUAGUCGGUUAGUUAGUGGAAUAAUGGAAAGUUGAGAUAUUAGGGGUUUCAAAUUUUAUUUUAAUUUUUUUUCUUCUCAAAGUUUUUGACGUCAGUUUUAUUUUAUUUUUCCCUCUUUUAACAUUUUUACCUUCUCGGUAAAAUCCUUUUCAUUUCUCUUUGAUUCUAUUCGUGAAUCCCUCGUUCAAAUCAUUGCUACUGUGAUUUUUGGGUUCUUUAAUCGGUUGGUAAGUAGAACUUCGUAUCUCUUUAACAAUUGGUUUGAGAUAUUGGCAAUGUUAAGUUGUAGCGAUUAAUUAGUAGAUUCUGUGUUUAGGAGAAGAUUGUGAAGCAGAAAAUUCACUCCGACAGCCUAAUCCGUGUUAGUGGUGGUUUUCAUUAACGAUAAGUUUGUGAUCGUUGUUGAAUUUUUGUCACGAAUUUGUAAAUUGGUUGCUAAUCGGGGUUAGAGAUACUAUUUACAGGUUUUUAUGGUCUCGGGAUUGAUUAUACUACAAAAAUAAACCAGGUGUGUAACCCUAACGUGAGAAAAUGAGAUUCGACGAAAGUUAAAAUUUAGGUUUGUCGACGCCACACUAGCGUGUGCCCGGUCGUGUGCAAGACAUGGUCGUGUGACUUAUAAGGGUAUGGCCCUGCGUAAGACACGACCGUGUAACAGUGUUAGUGUGGCUGUGUGGACUUCACGGGCUGGGCGAGAUUGGCCGAAUGGGCCCAUACGGGCAAGCCACAUCGACGUGUGGGCCCAUAAUUCUAAAAUUUUCCCUAGGAUCUCACUGGUCGUUUUGAUUGAAUGUGAACCUAUUAUAGGGUCGGUAAGGGCUAAUCAAACUCUAAUUCAUGUGAUCUGAUAUUCUGAUAGUCUGAUUUGAGUAGGACAUUGAUAUGUAUGUAUGACUGUUCUGUUUGAGUAUAUAUAUAUGUGUUAUCUAUAUACGAACAUGUGUUAAUUAUGUUAAUUUUGUAUUAUGUAUUGUGUUUAGGGUGGGAUUUGUAUAUAUGGAGGAAGUGAUCUGUACGGUGACCUUUCGCCUAUAUUCUGGUAGCUUGGCUGCGUAUUAUCUAUUAUGUGUCGCAUCAAAACUCUAUGGUGUCUAGGGAUGGGUGGGUGUUUUUAACCCCCACAUGGUGUGAUGGGAUGGACGGAGAUGGUGUGUAGAGGAUGGGGGUAGGAUUUUGUAUAUUCGUUCUAUUUAUCUGAUAUGAUUUCUGUAACUGUUGUGGACUUAGGUUCGAAUCUGUUUCUGACUGUAUAUGAAACUUUGUGUAUGCUGCAUGUCUGUCUCUGUUGGGUUACACACUGAGUUUAUAUAAACUCACAUUUGUUUGACUUUUUUGUUCAGGUAACCUAUAGACAUAGGCGGGUCAGUGCGACGGAGGCUCAGCGGUGACCACUCGAUAGAAAACUGUUUCCAUUUAUUAUUUCAUGGUUUUUAUUUAAAUUUCUAAUUUUCGUGAGAGUUUUGUAAUUUUUGGACUCUCCAAACUUUUUGAACUGUUUGGUUUCAAUUUUUGGUUUGGUUGGGUUAUGAUUUCUAAACUACGACAAUUCGACAAAAUAUUGAUUUUACGUGAUCAAAUGUCAUCGAGCCUGGUUUCUAUUUAAACGACUUUUCAAACUUCCGCUGCUAAAUGAUUUGGUUAACCUUAAGGGAUAACAUGUAACUGUUUCAUUAAUAAAUAUAUAAGUGAAUACGUUUUACAAAACUUGGACGUUUUAUUGAAAUAUUAUUGGUUUUAAAACCUUUCUUCGUAACACUCCUGAAUUCGGCCAUAACGUCUAGGUCGAGUUUGGGAUAUUACAUUUAGUGGUAUCAGAGCCAGGUUGUAAAACUCGGGUUAUGAAUUUUGGAUUCCAAAAUUUUGUCUUGAAAAAAGACUAGUUUUUAAAUAAUUUAGAUCAUUCCUGAGUAAGUAUGUGAUACACCAAGUCUUCGGUGUCGAUUUUAUAAGUAUCUCUAAAUUUUGAAAAUACAAUAGAUAGUACUUUAUGAAAUUGUAAUAAGUUAGUUAAAGACUAAAACCUCUGAAAUACUUCUGAACUUUUGAUAUUUUAAGCAUAAAAUAUUUGUUAAUAAAAAUUGAAACUGAGGCAUAAAAUUUUAUAAUGUAAAUAAAAUUAAAAAUACGAUGAGUACUCAUGAAACUCAUGGUCAUAGUAAUCGUGGACGUGGCGGGCGCCGUAGUAGGGCUUGAGUUGAGUUUUCCUCUCUAGGCAGUAUGCCAAAUUUAGAUACGAGUGAGGCACCGGUUUUACUUACUACAAAGACUGGGUUUGAAAGCCGUUCGUCUGGGGACGAUGCACUGUCCUAAUCUAUGUUGAGAGUGUUGGAGAGGGUUGCUAGACCCUAUUCGGGAUCUGGAGGUCGUAGGUCGAUAACAAAAUGACUUCGAUCCAAUAGAGUUGAGUUGUUUAGAGGUGUCACUAGAGUCACCUUUACUGUGGACGAGUAUUGGUUAGAGGCCAAUAAGAGGAUUAUGAAUGACAUCUACUGCACUCCUGAGUAGAAAUUAAAAGGUGCAAUCUCUUUGUUUCACGACGAAGCUUAUCAGUAGUGGUUGUCAGUUGAGGAGGGUAUUCAACCGGAUCAUCUGAACUGAGACUACUUUAAGACCGCUUUCUAGGGAAAAUAUGUGGGUGCAAGCUCUGUGGAUGCUUGUAGGCGUGAGUUCACGAAUCUCACGCAAGGUGAUAAGUCUGUGGUCGAGUAUGAGGUCAAAUUUCUGAGACUGAGUCGCUACGCUCAAGGCAUUGUGGCAUCUGAGUAUGAGAAAUAUGUUUGUUUUAAGGACGGCUUGAGGGAUAGUCUGAGGGUAUUAAUUGCUUCACAGAGAGCGAGAGUUUGCUGUUCUUGUGGAUAAGGCGAAGAUCGCCGAGGAGGUUAAGGACGUAGAGUGCUAGAACAGAUAUCGUGAGAGAGGCAAGAAUAAGAAGGAUUCAGAGCCCUCUAGUUCUAUUCAGAGGCCUAAGAAAUUGCCCAGACCUGAUGGGCCUGUUAGGGUGGGAGUUAUUAUUGCUCUUACUAGGAUUCAGCCUUGUGGUGACUGUGGUAGGCUUCAUCUGGGUAAGUGUUGGAGGAGAUCGGGGCUUAUUUGCGGUAUGGGUCUUUAGAGUACCAGAUUAAAGAAUAUCCACAUCGUACCAAUUAGAUGCAAGCUACGGGACCAGGUUUUGUUCAGCCUCAGAGGACAGUACAACAGCCACCUAAGGGUCGUGGAUUGGCUAGGAGUGGUAAUGGUAUGAGUCAUGGACAGAGAGUACCAGACAAAGGUGUUAAUCAGACUGAGGCGAGACAACCUGCACUGGUUUAUACUGCUCGACGCCGAGAGGAUAGAGACGCUCCUGAUGUGAUCACGGAUACGUUUUUAAUUUUUGAUAUUUCAUAUAUUACUUUGAUAGACUUAGGUUCUACACACUCCUAUGUAGCUAGUGUUGCUUCUGAAAACUUGAGAAUUUCUAUUGAGUGUACUUGUGGUGAGAUUAUUGUACUGAGUCUGUUGGGACAGUCUGUUUGGGUAAAUAGACUUUAUAGGAAUGUUUCGUUGGAAGUAUAAUGGGUUAUCUUUUCGGUAAAUCUGAUGGAGCUAUCGUUUGGGGAGUUUGACUUAAUUCUAGGUAUGGACUGAUUAGUUGAACACCGAGUUAGUUUGGAUUGCGUAACUAAGAGGGUCAUUUUGAGGACCAAAGAUGAUAAGGAGGUGGUUGUGAUUGGUGAGUGUCGAGAUUACUAGUCUAAUAUAAUCUCCGCUCCAGUAGCUGAGAAAUUAGUUUGAAAAUUGUGAGGCGUAUUUAGCCUACGUCAAUAUUUCAGUUUAUGGGGACUCUGCUGUCGGGGAUAUCAGAACAGUGAGGGAAUUUUUGGAUGUUUUUCUUGAGGAAUUGCUGGGUUUACCUCUGAAUCAAAAAGUUGAGUUUGACAUUAAGCUUCUACCGGGUACAAAAUUGGUAUUUAUAGUUCUUUACUGUAUGGCACUGAAGGAGCUUACAGAGCUUAAGGUUUAACUUUAAGAGCUUCUGGUUUCAUCCAUUCUAACGUGUCUCCGUGGAGGGCACCAGUUCUAUUUGUGAAGAAAAAUGAUGGUACCAUAAGGAUGUGCAUCGAUUACUAGCAGUUGAAUAAACUGACUGUGAAGAAUAAGUACCUACUUUCGAGGAUCGAUGAUCUGUUUGAUCAAUUUUGAGGGGCUUCAGUAUUCUCAAAAAUAGAUAUCUGUUUUGGGUAUCAUCAACUUAGAGUUAAGGAAGCCGAUAUUUAUAAGACGGCUUUUAGGACUCGUUAUGGGCACUACGAGUUCCUAGUUAUGCCCUUUGGUUUGACAAAGGCUCCAACUGGAUUCGUAGAUCUGGUGAACCAAGUUUUUGGUGUACUCUAAGAUUGAGGAUAAGCAUGACGAUCAUCUUAGGGUAGUGCUUCAGAUACUUCGAGAGAAACAACUUUACGCUAAGUUGAGAAAAUAUGAAUUCUAGUUAUGAGAAAUAACAUUUUUGGGGCACGUGGUUUCUACUGAGGAGAUCCGAGUUGAUUCUAGAAAGAUUGAGGUUAUGCUUGACUGGAAACAACCUAAGAACGUAUCUGAGAUCCGUAGUUUUCUAGGACUUACAUGUUAUUAUUGGAGGUUUAUUGAGGGGUUCUCGUUGAUUGCAGCUCCUUUAACUAAGCUUCUGUGCAAGAGUGUUCCUUUCUUCUAGACUGAUGCGCAAUAAUCGAGCUUUGAGAAGCUCAAGUCUAUUUUGACUCAAGCUCUUAUUUUGAUAUAGCCUGAAUCUGGUAGGGAGUUUGUGGUGUACAGUGAUGCGUCGCACGUUGAUUUGGGAUGUGUACUGAUACAAGAUAGUAAGGUUAUGGCUUAUGCGUCUCAAUAGCUCAAGUCACGCGAGGGAAAUUAUCUGAUGCAUGAUCUCUAGUUGGCUACGGUAGUGUUUGUACUAAAGAUUUGUAGGCCCUAUCUGUAUAGUGAGAGGUGUAUUAUCUACACCGAUCACCAGAGCCUCAAGUACCUCCUUACUCAGAAGGAAAUCUUAGGCAACAUCGAUGGAUUGAGCUGCUAAAAGAUUAUAACUGCACAAUGGAGUAUCAUCCCAGUAAGACUAAUGUGGUGGCUGAUGCUCUCAGUUGUAAAGCGAUGACUGAUUUGAUAGUAGUGUUCGCUCUUCUUAGUCUGUUGGAUGAUGGAGGUCUGUUAGCCGAGUUGCAAGUUAAGCUGACUUGGAUUGGGCAGAUUUGGGAAAGGGGAUGAGUCACUGGUUCUGCGGUUUGUCAGGUUGGGAGUGGCUAUACUUUUGAUUUUAGACUGAAUAAGGAUGGAGUUCUGUGUUUUUGAGGACGGGUUUGUGUAUCAAAUGAUUUUGAUCUGUUCUGAGGGAAGCGUAUAGUAGUCCUUAUGCUAUACAUCCUAGUGGUAAUGGAUUUUCGUGAGCUGUACUAGUGGCCGAGGUUGAAACGAGAGGUAAUAGAUUUUUUUAUUCAUUGUCUGAUAUGCCAGCAAAUUAAAGUUGAGCAUUAGUUUCCUUCAAGUUUUCUCCAACCCGUUAGGAUUCUUUUAUAGAAAUGAAAACGAGUGAUGAUGGACUUCGUUAGUGGGUUGUCCUUGACACUCAUUAAGAAUAAUUUUGUUUGGGUCAUCAUGCAUCGAUUGACCAAAUCUGCCCAUUUGAUUCUGGUCCAGACGAACUUCUUUCUACAAAAGUUAGAGAAGCUCUAUAUCUCCGAGAUUGUAAGACUGCAUGGGGUUUCAGUUUCGAUAAUUUUUGAUAGGGAUCCUUGCUUCACUUCUCGUUUCUGGAUGAAACUUUAGGAAGCCCUAGGUUCGAGAUUGGACUUCAGUACUGCGUUUCAUCCUCAGACCAAUGGUCCAUCAGAGAGGGUGAUUCAGAUACUGGAGGAUAUGCUUCGGAGUUGUGUGAUUGAUUUUUGAGGUAAUUGAGAGGAUUUUCUGUUGUUAGCUGAAUUCACCUGUAAUAAUAGUUUCUAUUCUAGCAUUCAUAUGGCACCUUACGAGGCUUCGUAUGAUCAUAAGUGUCGUACUUCACUAUGUUAGACUAGUUAGGUGAGUGAUAGAUUUUGGGUCUUAAGUUGGUUUUCUAGACUGAAAAUAAGGUUAGAUUGAUUCGGGAUUGUCUGAAGGCGACUUUUGAUAGACAGAAGUCCUAUGCAGAUCUAAAAAGGAGGGAUAUUGAGUACUCUGUGGGUGAUUCUGUAUUCUUUAGGGUAUCACCGUGGAAGAAGGUUCUACGAUUCGAUCGUAAUGGCAAGUUAAGCCUUAUUCAUUGGGUCGUACCAGAUUCUGAAGCAUGUGGGACUGGUUACUUAUCAGUUAGAGUUACUUCUAGAGUUGGACUAUAUCCAUGAUGUGUUACACGUCUCGAUGUUGAGGCGGUACUAGUCUGAUCCAUCUCACGUUGUCUUUGUUGAGGAGAUCGAUGUUAGACCAGAUUUAACUUUUGAGGAGGAACCGGUUCAGAUUUUGGAUCGAGAUAUUAAGGUUUUGAGGAGGAAGUCCAUAUCGUUAGUGAAGGUUCUGUAGUGGAAUCAUGGCAUUGAGGAAGCCACGUGAGAACUUGAGGACUUGAUGCGUCAGCAGUAUCCUCAUCUGUUCGGAUCAGGUAAAUUUCGAGCCAAAAUUUCUUUUAGAGGGUAGAGUUGUAACGCCCUGAAUAAUUUAAGUAUGUUUUUAUUAAAUUUGACAUAAAAUGUGUAUCUGCUUCAGUGGUUAAGUGUUCUGGGUGUGUGUAUGAGGUCUUGGGUUCAAGUCUCCCUUUUAGCAAACUUUGUUAUUUUGAUCCAAGCCUUAUCUCUGUUAAGUGGGCUUAUGUUUUAUCUUUAGUAAACUUAUAUUAGAAUAAGCUUACGGGUUCGAGUUAUAAGGAGUUAGCUUGCUAGAAGUCCUGUGUUCGAUUCCCUGUGUGAGCGUGGAUGAUAUUUUUGUUUCGGAUGUGAGAUAGAGGUUGGGUGGAAGUAAAAUUCUGAGGUGGUGGGGAGUUAGUGGGUUAGUUAGUGAGAUAAUGGGAAGUUGAGAUAUUAGGGGUUUCAAAUUUUAUUUUAAUUUUAAUUUUAAUUCUUUGUCUUCUCAAAGUUUCUGACGUCAAUUUUUUUCUCUUUUUUCCCUCUUUCGACAUUGUUCCCUUCUCGGUAAAAUUCCUUUUCUUUUUUCUUUGAUUCUAUUUGUGAAUCCCUUGUUCAAAUCGUUGCUACUAUGAUUUUCGAGUUCUUUAAUCGGUUGGUAAGUAGAACUUCGCAUCUUUUUAACAAUUGGUUUGGGAUAUUGGCGAUGUUAAGCUAUAGCGAUUAAUUAGUGGAAUCUGUAUUUAGGAGAAGAUUGUAAAGUAGAAAAUUCACUCCGACGGCCUAAUCCGUGUUAGUGGUGGUUUUCAUCGACGGUAAGUUUGUGAGCGUUGUUGAAUUUUUGUUAUGAAUUUGUAAAUUUGUUGCUAAGCAGGGCUAGGGUUACUAUUUACAGGUUUCGGUGAUCUCGGGAUUGGUUAUACUACAAAAACGAAUCAGGUGUGUACCCUUAACGUGAGAAAAUGAGAUUCGAUGAAAGCUGAAAUUAGAGUCUGUUUAUGCCACACGGGUGUGUGCCUGACUGUGUGGCACGACACGACCGUGUGACUGACGAGGGUGUGGCCAUGCGCAAGACACGGCUGUGUGAUAGUGUGAUAGGAGUUUGGUUGAGUGUGGGUCUUAGCUUAUUUGGUACCUUAGUUUUUUUUGUUCAAUUUAAUUCCUGAACUUAAUAUUUUUUUCUUAAUUUAGUACUUAAGCUUCUUUUUUUUCCAAUUUGGUAUCUAACUUGUUAAAGGUUUUACAAAUUUCUCCAAUAUAAUAACAAUUUUAUUUUUAUAAGGUGCGAAAAUAAUCAAUGUAUGAUUAACGUAUGACAGAUGACAUGAGAUUGAUUUUUUGUAUUUUAAUGGUUAAAUUACUUUUAAUUAAUUAUUUUAUUUUACCUUUUUAAUUUAAUAAUGAAUUUCUUUUUAUUUUUGGGUUUUAAAACUUUUUUUUCAAUAUUCAUUCAUUAAGCGUAGCUCAAAGUACAAUCUUUUAACAUAAUUUUCCUCUAAUACUGACAAUAUUUUUGUGGGAUUUGAUGGCUUUAUGAAAACUAGGUCAUGCUUUAAGCAUGUGGUUCCUCUUGUAACAUUCUUGCCAUUAACUGUCAAAGUAAUCUUAGCCUUGAUGAAAUGUAAAUUUUGAACAUGUUGUUUAGAAAAAUAGAGAAAACUUUAAAUAAAUGUAAUCAUCCCUGUCAUUAAAUUCCAUAUCAUUGGUCACAUGACAACCAUACGUUAGCUACCUCAUAAAAAAAAUGAAGAUCAUUAGUGUUUUGAGGUAAUUUGUAUAAUAUUUAAAAGGUUUAAGUGUCAAAUUAAAUAAAAAAUGAUUAAGUAUCAAAUUAUAAGAAAAAUGUCAAAAUUAAGUACCAAAUGUUAAAUAAUUAUAACAAUAUAUUAUUAGUCGGCUUACAGUUUGAUUUCCUCUUUCCCAGUUGAUUGGAACAGUUUGUGGACAAAGGGUUUGAUAUUAGAGGCAGGAUUUAGGGUUUAACAUUUAAAAAUUUAUGGUUAAAAGUUUAUAAGGUUUAAAAUUUAGGAUUUGUGUUUUGUAAAAAUAAAAAUAGAAGUAUAUAUUUAUUUUACAAAGUCACAAAUUUGUAAAAAAAAAAAUUAAAUUAAAUUAGUUUCUAGAAUUACAUUAAGAAUAAACUUUCAACAUUCACUCAUUUUCUUCUAAGAUUUUAAGAUAAUGGAUUUAUCAUGCGAAGACUUGAACCCCACAAUAUACGAUAUAUGAAGAUAAUGGAUUUAUUUAACCCCACCAUGCAACAUAUAAGGAUAUAUGGUUAGGUAAACUCAUAUUUUCUUUUAUAAAGUUUUACAAUUAAUAAAGAUUAUUUUUUAGUAAAAUAUAAAUUCAAACUCACACACAAAUAAAUUUAUGAUUUCGACCCUAAUUUCAAAUAUAAAUGAACUUUUAAAUUAUGGGUAUCGUAUUAUGAAACGAUAAACUUGCCACAUUGAAAUUUUUUAUAUGGAGUGAAUCUCAUAAUUUUUGUUUUCUUAAUUUUGUUUUAAAGCAAUGAAAUAUAGAUCACGUGAAUGUUGAUAUAAAAUGGGAAAUGGAGACGAGUGAUAUUAAUUUGUAGAUAAAGUUAAUAUUACGUAGUCGCAUAAAGCGGCAUAGUACACAACCCACAACUCUGGAAUUUUAACAUCCAUAUUUAUUCUGUAGCUAUCGUUAUUUUGGCUUCCACUAGCUGGUGAACUUUCCAUGCCAAAACUUCACUUGACGCUGCAAAUGAAACAACAAAAAACACAACAUUAAAUGUUGAGCAAGUAAUAAGCAUAAGCAAUGAAACAACUCAUACGAACCUGUUGCAGUCAGUGCUAGGGCUGAUCUUGUAAGGGAUGUUGACACCGCACUUGCCUGGGAGUCCGCUUGCAAUACCAUAGUUGAUGCCAGAAAUGCCGGCGGCCGCACUUUUGAUGCAUUUGCAAGCUGCUUGCCGGUCUGGUGUUGUUUGGGCGGCGGAGUUGAGAGAUUUUAUGCCGCCGCAGCAACCUGGGGGAACGCCACCAGCACCAUUCCCUGUCAAGUAACCAAUGCAGGGUGCGAGGGAGCUUGUGACUUGACCACAGGUUACGGCCCCUUGAGCCAGGGGUGCACCCACCACCAUGCACAACACCGCCACACAUGCAAGCUUAAGGGACAUUGAGCUAGCCAUAUCGAUUAAUCACAAGAAAAACAAACUUGUAAGGAAAAUGCUUGCUUGGAGUAGUAGUACUAUUGCUGAUUGUCGUGGUUAGGGCUUGAGGGUAGGAGGGUUUUUAUAGCCAAAAGUAGUAGCGGGUGAUGUCUGAAUUUUACUUUCCUAGCUAUUAGGUAAGUUGAGAUUAUCCGAUCCAAACAUUAACACACCACAUUAAAAGUUGAGACCAUUCAAUUAGGUUCAACUGCCAACCUACGUGAUUAUUGUUUUCUUUCAAUACAAUUAAAACCAGCGUCCAUUUGAUUUCACUCAAUCAUGCCUCCACAGCUAGGACUCAAAUAUUGGUUUAACUUUUUUCUAGGUGUUUUCUUAUAAACAUGAGAUUUACAUUUGAUGUAUUUAUAAAUGCAUUUAUUGUCAGAAUGAUACCAUUUUAUUAAAAGUAAUUUGAUUUAUAAUUGUUUGUAUAUAUACUUUUAUAUAUUAAGUCUUUAAUUGAAUUGGUAUUACGAUUCACCCAAGCAUCUAUUUAAUUGAAAAUUUGUUAAAAUAUUCAUAUAACAAAUAUUAAUAUUAAUAUAAAUGUAUUUUUAUUUUUAUUAUAAAUAAAACUAUAAUAAGAUUUAAACUUAUGACUCAUAAAUUUUACUCUUUUUAACUUAACUAUUUCAACUAAAAUUUCAUUUAGUUUUAAUAUAAAUUUUUAUAAAUAUAUUAUUUACAUGAAUUUUCCUUUUCCAGGCGGUAUGCCAUGGAACUAAUAUAAAAUAUAAACAAAUGGUUAUUUUGUUAUUUUCAAUGGAAAAAAAAAACUUCACAAGAUUAGGACACAUGCAUGGUUUUUUUAAUAUAUAUAUAUAUAUAUCAUGCAACAUUCUAAAUCUAUUUAUAGAUUAUUUUGUUGAUUGAAUUUUUAUUUUUUUUUAUUUUGGUAAUUAUAUAAAACUAAAUAUUUUCUUCGCGCAAUGUUAAGAGCAGUUUGAAAUUUAAAAGAAGUGUGGAUUCUAAUAAUAAAUUUAGUUAUCUAAUGUUUACAUAUUUUAUUAAUUUGGUCUUAAAUAUAAAAAUUAAAUUCAACAAAAUUAGCCCUCAAUGUUUACAAAAUUUUUCAUUUUAAUUCAAAUUCUAAAAUAAUCCAAUAAAUUUAGCUCUCAACAUUUACAAAAUGAAAGGAUUUGAUUUUUAAAAUUUUAAUUUUUUUUUUUAAAAACCCAAAACACAAACCUAAAUAAACUGAAAAAGAAGAAGGAAUAAUUAUCAUCACCACGAUCUAAUCUCUCAACUUUAAAAUAAGACUUCAACUUCGGUUUAACCCCAAGACAAGGCGAAACAUUGAAAGUAAGUGCAGCGGAUGCCAUUGAUUCUCCUACCUUUUGGCUAAACACAUAAAUUUGAACAACUUCAUACAUAACUAGCAGCAGUACUAAAAAAUCAUUAAUACUAUAUUUUCAAGUACAAGAAAUUGAAAAAAGAAUCACGGGUAGAGUACAAAAAUGAAAUUUGGUGUGAACCUAGAUUAACAAAACAAGGUUCACGGUUUCUCAAAAACACAAUACUAAAUUUUUAGAAUUUCUUGUGAAGAUCAAGCAAUGAGACAAAUACUGAAAUUGGCAAUGCCUUAAUAGCAAAUAAUAAUUCAAACCAAUGUAGAAAAAAGAUGAAGAAGAAGAAGAUAGGAAAAGAAUUUUUAGUUUACAUUAAAAGCCUUGAAAAGGUAGACCGAUAGGAUUGAUUGUUUUGAAUAUUACUCAACUUUCUCAUUAAUUCUUGUACUAUUAUGGCUAAGUGUGUUUUUAGAUGGUAAUGAAUUUUUUUAAUUGUUAAUAAUUUUUACAAUUAUUACACUUGAUUUGGCAGUUGUUUUUCUUUUUAAUUUACAAAAUUUUAAAAAAUUAAAAAUUUCUAUUUUGUAAAUGCUAAGAGCUAAAUUUAUUAUUAUUUAUUUUAGAAUCUAAACUAAAGUGACAAAUUUUGUAAAUAUUUGGUGUUAAAUUUAUUGGAUUUUUAUAUUUAAAAUCAAAUUGAUAGAAUGUGUAAAGAAAGUUAAUUUUUUUAUUAGACAAAUAAAAAAUAACCCAUUUCAACACUUCCGAAAAAUUUUCAAACGGCCGUUAACAUUUAGUGAUGAAAAUAUUUGAUUUCAUAUAGUUUAAUAAUUAAAAUAAAAAUAAUUAAAAAUUUAGUAAUCAAAGUAAAACACAAGUGAUAUUAUUCUAGUGAUCAUUUCUGUACUUGACCCUAAUUUUUUUUUCAAAACACUGUUAAAAAACGAUUAAUUUCUCGUUUUGGCCGGAGUUAAAAUUUUUAAUAUAUUUGUUUUUAUUAAAUUUAAAAAUUAUAAUUUUACAUAAUAUAUUUUUGAUAGAAUACAUAUGAUAUAAUUUUAAUCAGUGACACCUGUUAAAGCUUGUUAGAUCUCCUGUAUCUCUUUCAAUCUGGUGGUAAAUGAAGCAAUCAAUGAGUAUUACAACCAGCCACAUGUCAUUCAAUUCACAUUAUAUCAAUCUUUUCCCUUUUCUCUCAUUUUGGUAGUUAAUUCCUUUUUUUGUCAUCGAAAUUAUAUUUUUUUCUCAAAUUGAUAAUUUCCUUAAUCCGUUAAGUUUGUUAAAAGAAACCUUAAUCUUAUUUAAAUUAUAUCUUUUUUUUUUUAUUUUGAUACUUAAACAUUUUUGUCACAUGUGGUAUGUAAUUUAUUUUUUCUUAAGUUGUUAGUUUAAUUAUUACUCAAAUAGUUAAGUCUAUUUAAAAAAAGAUAACUAUUUAAAAAUUACCAUAUUCGAACUAGCUAGGCCAUUAGUUCCUGGUUUAAUCAGUUUAUCUAGUUUGAUGAAAUCAAUUAUUAAAAAUUCAUAAAAAUAAAAAUGUUAAAAAAUAGAGAAAACUAGCUCAACUAGUUUUUUUUUUAAGCUCGACUCAAUCAAUCUGUAUCAGUUUGUAGGUUAAUCGGUUCAAGCCCUAUCUCCAAACUAGUAUCCCAGUUGGUUCCUAGUAUUAAGGGUGAGCAAAAUUUGAAUCGACUCGAAAAAAUUUAAAAAAGUUCAAAUUUUGAAUUAUUUGAAUCGAGUUAAUCGAAUCAACUCGAUUUUUUUUUAAUUUCAAGUUCGAGUCGAGUUGAGUUUUUGAAUUCAAAUGACUCGAAUAAUUCGAUUAAGCCGAAUACCAAACUAUAAUAUUUUACAUUUUACCUCAAACCCCAAACCCUUUUACUUUUCCCCCAAAACUUUACUCAUUCCUCCUUGUCUGCCCCUGUAACGCCCCAAAUUUUGAAUUGUUACUGUUAGUUUCUAUUUAUAAGUAAGUAUUUGCUUCAGUGGUUAAGUGUUAUGUGUUGGUGUUUGGAUCGGGGGUUCAAGUUACACUUUUAGAGAAUUUUAUUAUUCUUUUGUUUCAACUCUUAUCCUUGAAUGCUUGAAUUAAGUUUGUAUCUGCAUUAAUUUGUGUCAAGAAUGAGUCUUCUAGUUUAAUGGUUAAGUUUUGUAUUACCUAUGGUCUCGUGUUCGAGUCUCUGCGUAGGCAAUAAAGAAAUAUUUUGGCAUGCUAUCGGGAAAUCAGUUUUAUUUUAAUAAUUAUUUUUAUUUAAAACUUAUUUUUAGUUUUUUUUAUUUUGGUUCUUCUCCUUCCUUACUGUUCAUUUCCUUCUUCUUUUUUCUCCUUUUGUAACACCCCUAACUCGAAUCCGUCGCUGGAACAGGGUUAGGAGUAUUAUUGAAGUUUACAAUUUAAACAGGCAGAAAAAUUAAACAUUUCAUAACAUAUAGCAUUCAUGUUAGAAACCAAUCAUAAUUAUGCAUAUUGUCCCUAAUACGAGCCCUCGAGGCCCAAAAUACACCUUAGAAAUAAUUCGGGACUAAAUUGAAAAUUCGGAGCAUUUUUUAGAAACUUAUAAAAUUUUUAAAACUACAGGGGUCACAUGGCCGUGUGGCUAGGUUGUGUGACUCAUAUGGCCAACAGACACGCCCAUGUCUUAGACCGUGCGGGUAUUCGAAAUAGGGACACACGGUCGUGUCCCAGCCAGUGUCCAUGCCCGUGUAACUCACUAACUUGGGCCACACGGUCAAGCCAUACGCCCGUGUGCCAGGCAUUGUGAGCAUACUAACUUGCAUUCUUUAAAAGAUACAGGGGACACACGGCCAUGUCACCUGACCGUGUGUGACACACGCCCGUGUCUCUGCCCGUGUGGACAAAAAUAGGCUAUUUUUCAAGUCAUAAAUAUUCAUGUAUUCUUUAAAAGAUACAGGGGACACACGCCCGUGUCUCUGCCCGUGUCUCUGCCCAAUUUGGUACCAACCUAAACACAACAAUUUGCAUAUAACCAAGUCAUAAAUAGGCAUCCAAAACCAGCCAAAAUCAAGCUUAAAACAUGUAAUAUCAUCACAUACAACCAAUAUGCCCUUAGGCACCUCAAAUGACAACUUAUAAUAUUAAUAUUCAUGUAUUCAAUAUAGCCAAAUGUAUAACUCACUUAUAUGCAUAUUUUCAUCCAAAGUUUAUUAAGCAAAUUUACAUCAUUUCUUACCAAAUUACUUACCUUCCAAAACAUAUUAUUUGGUGCUAAAAUGUAUUUAACAUACUAACAUAUUUAACUUAUAUGCCUUACAUAUCCAGACACCAAUUCAUGAUCAAUUCUUCACAUUCCAAAACACAUAUAUGAAAUGCACAUUAGGUUACCUUUUUACCACUCUUUAUUCAAUCAUGAACCAAACUACAUGUCAACCAUAAUAAGCAAAAUAUGCACAUAUCCAAAAUUCCAUAACACAAACAAAACAAAUGGCUAAUCUCAACAAAACACAUAUAAGCCAACAUUGGCCAAACUAAUCUAUACAUGCCAUUAUAACCGAAAUUAAACAACCGAAUGUACCAAAAGAGCCAAUGGAUAGUGUGAUAUAGCUCCGACAAGCUUUCAACCAGAACGAGCUUUCGAAUCACUAAAAACACAGAAAAUAACACAGAGUAAGCAUUCAAGCUUAGUAAGUUCAUAUAGCAUAUAAUUUAACUUACCAUUUAGUCACAUUUAAGGUAAGCAUACAAAACAUAUCCAAACUCAAUUAGGAUAAAAGCCUCAACACAUAUCCUCAUCAACCAUGUUAGUCAUGUAAUUCAUAUAAAUAUCAAGAAACAUGUAUGAGCUCAACAAUAAUCAAACUUGCAUGUACAUAUAAUUUCCACAUCAUGUAUUUACAUAUCAUGUACAAAUCAUUUUCAUAUAUCUCAUGUAAAUACAUGUAGUAGUUUGUAUUGAACUCAUGUAAUAUCAUAACAGAACAGUGCCCGUUGAACCAUUUAGAUUAUUGUUGGAUACGCGGAUAGUACACAUGAGGUGUACUGAACUGUAAUUCAUCAAUUCAUGUACAUGUAUGCUCAUAUGAGCUAUAAACAGUAAGCUCCUCUGAGAUGAAUAACAAUAAGCUUGUACGAGCUGAAUAUCGGUAAGCUCAUAUGAGCUGAGUAUCGGUAAGCUCAUAAGAGCUGAAAUCGAUAACCCUAAUGACAUGUUUACCAAGCCAUGACAUUCCACUAACACAUUUAACCUUUAAAAUUAUUUCAAUUUACAAGUUUAAGAAAGAACAUAAAAGAUGAUACUUGGCUUUAUUUUACUAAAUUUUGUUAUUUACUUAAUUACUUAUUUAACCUUUAAAAUCAUUUCAAUUUACAAGUUUACUAAGCCAUGACAUUCCACUAACACAUUUAAGGGUUAUUUACCAUAUAAGGACCUCUACUUUAAAUUUUUAUAGCUAUUUAAUACCUUUAGCUAUUAGAACUUUACUUUUACACUUUACGCGAUUUAGUCAUUUUUAUCAAAUUGAACAUGUAAACGGUAAAAUUUCUUAACGAAAUUUUCAUAUGGUAAUAUUAUCAUGUUUUCGACCAUAAAAUAAUAAUAAAAUAAAAUUUUUUACUUCAUAUUUGUGGUCCCAAAACUACUAUUCUGAUUUCACUGAAAAUGGGUUGUUACACCUUUCUUGCUUGAUUGCUUCCGUAAGUUUGCUAUCGUGCUUAAUUGGGCAUUCUGUGUGGUUUCUUACAUUGAUUGCAAGGAUAUUGCGUAAGUUAUGUUGUUGUUUUUUACCUAUUUUUUCUAGACUUCGUCUGUUUCGUCGAGGUUAGAUAUUACUGUUAAUGGUUGUAAAAUCUCGUUAAUAGUUCCAAUGGAUCUUCUUUUAGGAAAAGGUUUCAAAAGUAACAUUUCCCUGUGAGAUUAGGUCCGAAUUGUUGUUGCUUGCUUGUCAGUAAUUGAAAAUUUCUAUUUUGGAUAGCUGCGUCGAAGUUUUCGACGAACGUUAGUUUUGAGUGCUAAUUUUGGCAUUUUGAGUUGAUUUAGUCAUUUAAUUCGUCAAUUAAUUGUCGUUUUAGGUUUCAGAUUCUUGUGUGUUGCUUCUACAUCGAAACUACAUCAAGUGUGUAACGAAAACUCAUUUUUCUAUGAUUUACGAAUGCUAGAAAACAUGGCUGUUAAUCACACGACCGUGUGUUAGGCCAUGUAACUUACUGUUUAUGUAUUAAAGUCACCGAGCCAAGGACGUGGGCGUGUGUCCUAGUCGUGUAACUUACUAUUUGUGGAUUGGAGUCACACAGGCUAGGGACACGUUUGUGUGUCCAGACUGUGUGAAGGAAAUUUUAUGAAUUGAGUCACACAAGCGUGUGCUUGACUAUGUCAUAGACCGUGUAACUCACUUUUUUGAGCCACACGAUCGUGUGCCAGGCCGUGUGAUAGAUCGUGUGCUACACGGGCCAGCCUUCCGGGACAUGUGAAUCCACACAAGUGUGUGGGUCAAAAUUUCAAAUUUUUUAUUAGGGCCGUAAACAUCAUUCCAGUCAAACGUAGGCCUACUGUAGGGUCUGGAUGAUCUGAUUUGGGUUAUAAAACCCAUUGACUAGUUAUCUGUUUCUGUAUAAACUGUUAUUUUAUAUACAUCAUAGAAUUGUAAACUAGAGAGUAGUUGUAUUCUGUAUUAAUUGAGUAUAACCUGAAAUUUGUAACAUCGUAUGCUUAUAUCUGUAUCUGUAACAUUGCAUCUGCAUUGGGGUUGGGAUUGAAUAAGGAGGAAGUUAUGGCAGUUAAAUAAUCUGCUAAGACUGGUGGCUAAGACACGUAAAUGUAUCUAAUUUUGGUGACUUUCGCAUUCUGUCCUAGCAAUUAGUCUGCAACCUUUUGAACGUGACAUAUGGUCACUAUGUGGUGUGUAGGGACGAUACCCUUUUUGGUGUGUAGGGUUGGAUGCAGAUGGUGUGUAAUUGACAUAUUCUACUCUAUUUCCGUAUAUAAUUCUGAGAACUGUUCUAACUUUAAGAAAUUGAAGAUCUAUUUUGUUGUUUCACUUAAUAAUAAUAUAAGUUAUACGCUAUGUAUAACACCCUUUACCCGAGACCGUGGUCGGAGUCGAGCAUGAGGUGUUACUUGACUUAACUUAAAAGUUCAGGGCAUAAAAAUUUACUUUCAAAAUUAAUUUCACCAUUCACAAUAAAGUUGUCCACCUGAGCAGCAGUCACUAAAUUAAUUAUAACUCAAGCUAAGAAACUCGAAAUUUAGAUUCGUAAAUUUUCCCUGAAACUAGACUCAUAUAUCUAUUCACAAAAAUUUUUCAGAAUUUUUUAUUUGACCAAUUAGUACAGUUUAUUAGUUGAAGUCUCCCCAGUUUCACUAAUCGACUAUCCUGACCUCUCGUCACUAAAAUUCAAUUAUCUCAUUAUACAGACUUGACAUGCUGAUUCCACUUAUUUAUACUUAAAAUAUACUCAUUAAGGAAUUUAAAAAUAUAAUUUAUAACUCAUAAUUCUAUUUGUACAAUUUUUAAUGAAUUUCUAAAGUCAGAACAGGGGACUUCAGAAUCAUUCUGACUCUGUCUCACUAAAAUUAAAAUAUCUAAAAGUAUAUAACUCUUUUGCUUACUCUAUUGCUUUCAUGUGAAAGUAGACUCAUUCAGAUUUAAUUUCAUCUCUCGCUAAACAUAUAAUUCUAUUUCUACAAUUUUUGGUAAUUUUUCAAAGUUACAUCAAUGCUGCUGCCCAAAAAUAGUUCCAUUGAAAUUUUUAAAAAAAAAUUCAAUAUAACCCCUUUAUAAUUAUCUAACCUUCCCUGCAAAUUUCAAAUCACAACCAAUUUCAGUAUUUCAACUACUUCACUUAAAUACUAAUGAAGUUCAACUAAUCAACCAUUUCAAACUAAAAACAUGUAUAGUUCAAUGUUUAACACAACCAUCACAUUCAAAUUUAUUCAUUCUAUUACUUUUUACUUCAAUUCCCUAUACAUGUCAUAUAAAUCCAAAAAGUUGUUUAACAAAAUCUACAGGAGUAAAUCUGGAUAGUGUGAUUCUUGGUGUAGAUCUGAUCCUCCGAAUGUAUAAAUACGUCAAUCUACAAGAAUCAAUAAACACACAAUUAAGCGUAUAGAAAGCUUAGUAAGUUCAUAGGCACCAAACAUAAAUCUUACCAAACAUUUAUACACUUAUACAUUAUACACCAUUACUAAGUUUACCUGUCAACCACAAUCUUUGGUGAGUUCCUUGGUAUAAACUCACUACUACUUAUUCUUUUACCAUAAUUCCUUUGGGCCCAUUUGUCACUUACCAUCCUUGAUCAAAAUUAAGGAACGGUUACGGAAAAUUGAGUACUUCACUUUCACUUUGCCAUAGUAUAACUAUGGUCUUACGUAUGAUCAAACAUCACUUGUCCUUGAUAAGAUAAGUGUAGCUAGGCAACCACUUAUCACUUUGUCACUUGAUCAGAUAAGUGCAGCUAAAGCUACCAUUUAUCACUUUAUCACCACUUAUCACUUGUUCUUGAUUAGAUAAGUGUAGCUAAAGUUACCACUUAUCACUUUGUCACCACUUAUCACUUGUUCCUAAUCAGAUAAGUGUAGCUAAAACUACCACUUAUCACUUUGUCACUUGAUCAGAUAAGUGUAGCUAAGCUAUCACUUAUCACUUUGUCACUUGAUCAGAAGUACUCAAAUCCGGUGUUCUGCUCAAUUUGAUCAUUUAUUCAGUUUUCACAUUUUUAUUUUAUUCUCAUUUCAUCAAUAAAUAUAUAUAUUUCAUCAUACAUUAUAUAAUUCAUGAAAUUAACAUUUAAUCAUUAAAUUUUAGCCAUAUGAACUUACCUGGGUUGAUUUGCUGAAUUUGUAAAAGUUUAGGGACUAAUCAGCUACUUUUUUUUUCCUCGACUUGUUUCGGGUUCUCAAUAUGAUUCAAAUAUAUGAAAAACCAACUUGGAGGGACUCUUCAAUGGUGUUUUUUGCUAAAAAAUAUGAGGAAUUGCCUAGAAACACUUUUAGUUAAGAUUUUUAUUUGUUAUUUUUUACAAAAUUUCCAAUUUUGCCCUUAUUACAUCACUUUUUCAAAUUUUUCUUCUCUUAUGUCGUCUCAACUAUUCCAUAUUGGCAUAUUUAUGCCUUAAGUCCCUCCUUAUUUACCACUUAAGCUAUUUAAUCACUUUUAACAAAUUUUACAUUAUUUUCAGUUUAAUCCUUUUUAAUUAAUUAACCACCCAAACGUUAGAAUUUUCUAACGAAAAUUUAAUACCAACUCAAUGACACUCCAUAAAUGUUUCUAAAAAUAUUUAUGGCUCGAUUUAUGAGGUUGAGGUUUCAAUACCUCAUUUUCGAUUCUAAUUAUUUUAAUAUUUAUUCUUAGUACAUUAUUCACUAUUUCAAAAAUUUUCCUAACUUCGCAUUUAACUUAUACUCACUAAAUUAAUAAUAUUUUCUACUCAUUUGUCAAAUUUAAUGAUCUCGAAUUACCAUUCCGACACCACUGAAAAUUCAGGCCAUUACAACUCUCCCCCCAUUUUGGAAAUUUCAUCACCGAAAUUUCGUACCUGAAAAUAAAUUCGGAUACUGAAAUCUCAGCAAUUCCUCUGUUUCCCAGGUUGCCUCCUCAGAUCCAUGUCGAUUCCAUAACACCUUAACUAGUGGUACAUGUUUAUUCCUCAACUCUUUAACCUUCUGAGCUAAAAUUUUCACCGGUUCCUCUGAAUAAGUCAUGUCAGGUUGAAGCUCUAUUUCCGUAUGAGGAAUUACAUGUGAUGGAUCUGAUCUGUACCGUCUCAACAUAGACACAUGAAACACAUUAUGAAUCUUUUCAAGUUCCGGGGGCAAAGCUAAUCUAUAGGUUACCGGACCGAUUCUUUCAAUGAUUUCAUACGGCCCGAUAAAUCGUGGGCUGAGUUUCCCCUUUUUGCUGAACCGCAAAACUUUCUUCCACGGUGACACUUUCAAAAAUACACGAUCACCCACAUUAAACUCUAUAUCCCUUCUCUUCAAAUUUGCAUAUGAUUUUUGCCGAUCGGAGGUAGCUUUUAAACAAUCUCGAAUAAUACGAACUUUUUCUUCAGUUUCCUGAGUCAAUUCCACUCCCACUAGUUUCGAUUCACUUAAUUCAGACCAAUAUAAUGGAGUUCUACACUUUCUUCCAUACAAAGCUUCAAACGGUGCCAUUUUAAUGCUAGUUUGAUAACUAUUAUUAUAAGCAAAUUCGGCUAAAGGUAAAUACCUUUCCCAGCUACCGCCGAACUCAAGUAUACAACACCUUAACAUAUCUUCUAAAAUCUGAAUCACUCGCUCUGACUGCCCAUCUGUCUAGGGAUGAAAAGCUGUGUUGAAAUUUAAUUUGGUGCCUAAAGCUUCCUGUAAUUUACUCUAAAAUCUCGAGGUAAAUCUCGGAUCUUGAUCUGAAAUAAUAGAUGUCGGUACCCCAUGUAACCUCACUAUCUCAGACACAUAUAACUCCGCUAACUUUUCAAGCUGAUAAUCUGCUCUGACUGGAAUAAAAUGUGCUGACUUAGUUAACCGAUCAACAAUCACCCAUAUUGAAUGUUUCUUCUUCAGAGUUACUAGUAAUCCAGAUACAAAAUCCAUCGUAACAUGUUCCCAUUUCCAAUCUGGAAUCAUAAUGGGCUGUAACAACCCUGUCGGCACUUGAUGCUCAGCUUUCACCUGUUGACAGAUCAAACAUCUUGCUACAUACUCAAAGAUUUCCCGUUUCAUUCCGGGCCACCAAUACAUUUUCUUCAAAUCACAAUACAUUUUUGUACUACCCGGGUAAAUAGAACACAUACUACUGUGAGCCUCUGAUAAAAUAUCAUUUUUCAAGUUUAAAUUAUUCGGAAUACAUAUUCUAUUACGAUAAUAUAACAUACCAUUUUCAUCAAUGGAGUAUUCUGAGCUUAACUUAUCUUGAACCAUCUGUCGCUUUAUCAUCAAUUUUGGGUCAUCAUCCUAUAACUCCCGAAUCCGUUGAAAGAACACGGGUUUAGCCUUUAAUUCUGCUAGUACAGAACCAUCCUCAUUAAUAGAUAAAUGAGCAUUCAAUGCCCGUAGUGCAAAUAAUGAUGAUUUCCGACUAAGCGCAUCUGCUGCGGCAUUUGCUUUCCCUGGGUGAUAGUCAAUGACAAGAUCAUAAUCUUUCAGCAACCCCAACCAUCGUCUCUGUGUCAAAUUUAACUCUUUCUGAGUCAUUAAAUACUUCAAGCUUUUAUGAUCAGUAUACACGUAACAUUUCUCACCAUAUAAGUACUCUCCAUAUCUUCAAAGCAAACACGAUCGCUGCCAAUUCCAAAUCAUGUGUAGGAUAAUUCUUGUCGUGCGGUUUCAGUUGCCAAGAAGCAUAUGCCACCACUUUGCCUGACUGAAUAAGUACACAGCCCAACCCAUUUACAGAUGCAUCACUAUAUACUACAAACGGUACACCCGAUUCUGGUUGAGUCAACACUGGAGCCUCUGUCAACAUCUUUUUCAACUGAUCGAAACUCCGCUGACAUUCAUCUAACCAUAUAAAUUCAACAUUCUUUUGUAGCAAUCGAGUUAACGGUAAGGUAAUCAUUGAGAAAUCUUUGACAAAUCGACGAUAAUAACCUGCCAAUCGUAGAAAACUCUGCACUUCAGUCACAUUCUUCGGAACUUUCCAAUUUAUCACUGCCGCUACCUUACUUGGAUCCACUCUUAUUCCAUCAGCUGAUACAAUAUGACCCAAAAAUGCAACUUCAUGGAGCCAAAAUUCACAUUUGCUGAAUUUGGCAUACAAUUGUUUCUCCCACAAAGUCUGUAAUACAAUCAUUAGAUGUUGUGCAUGUUCGGACUCUGUCUUUGAAUAAAUCAAUAUAUCGUCAAUGAACACAACCACAAAUCUAUCCAAAUAUGACUGAAAAAUUCUAUUCAUCAAAUCCAUAAAAGCAGCAGGGGCAUUGGUUAAACCAAAUGGCAUCACCAAAAAUUCAAAAUGACCAUAUCGAGUUCGAAAGGCAGUUUUCGGCACUUCACACUCUUUAACUUUCAACUGAUAAUACUCGGAUCGAAGAUCUAUCAUGGAAAAUACUGUAGCACCUUUCAACUGAUCAAACAAAUCAUCAAUAUGAGGCAAAGGAUUUUUAUUCUUUACUGUUACCUUAUUCAACUGUCUGUAAUCUAUACACAGUCUUAAAAAACCGUCCUUCAUUUUCACAAACAAGACAGGUGUACCCCAGGGCGACAUACUCGGUCUGAUGAACCCUUUAUCUAAUAACUCCUGCAGCUGCGCCUUCCGUUCUUUUAACUCGACUGGAGCCAUUCUGUAUGGUGUCAUUGAGAUAGGAGUUGUUCCGGGGAUCACAUCAAUUACAAAUUCAACUUCUCUAUCAGGUGGUAGACCGGGUAACUCUUCAGGGAACAUAUCAGGGAAUUCAUUCACCAUUGGCACUUGUUCGAGCUUCAAACCAGAACCCUGAGUAUCCAGGAUAUAGGCCAAGAAUGCUUCGUUGCCUUUGUGUAAUAACCUCUGAGCAGAGAGAGCUAAAAUAAUUCUGACUGUAUCACCCAGAUUUUCAGACCCAACUGAGAUUAUAUCUCCCGUUUGACAUUUCAAACUGAUUUGUUUAUCACGAUAAUUCACUACCGCAUCAUGUCUCAUUAACCAGUCCAUCCCCAGAAUAAUGUCAAAUUCCCGAAAAGGUAACAACAUCAAAUCAGCGAGGAAUUCAUAGCCUUUCACUUUCAGUGGACAAUUACGACAUAUCAAAUUAACCAUCACACUUUGACCUAAUGGGUUUGUGACUUGUAUAUCAAAUUCAGUGGACUCAACAGAUAAUUUCUUUUUAGAUGCUAACAUAGUGCAAAUAUAUGAAUGAGUAGAUCCAGGGUCUAUCAAUGCAUAAACAAUAACAUCAUAAAGAUAGAAAGUACCAGCAAUUACAUCAGGAGCCGUAGCCUCUUUCCUUGCUCGAAUGGCGUAGGUACGUGCUGGUGCUCUAUUCUCUGAUCGACCAACUGAUUCCCUCGUACCCGAACGGGUAGUCCCUGUAGCACUGCUCUGGCCCGAACGUCUACUUUUUUGGGGAAUGGUUCUCUGUAUUUCUUUCUGUUCCACUUCAUCUUUUUACAGUCGGGAACAAUCUCGAAUAAGAUGAUUAGUACCCUCACAUUUUUAACAAGCCCCUAUCUUGGUCCUGCAUUCUCUGAAAUGAUAUCUUCCACAAUAUUGACACUUAGGCCGGGGAGCAUUCUGAACACUGCUCACACUUGCUGGAGGUCUAUCGAAUACCCUGAAAUCAGAUUGUCUUGGUCUAUCUCUACCCGAUCUUCUCGACAGUGAUGUAGUUCGACUAAUUUCUUCUCUAGAUUUGUUCACUGGUAAAUCUAAAAAUGACUUAGAAGCACCUCUUUUGAAUGGCUCUUUACUUUUUCGAUCCCGCUACAUUUUUCUGUUGUAUACUUCUUCGAGCUUUUGAGCACGGUCUGACAGAACAGGGAACUCUCGUAUUUCAUUACCCCCAAUCAUCAUUCUAAUUUCAUCAUUUAACCCUUCUUCAAACCUGAUACACAUUUCUUCUUUAAUAAGUACAAUGUCUCGGGCAUAUUUGCUGAGGUAGACAAAUUCUCUUUCGUAUUCAGCCACUGAUUUAUCUCCCUGGCGUAGGUCGAGAAAUUCCCUUUUAUUUUUAUCCAAAUACCGUCUGCCCACAUAUUUCUUCUUAAAUUCAUUUUGGAAAAAUUCCCAAUAAAUUUUCUCUGUCGGAACCACAUCCUCAAUCGUCUCCCACCAACUAUAAGCUUCUUCUUUCAAUAGAGACACAACACAACUCAAAUAAUCAUCUAGUGAGCAAACCAUUUCUUUAAAAAUUCUUAUUAAACUCUGUAACCAAUAUUCAGCUUUGACGGGAUCUUUAUCAGUCCUUCCCCGAAAUUCUUCGGCUCCAAGUUUUUUAAGCCUUUCCAAUGGAGAACGCUUUCUGGAUUCAGUCGUUGUAAAAGGUGGAGGAGCAACCGGGUGUGCCACCGAUGGAGCAGUAGGGGGAGGAGGUGGUUCAGCCUGAUUUCUUUCUUGCCUCAUUUCAGUAUAUCAUUGAUUCAUAAUCCCAUAAAUCAUAUUCUUUAACUCUUGCUCUCGCAUUUGGGAGAUCGGAACAUCACUGCUUGUUCUUUGUUUAGAAUUAUGUAUUCUACUAUUAACUUCUUCUUUCUCAGUACGUUUAGGUAUAUCUGACAUCUCCAUAACCGGAGAAUAUCUACUAUUAACUUCUUCUUACUGGAUUCAGUCGUUGUAAGAGGUGGAGAAGCAACCGGGGGUACCACCGAUGGAGCAGUAGGCAGAGGAGGUGGUUCAGCCUGAUUUCUUUCUUGCCUCAUUUCAGUAUACCACUGAUUCAUAAUCCCAUAAAUCAUAUUCUUUAACUCUUGCUCCCGUAUUUGGGAGAUCAGAACACCACUGCUUGUUCUUUGUUCAGAAUUAUGUAUUCUACUAUUAACUUCUUCUUGCUCAGUACGUUCAGGUAUAUCUGACAUCUCUAUAACCGGAGAAUAUCUAUAAAAAUAACAAAGAUUAGAUCGCAUCAUACGCAUUACACUAUCACAGAUUUAUAUGGCAUGUAUUUCUAAACACUUUACACUUUACACAUAUUCCGAGAACCGGCUAAACCUGGAUCUGAUACCAAUAAAAUGUAACACCCUUUACCUGAGACCGUUUCCAGAGUCGAGCAUGAGGCGUUACUUGACUUAACUUAAAAGUUCAGGGCAUAAAAAAUUACUUUCAAAAUUAAUUUCACCAUUCACAAUAAAGCUGUCCACCCACGCAGCAAUCUCUAAAUUAAUUAUAACUCAAGAUGCGAAACUCGAAAUUUAGAUCUGUAUAUUUUACCUAAAACUAGACUCAUAUAUCUAUUCACUACAAAAUUUUCAGACUUUUUGGUUUGGCAAAUUAGUACAGUUUAUUAAUUGAAGUCUCCCCUGUUUCACUAAUAGACUAUCCUGACCUCUCGUCACUAAAAUUCAAUUAUCUCAUUAUACAAACUUGACUUGGUGCUUUCAAUUAUUUUUACUUAAAAUAGACUCAUUAAGGAAUUUAAACAUAUAAUUUAUAACUCAUAAUUCAUUUUGUACAAUUUUUAAUGAAUUUCUAAAGUCAAAAUAGGGGACUUCAAAAUCAUUCUGACUCUGUCUCACUAAAAUUCAAAUAUCUAAAAGUAUAUAACUCUUUUGCUUACUCUAUUGCUUUAAUGUGAAAGUAGGCUCAUUCAGCUUUAAUUUCAUCUCUCACUCAACUUAUAAUUCUAAGUCCACAUUUUUGGUGAUUUUUCAAAGUUACAUCAAUACUGCUGUCCAAAAACUGUUCCAUUGAAAUUUUUUUAAAAAAUUUCAAUAUAACCCUUUUAUAAUUAUCUAACCUUCCCUGCAAAUUUUAAAUCACAACCAAUUUCAGUAUUUCAACCACUUCACUUAAAUACUAAUGAAGUUCAACCAAUCAACCAUUUCAAACUAAAAACAUGCAUAGUUCAAUGUCUAACACAACCAUCACAUUCAAAUUUACUUUGCAUAUUUAGAUAUUCAUUCUUUUACUUUUUACUUCAAUUCCCUAUACAUGUCAUAUAAAUCCAAAAAGUUGUUUAACAAAAUCUACCGGAGUAAAUCUUGAUAGUGUGAUUCUUGGUGUAGAUCCGAUCCUCUGAAUGUAUAAAUACGUCAAUCUACAAGAAUCAAUAAACGCACAAGUAGGCUUAAUAAACACACAAGUAAGCUUAUAGAAAGCUUAGUAAGUUCAUAGGCACCAAACAUAAAACUUACCAAACAUUUAUACACUUAUACAUUAUACACCAUUACUAAGUUUACCUGUCAACCACAUUCUUUGGUGAGUUCCUUGGUAUAAACUCACUAAUACUUAUUCUUUUACCAUAAUUCCUUUGGGCCCAUUUGUCACUUACCAUCCUUGAUCAAAAUUAAGGAACGGUUACGGAAAAUUGAGUACUUCACUUUCACUUUGCCAUAGUAUAAAUAUGGUCUUACGUAUGAUCACUUAUCACUUGUCCUUGAUCAGGUUAGUGUAGCUAGGCUACCACUUAUCACUUGUUCCUGAUCAGAUAAGUGUAGCUAAGCUAUCACUUGUCACUUUGUCACUUGAUCAAAAGUACUCAAAUCCGGUGUUCCGCUCAAUUUGAUCACUUAUUCAGUUUGCGCAUUUUUAUUUUAUUCUCAUUUCAUCAAUAAAUAUAUAUAUAUAUUUCACCAUACAUUAUAUAAUUCAUGAAAUUAACAUUUAAUCAUUAAAUUUCAUCCAUAUGAACUUACCUAGGUCGAUUUUCUGAAUUUGUAAAAGUUCAAGGACUAAUCAGCUACUUUUUCUUUUCCUCGACUUGUUUCGGGUUCUCGAUAUGAUUCAAAUAUAUGAAAAACUAGCUUGGAGGGACUCUUCAAUGGCGUUUUUUGCUGAGAAAUAUGAUGAAUUGCCUAGAAACUCUUUUAGUUAAGAUUUUUAUUUGUUAACUUUUACAAAAUUUCUAAUUUUGCCCUUAUUACAUCACUUUUUCAGAUUUUUCUUCUCUUAUGCCGUCUCAACUAUUCCAUAUUAGCAUAUUUAUGCCUUAAGUCCCUCCUUAUUUACCACUUAAGCUGUUUAAUCACUUUUAACAAAUUUUACAUUAUUUUCAGUUUAGUCAUUUUUAAUUAAUUAACCACCAAAACGUUAGAAUUUUCUAACGAAACUUUAAUACCAACUCAAUGACACUCUAUAAAUGUUUCUAAAAAUAUUUAUGGCUCGAUUGAUGAGUUUGAGGUUUCGAUACCUCAUUUUCGACUCUAAUUAUUUUAAUAUUUAUUCUUAGUACACUAUUCACUAUUUCAAAAAUUUUCCUAACUUCGCAUUUAACUUAUACUCACUAAAUUAAUAAUAUUUUCUACUCAUUUGUCAAAUUUAAUGAUCUCGAAUUACCAUUCCGACACCACUGAAAAUUCAGGCCAUUACAACUCUCCCCCCAUUUUGGAAAUUUCGUCCCCGAAAUUUCGUACCUGAAAAUAAAUUCGAAUACUGAAAUCUCAUCAAUUCCUCUGUUUCCCAGGUUGCCUCCUCAGAUCCAUGUCGAUUCCAUAACACCUUAACUAGUGGUACAUGUUUAUUCCUCAACUCUUUAACAUCCCAAGCUAAAAUUUUCACCGGUUCCUCUGAAUAAGUCAUGUCAGGUUGAAGCUCUAUUUCCGUAUGAGGAAUUACAUGUGAUGGAUCUGAUUUGUACCGUCUCAACAUAGACACAUGAAACACAUUAUGAAUCUUUGCAAGUUCCGGGGGCAAAGCUAAUCUAUAGGUUACCAGACCGAUUCUUUCAAUGAUUUCAUACGGCCCGAUAAAUCGUGGGCUGAGUUUUCCCUUUUUGCUGAACCGCAAAACUUUCUUCCACGGUGACAGUUUCAAAAAUACACGAUCACCCACAUUAAACUCUCUAUCCCUUCUCUUCAAAUCUGCAUAUGAUUUUUGCUGAUCGGAGGCAGCUUUUAAGCAAUCUCGAAUAAUACGAACUUUUUCUUCAGUUUCCUGAGUCAAUUCCACUUCCACCAGUUUCAAUUCACUUAAUUUAGACCAAUAUAAUGAAGUUCUACACUUUCUUCCAUACAAAGCUUCAAACGGUGCCAUUUUAAUGCUAGUUUGAUAACUAUUAUUAUAAGCAAAUUCGGCUAAAGGUAAAUACCUUUCCCAGCUACCGCCGAACUCAAGUAUACAACACCUUAACAUAUCUUCUAAAAUCUGAAUCACUCGCUCUGACUGCCCAUCUGUCUGGGGAUGAAAAGCUGUGUUGAAAUUUAAUUUGGUGCCUAAAGCUUCCUGUAAUUUACUCUAAAAUCUCGAGGUAAAUCUCGGAUCUCGAUCUGAAAUAAUAGAUGUCGGUACCCCAUGUAACCUCACUAUCUCAGACACAUAUAACUCCGCUAACUUUUCAAGCUGAUAAUCUGCUCUGACUGGAAUAAAAUGUGCUGAUUUAGUUAACCGAUCAACAAUCACCCAUAUCGAAUCUUUCUUCUUCGAAGUUACUGGUAAUCCGGAUACAAAAUCCAUCGCAACAUGUUCCUAUUUCCACUCUGGAAUCAUAAUGGGCUGUAACAACCCUGUCGGCACUUGAUGCUCAGCUUUCACCUGUUGGCAGAUCAAACAUCUUGCUACAUACUCACAGAUUUCCCAUUUAAUUCCGGGCCACCAAUACAUUUUCUUCAAAUCACAAUACAUUUUUGUACUAACCCGGUGAAUAGAACACAUACUACUGUGAGCCUCUGAUAAAAUAUCAUUUUUCAAGUUUAAAUUAUUCGGAAUACAUAUUCUAUUACGAUAAUAUAACAUACCAUUUUCAUCAAUGGAGUAUUCUGAGCUUAACUUAUCUUGAACCAUCUGUCGUUUUAUCAUCAAUUUUGGGUCAUCAUCCUGUAACUCUUGAAUCCAUUGAAAGAACACGGGUUUAGCCUUUAAUUCUGCUAGUACAGAACCAUCCUCAUUAAUAGAUAAAUGAGCAUUCAAUGCCCGUAGUGCAAAUAAUGAUGAUUUCUGACUAAGUGCAUCUGCUGCGGCAUUUGCUUUCCCUGGGUGAUAGUCAAUGACAAGAUAAUAAUCUUUCUGCAACUCUAACCAUCGUCUCUAUCUCAAAUUUAACUCUUUCUGAGUCAUUAAAUACUUUAAGCUUUUAUGAUCAGUAUACACGUAACAUUUCUCACCAUAUAAGUAGUGUCUCCUUAUCUUCAAAGCAAACACGAUCGCUGCCAAUUCAAAAUCAUGUGUAGGAUAAUUCUUGUCGUGCGGUUUCAGUUGCCGAGAAGCAUAUGCCACCACUUUGCCUGACUGAAUAAGUACACAGCCCAACCCAUUUACAGAUGCAUCACUAUAUACUACAAAUGGUACACCCGAUUCUGGUUGAGUCAACAUUGGAGCCUCUGUCAACAUCUUUUUCAACUGAUCAAAACUCCGCUGACAUUUAUCUGACCAUAUAAAUUCAACAUUCUUUUGUAGAAAUCGAGUCAACUGUAAGGUAAUCAUUGAGAAAUCUUUGAUAAAUCGACAAUAAUAACAUGCCAAUCGUAGAAAACUCCACACUUCAAUAACAUUCUUCGGAACUUUCCAAUUUACCAUUGCCGCUACCUUACUUGGAUCGACUCUUAUUCCAUCAGCUGAUACAAUAUGACCCAAAAAUGCAACUUCAUGGAGCCAAAAUUCUCAUUUGCUAAAUUUGGCAUACAAUUGUUUCUCUCACAAAGUCUGUAAUACAAUCCUUAGAUGUUGUGCAUGUUCGGACUCUGUCUUUGAAUAAAUCAAUAUAUCGUCAAUGAACAACCACAAAUCUAUCCAAUUAUGACUGAAAAAUUCUAUUCAUCAAAUCCAUAAAAGCAGCAAGGGCAUUGGUUAAACCAAAUGGCAUCACCAAAAAUUCAUAAUGACCAUAUCGAGUUUGGAAGGCAGUUUUCGGCACAUCACACUCUUUAACUUUCAACUGAUAAUACCCAGAUUGAAGAUCUAUCUUGGAAAAUAUUGCAGCACCUUUCAACUGAUCAAAUAAAUCAUCAAUAUGAGGCAAAGGAUAUUUAUUCUUUACUGUUACCUUAUUCAACUGCCUGUAAUCUAUACACAGUCUUAGAGAACCGUCCUUUUUUUUCACAAACAAGACAGGUGCACCCCAGGGCGACAUACUCAGUCUGAUGAACCAUUUCUCUAAUAACUCCUGUAACUGCGCCUUCAACUCUUUUAACUCGGCUGGAGCCAUUCUGUACGGUGUCAUUGAGAUAGGAGUUGUUCCGGCGAUCACAUCAAUUACAAAUUCAACUUCUUUAUCAGGUGGUAGACCGGGUAACUCUUCAGGGAACACAUUAGGGAAUUCAUUCACUACUGGCACUUGUUUGAGCUUCAAACCAGAACCCUGAGUAUCCAUGAUAUAGGCCAAGAAUGCUUCGUUGCCUUUGCGUAAUAACCUCUGAGCAGGGAGAGCUGAAAUAAUUCUGACUGUAUCACCCAUAUUUUCAGACCCAACUGAGAUUAUAUCUCCCGUUUGACAUUUCAAAUUGAUCUGUUUAUCACGACAAUUCACUACCGCAUCAUGUCUCACUAACCAGACCAUCCCAAGAAUAAUGUCAAAUUCUCGAAAAGGUAACAACAUCAAAUCAGCGGGGAAUUCAUAGCCUUUCACUUUUAAUGGACAAUUACGACAUAUCAAAUUAACCAUCACACUUUGACCUAAUGGGUUUGUGACUUGUAUAUCAAAUUCAAUGGACUUAACAAAUAAUUUCUUUUCAGAUGCUAACAUAGUGCAAAUAUAUGAAUGAGUAGAUCUAGGGUCUAUCAAUGCAUAAACAAUAACAUCAUAAAGAUAGAAAGUACCAACAAUUACAUCAGGAGCCGUAGCCUCUUCCCUUGCUCGAAUGGCGUAGGUACGUGCUGGUGCUCUAUUCUUUGAUCGACCAACUGAUUCCCUCGUACCCGAACGGGUAGUCCCUGUAGCACUGCUCUGGCCCGAAUGUCUACUUCUUUGGGGAAUGGUUCUCUGUAUCUCUUUCUGUUCCACUUCAUCUUUUUACAGUCGGGGACAAUCUCGAAUAAGAUGAUUAGUAGCCCUACAUUUUUAACAAGCCCCCAUCUUGGUCCUGCAUUCUCCGAAAUGAUAUCUUCCACAAUAUUGACACUUAGGCCGGGGAGCAUUCUGAACACCGCUCACACUUGCUGCAGGUCUAUCGAAUACCCUGAAAUCAGAUUGUCUUGGUCUAUCUCUACCCGAUCUUCCCAACAUUAAUGUAGUUCGACUAAUUUCUUCUCUAGAUUUCUUCACUGGCAAAUCUAAAAAUGACUUAGAAGCACCUCUUUUGAAUGGCUCUUUACUUUUUCGAUCCCGCUGCAUUUUUCUGUUGUAUACUUCUUCGAGCUUUUGAGCACGGUCUGACAGAACAACGAACUCUCGUAUUUCAUUACCCCCAAUCAUCAUUCUAAUUUCAUCAUUUAACCCUUCUUCAAACCUGAUACACAUUUCUUCUUUAGUAGGUACAAUGUCUCGGGCAUAUUUGCUGAGGUAAACAAAUUCUCUUUCGUAUUCAGCCACUGAUUUAUUUCCCUGGCGUAGGUCGAGAAAUUCCCUUUUAUUUUUAUCCAAAUACCGUCUGCCCACAUAUUUCUUCUUAAAUUCAUUUUGGAAAAAUUCCCAAUAAAUUUUCUCUGCUGGAACCACAGCCUCAAUCGUCUCCCACCAACUAUAAGCUUCUUCUUUCAAUAGGGACACAGCACAUCUCAAAUAAUCAUCUGGUGAGCAAACCAUUUCUUUAAAAAUUCUUAUCAAACUUUGUAACCAAUAUUCAGCUUUGACGGGAUCUUCAUUAGUCCUUCCUGAAAUUCUUCGGCUCCAAGUUUUUUAAGCUUUUCCAAUAGAGAACGCUUACUAGAUUCAGUCGUUGUAGGAGGUGGAGGAGUAACCGGGGGUACCAUCGAUGGAGCAGUAGGGGGAGGAGGUGGUUCAGCAUGAUUUCUUUCUUGCCUCAUUUCAAUAUACCACUGAUUCAUAAUCUCAUAAAUCAUAUUCUUUAAUUCUUGCUCUCGCAUUUGGGAGAUCGGAACAUCACUGCUUGUUCUUUGUUCAGAAUUAUGUAUUCUACUAUUAACUUAUUCUUACUUAGUUCGUUCAGGUAUAUCUGACAUCUUUAUAACUGGAGAAUAUCUAUAAAAAUAACAAAGAUUAGAUCGGAUCAUACGCAUCACACUAUCACAGAUUUAUAUGGCAUGUAUUUCUAAACACUUUACACUUCACACAUAUUCCGAGAACCGGCUAAACCGGGAUCUGAUACCAAUAAAAUAUAACACCCUUUACCCAAGACCGUUGCCCGAGUCGAGCAUGAGGCGUUACUUGACUUAACUUAAAAGUUCAGGGCAUAAAAAUUUACUUUCAAAAUUAAUUUCACCAUUCACAAUAAAGCUGUCCACCUGCGCAGGAGUCACUAAAUCAAUUAUAACUCAAGCUACGAAACUCAAAAUUUAGAUCCGUAAAUUUUCCCUAAAACUAGACUCAUAUAAAUAUUCACCAUAAAUUUUUAAGAAUUUUUAGUUUAUCCAAUUAGUAUAGUUUAUUAGUUUAAGUCUCCCUUGUUUCACUAAUAGACUACCCUGACCUCUCGUCACUAAAAUUCAAUUAUCUCCUUAUACAGACUUGACAUGGUGCUUCCAAUUAUUUUUACUUAAAAUAUACUCAUUAAGGAAUUUAAAAAUAUAAUUUAUAACUCAUAAUUACUUUUUUACAAUUUUUAUUGAAUUUCUAAAUUCAGAACAGGGGACUUCAAAAUCAUUCUGACCCUGUCUCACUAAAAUUCAAAUAUCUAAAAGUAUAUAACUCUUUUGCUUACUCUAUUGCUUUCAUGUGAAAGUAUACUCAUUCAGAUUUAAUUUCAUAUCUCACUUAACUUAUAAUUCUAUUUCCACUAUUUUUGGUGAUUUUUCACAGUUACAUCAAUGCUGCUGUCCAAAAACUGUUCCAUUGAAAUUUUUAAAAAAAAUUCAAUAUAACCCCUUUAUAAUUAUCUAACCUUCCCUGCAAAUUUCAAAUCACAACCAAUUUCAGUAUUUCACCUACUUCACUUAAAUACUAAUGAAGUUCAACCAAUCAACCAUUUCAAACUAAAAACAUGUAUAGUUCAAUGUCUAACACAACCAUCAUAUUCAAAUUUACUUUGCAUACUUAGUCAUUCAUUCUAUUACUUUUUACUUCAAUUCCCUAUACAUGCCAUAUAAAUCCAAAAAGUUGUUUAACAAAAUCUACCAGAGUAAAUCUAGAUAGUGUGAUUCUUGGUGUAGAUCCGAUCCUCCGAAUGUAUAAAUACGUCAAUCUACAAGAAUCAAUAAACACAUAAUUAAGCUUAUAGAAAGCUUAGUAAGUUCAUAGGCACCAAACAUAAAUCUUACCAAACAUUUAUACACUUAUACAUUAUACACCAUUACUAAGUUUACCUGUCAACCACAAUCUUUGGUGAGUUCCUUGUUAUAAACUCACUACUACUUAUUCUUUUACCAUAAUUCCUUUGGGCCCAUUUGUCACUUACCAUCCUUGAUCAAAAUUAAGGAACGGUUACGGAAAAUUGAGUACUUCACUUUCACUUUGCCAUAGUAUAACUAUGGUCUUACAUAUGAUCACUUAUCACUUGUCCUUGAUAAGAUAAGUGUAGCUAGGCUACCACUUAUCACUUUGUCACUUGAUCAGAUAAUUGUAGCUAAAGCUACCACUUAUCACUUUAUCACCACUUAUCACUUGUUCCUGAUCAGAUAAGUGUAGCUAAAACUACCACUUAUCACUUUGUCACCACUUAUCACUUGUUCCUGAUCAGAUAAGUGUAGCUAAAGCUACCACUUAUCACUUUGUCACUUGAUCAGAUAAGUGUAGCUAAGCUAUCACUUAUCACUUUGUCACUUGAUCAGAAGUACUCAAAUUCGGUGUUCCGCUCAAUUUGAUCAUUUAUUCAGUUUUCACAUUUUUAUUUUAUUCUCAUUUCAUCAAUAAAUAUAUAUAUUUCAGCAUACAUUAUAUAAUUCAUGAAAUUAACAUUUAAUCAUUAAAUUUCAGCCAUAUGAACUUACCUGGGUCGAUUUAUUGAAUUUGUAAAAGUUCAGGGACUAAUCAGCUACUUUUUCUUUUCCUCGACUUGUUUCGGGUUCUCAAUAUGAUUCAAAUAUAUGAAAAACCAGCUUGGAUGGACUCUUCAAUGGCGUUUUUUGCUGAGAAAUAUGAUGAAUUGCCUAGAAACUCUUUUAGUUAAGAUUUUUAUUUGUUAACUUUUACAAAAUUUCCAAUUUUGCCCUUAUUACAUCACUUUUUCAGAUUUUUCUUCUCUUAUGCCGUCUCAACUAUUCCAUAUUAGCAUAUUUAUGCCUUAAGUCCCUCCUUAUUUGCCACUUAAGCUGUUUAAUCACUUUUAACAAAUUUUACAUUAUUUUCAGUUUAGUCCUUUUUAAUUAAUUAACCACCCAAACGUUAGAAUUUUCUAACGAAACUUUAAUAUCAAUUCAAUGACACUCUAUAAAUGUUUCUAAAAAUAUUUAUGGCUCGAUUGAUGAGUUUGAGGUUUCGAUACCUCAUUUUUUAUUCUAAUUAUUUUAAUAUUUAUUCUUAGUAUACUAUUCACUAUUUUAAAAAUUUUCCUAACUUCGCAUUUAACUUAUACUCACUAAAUUAAUAAUAUUUUCUACUCAUUUGUCAGAUUUAGUGAUCUAGAAUUACCAUUCCGACACCACCGAAAAUUCAGGCCAUUACAUUAUGUUUAUUGACUCAUUUUUUCUGUUGACUGAAUUUCAGGUAACUCAUCGACUUAGGCGGGUCGGCAUGGCGAGAGCUCGGUCAUCCUUAUUUAGUAAUUUUCUGUUUAAAUUAAACUUAUGCUAUAGUUGUUUUAUCUUGAAUUACAGAUUGCAAAUUUAUAUUUCUACACUAGUUCAACUAUUUAAACAUUUUCUGACAAUUAAACUUUAAUUAGUUAAAAGUGAGAAUUUCUUAAAUGAUUUGUUGUAGCUUUCCAAGCUUGGUCCUAACAUCUAGGUCGGGUUUGGGGUGUUACAACCCAAAACCCCCAAACUUUCCCCUCAAAACUUUUACUCCCCCACCCUUUCUCUUUCUCGCUCACCCUCCCAAACCCUUUUACUUUUCCCCCAAAACUUUUACUUCCCACUUUUACCCCCAAAUCAAAAAUCAAAAUCCUCCCAAAAAAAUCCUUAAACCUAAAUAGUAAUAAUUUUAUUUAUGGCCACUAUUUAUAUUAUAAAUUAAAUUUCACAUUUUCUAUUAUUUAUAUUAUUAAAUUGUUUAAUCAUUUUGAAUCUUUAUCAAUUUCUGUUAAAACUGUAUCAUUGAUGAUGUCAUACAUUAUUUGUGUUAAAAAUUUCUAUUGGUAUCAAUUUCACAUUUUAUCUUUAAAAUAAAUUUUAUUAAAAAAAUUACUUUUUUACAUUUAAUAUAUUUUUUAAUUUCAAAAUAUAUGGUGACAAGAAUUAGAAGAUAAUUGAAGCAACUAAGCAAGUAAAAAAGCUAACAUGUAUAUAAAAGAUUAAAUAAAUUAUGAAGGGAUGAAAGUUAAUAACACAUUUGAUUACGGUGGACAAAUUUGAUAAUGAUGGGUGACAGUGGCUACAAGGAUCCAAAGUAAUUUUUUCAAUUAACUGGAAACAAAUAUAUUCGAUUCGAUUCGAUAAAAUUUGAAAUCAUUUUAGGAUGAUAAAAUAAGAUUCGUCAACUCGAUUAACUCGAAGUUUUUUCAUUUGAUUCGAUUAGACGCUCACCCCUACAAAGUAUGACCGAUUGGUCUGAUUCUGAAAAAAAUUGGUUUUGAUCAAUGAAAGAACUUUUACGAUGGCGACAGGUCUAACAAACAGGUGAUAUUUUGAAAAGAAAAUUAAUCUCCAUAGUCUCAACCUUAGGAGGGUGAAUUUUGAGCAUUGCAUUUGUUGUCAUUGUUAGACAUUAUAAAGGAAGAAAAAAGAAAGAAAAAAGUUAAAAUGAGGGAAAUUAUUGAAAAAAAGAGAGAAGAGAAUAAUUAAUUUUUUUUAAAAUUUUACAUGUCAAUCUAUUAUUGAUUAGAUUUUUUUAAUGAGUGUAACAUUUUGGUGUUAAAUGGAUAAUAAAAAAAUAUUUUAAGUAUCAUUUAUGAUAAAAAUAUUUAGGUAUCAAUUUGAAAAAAAUAUGUAGCUUAGAUACUAAUUGAUGGGUUAAUUUUUUUAGCUUAAUAAUUUGAUUAAACCGAAAUACCAACUGAAAAAAAGUUUACUCGCCGCUUAUGAAAAAAAAUAAGUAUGAAUUUGUAAGUUAAAUCUCCCUAAAAGAAAAAAUAUAUCACAUUCAAUACGGGGUGAAUGAAGCAAUGAAUGCAAUGGGGUAUUACAACCAGCCACAUGUCAUUCAAUUCAUGUUAUAUCUACCUUGUUGGCCCCACAGGCGGUCUUUUCCAUUAUUUUCGAAGUGAACGACAUGAGUCGGACCUAUAUCGGCCCCAACAAACAACCUCAACCACUUGUUUUGUUAGGUUGUUGACUAAUUUGAAUAUGUCGGCUCAAAGCUUUUUGAAAAUUAAAUUAUUUUUUAUAUUAAUAUCAUAUAGGUAUAAAAAUUUAACGUUUUGUAAAAAAAAUAAAUUUAGUGUUAAAUUUAAAUAAUUAUAAAAAAUUAUACAAAAUACAAAGACAACUUAGAGUCAAUAAAAAAAAUAUGGAAAAUCAAUUCAUACAUGAAAUGGCAUAAAAAUAUUAUGAACACUAUACAAAUAUAUGAAUGUUUUUAUAUCUAUAUAAAAUAAGUUAUUAACGCUUAAAUUUCAACCAAUUAAAUAUUAAUUUAACUAUAAACUAUAAAAAAUUAAAAUUUCAUUUACCCUAAACAAUUAUUCUAAUUUCGCCCCUGUAUAAAAUAGUUGUAAUAUUAAAAAAAAAGUUAUACGAAUAUGGAGUGUUAAAAAAAAAGGCUUUCAACUUUUAAUAUUCCAAACAAAUAAAAGAAAUAAUAAUAACAGUUUACAAGUGCAAUAAAAGUAAUACAUAUUUGAUGAAUUAAAAAUAGAAUAAAUAUAACUAACUAUAACAGAAAUAUAUUUAGAUUUAAACCAAAUUUUUUUGAAGAUGAAAUUUGAACUCACAAAUAAUAUUUAUAAAUGAUGAUAUGUUUUAGAACAUGUAUAUUUUAAUUUCAUUUGAUAUUUAAAUUAAAUGAAUGAAAUGAGUAUAUUAGCAUAAAUAUAUUGAAUUUCUAGAUUUAUUAAAAAUCCAACUAAAUAGAGUAGAUCCAUAAAUUUAAAAAAUGAUUAUGGAUUUUGAAAUAUAAAUCUAAAAUUUAAAAUCUGAAACCCUCCUAAAUGUUUUCCAAAGUAAGGCGGGGAUAAAUGGUAUAGGGAAGACGGUGGGUAGAUAGAUGUACGGUUUAUUUAUAACUUCGUUUUUAUUAGUCGGCUUACAGUUUCAUAAAAAGCAUCCGUGCAAGGCAUGUUCAAAUGCUGCACUAGCAUACCACUACUAUAAAAAAAACACAUACAAGAGCACCACAAAUUUAUCCCAAAAUACAUUAAAUAAAUGACUCCUAAGGGUGCCAGAUUUAACUAGUGUGUCUGGGAUUGUAUUAGCCUCUCUGAGGCCAUGUGAAAAAAUUUAAUGUUAUUGUUAUAUUUCCAUCUCGAUACGUUGCAAGACAUGAAGCAAUCUGUAAACAACUCUCUUUUGGAAGCAGUUUGCAUACGACUCUUCGCUAAGAACCAUUUGUUGUGAUCUUUCGCUUAGGAUUGCUCACAAAUGACCCCCAUGCACCCUAUCUCUCUCCCUCCUUAACUCAUCAUCUUGAACUCUCAUCCUAUUAUAGGUGAAUCGAGACUCUUCUCCUCCACCCUUUCCUCGUUGGUUACUUGUAGCAAAAAAAAUUAAUUUCACCGAAAAUGUUGGAGAGAUCCCAUGGUCUAAGUGUGUUGUUAGAGCAAAGCUCGAUGGCAAAUUUGGAGUCAAAUUUUAGAAUCAACCCUUUAAAAUCCAUUACACCGUAAAGGAAAAUUUUUACAAUUACAUUAACAAUAAAUAUUCAAAAUUUACUCAUCUAUCUAUACUUAUAUUAAGCCUUAUUUGAGUUGGAGUCAAGAGUCAACUAGGUACUAACUCAGUUGAGAAUUUACUAAAUAAUUUUAAUAUAAAGUAAAAAAAAUAUUAAUACGAGGGUGUUUUUAUCUUUUCAUAUUUUUAAAUAAAAAUACUAUAAUAAGAUUUAAACUUAAGUUUAAAAUUUCAAUCAAAACAUCACUUAAAUUUAAAAUAACAUUUUUAUAUAAAAUGUGUUUAGAUUCUAAGAUAAUGAAAUUUAUGAUGAGGUAUUCAAAAUGUGUUUGAAUAUGCUAAUGAGAUAUUCAAAUUGGUAUGCACAUUCCUAAUCAGGGAGCAUUAAUGAUAAUUUAGUAAAAUAAAUUAUCUCAUUAGCAUAUAGUUUAUUAUAAAAUUAUUGUGUAAAAUAAACAAUUCACAAACUUAAGAAUUUAUAACACAAAAAUUAUACAUCAAUGUUGUUAGAAUUGUAUUAUAUCCAUCGGUUGAAUUUAAAUUUAAAAAUUUAAUCAGCGAUAAUAAUUAAAAUCGUUUCAAACUAGUAAAAUAUUGAAAAUUAAGAACUAAUAAAAUAGAUUCUAAUUAUUUUUAUUUAAAAAAUGUUACCUUCUUAUUCAGGUUACAUUAAGACAAACCCAUCUUAAUUAUAAGUAUCAUAUUGUGAAUGGUAAACUUCUUACACAACAUCCACCAUUUGUCCAAAUAUGUUAAAUUAGGUGCAACAUAGAAAUUUUAUUGUAAGGAGUGAAUCUCAUUGUUUUUAUUUUCAUCAAACAUACGUCUAACUUUAUUAUUACGGGAUUAGAACUUAAAUUUGAUAAAUUGUGUGGUUUUAGGUGAUUUCUUUUCGUUAAAUUUAUCUAAAUCAACCUAACACUCGAAAAGUGAGAAUUCUCCUAAAAAUUCUUUAUGUUAGCAAAAAAUAUAGUGGAAGUAACUUGAAACGAAAGAGCAAUGAGAGAAUUGAAAAGACACAAGAAAAUAAUGCAUACAAGGUGUUUGAGUAAAUGCUCUCAAUAAAUUCUUUAACUCAAGAAGGAAUGAAGUACAACCAGUAUCUAGCCCCCCUAAAAUAGAAAAUUUUCCAUUUAUAUACCUUUAUAAUUUAUAAAAUUUAAAAUUUUACUUUCCCAUAAAAUGAUAAAAAAUUGAUUUAUUUCUUUAAAAAUUAUAAAGAUGACUAUUAAAAUAGUAAAAUUGUAUUUUUAUUAUUGUAAAAAUAUACAAUUUAAUUCUGUCUCCCAAAUUUUUUUUUUUUGGUUUCAUCCCUAAGUACAAUGAUCGUUGUAGCAGGAUACAUAGGCAUUCUAGCACAGAAUGCAAAUAUGUUGCCAAUUAACUUCGAGUCAUGGCAUAAAGUGCCCGAGAGUAACAAGAACCAAGCUCUCGAUAACAUUAAGGUAACAAAAUGUGUAUAUCAUUUAUAAUACUUGAGUUUAAGUUUCGUUUACAUUUACUUUCUGAAGUUGUGUUUUUUGUAGGGGAGAUUUGCUCUAGAGGUCUCCGAUGCUUAUGUAAAGAAGGCAUUGGGAAAAAGAUGGAGAGACCAUAAGAGCACUUUAAAGAAAGACUAUUUUAAGACAAAAACAACACUCGACGAGAGAUUACAAAAUGUCACGCCGGGAAUGCUGAGGUACCAGUGGGAAGAAGUCGUUAGAUUUUGGACUUCGAAGAAAGGAGAGGUAUGUGUUACUACAAAAAUCUUGUAAUUAUUUUGGUUUAUAGUAUUUACUAAUUAACGUACUAAUAAUUUCAUAACGUAGGAUCGUGAACGAGUUGGAACAAGUAGUAGGCAGAAACAAAAAUUCACGCACACAGCUGGGUCGAGAAGUUUUGCGUGUGUAGCUCAGGCCGAGGUAUUUUGAAUUUUUUAAUACUGGCAGAUAUUUAUUACUUUCUAUCAAAUAAUAUUUUUACUAUUGUAUUGUAGGAAGUGUUGUCGGGUCAAAAAGUUGGACGCCUUCAACUUUUUGACAUUACACAUAGGAAGAAAGAUGGAAACCCUAUGACUCCUGAAGCUGCAGAAAUUAUGGUACGUUUGCUUAAUACAAUUUGACUUGUUUUAAUUAUUUAUGCUGUUUAUUUUCUAAUGUUUUUUAUUACAUUUCUUGUAAUGCAAAUAUUGUUAAGUUAUGUUGCAUUUGUUUUGUUAAUAUAUGUUGCGUUCUUAACUAUGUGAUUUAUUUUUUAGGAAAAACUGAAGGAUAAAAAGGCGGAGUACGAAGCGAUUGCUUCCAGUGAUAGUUCUGUUCAUAUUGACGACAUUGAUAACCGGAUUAUCACUGAAGUUUUGGGUCCUGAAAGGUAUGGUCGGGUUCGAUUUCAAGGAUCUUUUGUUAACCCAUCCCAAUAUUUUGGAUCCAGCUCGCAACAAUACAUGCAUUCGGGGAGUCAGGCUCAAGCUGAAGUUCAGAGGUUAAGAGACCAGAUAGCUCAGAUGCAAGCGGCAACGAGUGAGCAAAUUACACAACUUAAAGCGGAGGCAACAUCGAGAGAAGCUGAGGUUCAAAAAAGAUAUGAAGAACUCCAGCUACAACUUAAAGCAGAUGCGGCAGCGAGAGAAGCAGAGGUAGCAGCGAGAGAAGCUGAGGUUCAACGAAAGUAUGAGCAACUGCAGCAGCAGCUUAAAGAAGAUGCGGCAACGAGAGAAGCAGCGGCUGCAGCGAGGGAAGUAGAGGCUGCAGUGAGGGAAUCAGAACAGCAUAAAAAGUUCGAUGAACUCCAGCAGCAGCUUCAGAAUAUGAUGAAGAUGUUUCAGCAGUCGCAACCGCCGUCAUCUUAGACUAUCGUUUAAAUAUACUUCAAUUUUGACUUUGGUAUUAUUAUUUUAACUUUUACAAUUUCUGUCAGAAUAAUACGAAUUUUAUUUUAUUUAUUGACAUUUAUUUUAAAUAUUAUAUAGAUUUGGUUAGAUUUGGUUGGUUGGAUUUGGUUUCUUCUGAUUUGUUUUUAUAGGAGGGGGCUGAAAUUUUUUUUUUCAAAUCUGCAAAAAUUAGCGGCGUUUUUUUGGAUAAGCGCCGCUAAAGACCAUCGUCUAUAGUGGAAUUUUUUGGCUAAGCGCCGCUAAAGACCAUGGUCUAUAGUGGCAUUUUUCGGCUAAGCACCGCUAAAGACCAUGGUCUAUAGUGGCGUUUUUUGUCUAAGCGCCGCUAAAGACCAUGGUGUAUAGUGGCAUUUUAUGGCUAAGCGCCGCUAAAGACCAUGGUGUAUAGUGGCGUUUUUUGGCUAAGCGCCGCUAAAGACCAUGGUCUAUAGUGGCGUUUUUUGUCUAAGCCCCGCUGAAAACCAUGGUCUAUAGUGGCGUUUUUUGGCUAAGCGUCGCUAAAGACCAUGGUCUAUAGUGGCGUUUUGUGGCUAAGCGCCGCUAAAGACCAUGAUCUAUAGUGGCAUUUUUCGGCUAAGCGCCGCUAAAGACCAUGGUCUAUAGUGGUGUUUUUUAGGCUAAGCGCCGCUAAAGACCAUGGUCUAUAGCGGCGUUGCAAAGAAAACGCCGCUAAAGACCAUGGUCUAUAGUGGCGUUUUUUAGGCUAAGCGCCGCUAAAGACCAUGGUCUAUAGCGGCGUUGCAAAGAAAAUGCUGCGAAAGGUCUUGAUCUUUAGCGGUGUUUAUUAUAAAAAGCGCCGCUAAAGUUACCGACGCUGUCAUUAGCGGCGAUCCUUGCGGCGCUUCGUAAAGCGCCGCUAAAAGUAUUUGCGGCGCUAAAAAAUGCCGCUAUAGACCUAAAAAAGCGCCGCUAAAACCCUGUUUUGGUGUAGUGUGAGAUGAUUACAAAUGAAGGGGGAGAUCUCUAUUUAUAGUUGAGCUCCCCUAGAUCCAAUAGUAUAGAUUGAAUUACAUCAACGAUUGAGAUUAGUACUUAUCUACAAGAUGAGUCUUAAGGAUUUUAAACUCUAUACAUCUUUAUCCCUUAGGAUUUACAUUAAUUACUCUGGUAACUCUAGUUUUACUGGAGAGUUUCACUGAACCACCAAAGGUUUAAGUAGAUGAGCUUCUCCAUAUGUUCCACGAGUUGGACAAGUUCAAGCGGAUCAAAUGAGCCCAAUUUAAUUAGUUAAUCUCAAUAAAACGUUCUAUGCACAAUGAUCAUGAACUUUGAUCCACAUCUCAAAAUGAUCAGAUGAAUAAUCUCUCUUAAUUAUAUUUUUAUAAAACUUGAUAUUUUCAUUUAAAAAGAAACACAAUCACAUAUAAUAAUGUCUCCAAAAGAGUCGUCCACUUCAAAGAUUUAAAGUAAUGUAAGAAUGAACCCAACAUUUUUCAAUUAAAAAUAUGUCGAUAGAUAUAGCAAGUUGUAUAACCUUUCAAUUACAAAACAGAUUUCAAUGGGGAUUGCAUCCGGUACAUGCAACUAAAGAACAGAACCGGUGCAUAAAUUGAUUUAAUUAAACUUUGGGUUGAGUAAUCAUGAUUUUCAUUAUUAUUAGACUACGUGAAUGUUGAUAUAAAAUGCUUGAGAGAAGGGUAUAGAAGAAACACAAAAUAAUGAGUGAUAUUAAUUUGUAGAUAAAGAUAAUAUUACAUAGUCGCAAAAAGCGACCUAGUACACAACGCACAACUCUAAAUUAGGAUAACUCCUCUGCUAUCCCUAUGGAUGGAUUUUAACAUCCAUAUUUAUUCUGUAGCUAUCGUUAUUUUGGCUUCCACUAGCUGGUGAACUUUCCAUGCCAAAACUUCACUUAACCCUGCAAAUGAAACAACAAAAAACACAACAUUAAAUGUUGAGCAAUUAAUAAGCAUAAGCAAUGAAACAACUCAUACGAACCUGCUGCAGUCAGUGCUAGGGCUGAUCUUGUAAGGGAUGUUGACACCGCACUUGCCUGGGAGUCCGCUUGCAAUACCAUAGUUGAUGCCAGGAAUGCCGGCGGCCGCACUUUUGAUGCAUUUGCAAGCUGCUUGCCGGUCUGGUGUUGUUUGGGCGGCGGAGUUGAGAGAUUUGAUGCCGCUGCAGCAACCUUGGGGAACGGCACCAGCACCAUUCCCUCUCAAGUAAUUAAUGCAGGGUGCGAGGGAGCCUGUGACUUGACCACAGGUUACGGUCCCUUGAGCCAGGGGUGCACCCACCACCAUGCACAACACCACCACACAUGCAAGCUUAAGGGACAUUGAGCUAGCCAUAUCGAUUAAUUACAAGAAAAACAAACUUGUAAGGAAAAUGCUUGCUUGGAGUAGUAGUAGUAUUGCUGAUUGUUGCGUGGUUAGGGCCCGAGGGUAGGAGGGUUUUUAUAGCCAAAAGUUUUGUGAAGGGAUAUGGAACGAACUGAGAAACACGUACGAAUAGAAUAUGGUUAGGCGUUGGUAGUUGUCCCAAUUCAAUGCCAAGGUUUCUUUUUUUCUUUUUCAUGUUUCAGCUUAUGGUUGAGUGUGUUUAAUGCUUUGAAAAAGGUUUGUAUCUACCACUUUCAUCUUCAUCACUAAUGCUGAAUUACUCCGUUGAUUAAUGCAUCAUAUUAGCCUUGUCCUAGUGUUACCGGUUUUCUGAUAUUAGUAGCUUUACCAAUAAAAGAUGCUAUCAAAUAUAGUUUUCAGGAUGAUAUUAAAAAUUAAGGUUUUUUAGUUACAAAUAAAAUUGUCACAUUAUCAAAUUUUAAAGAUAUGAAAUUAUUAUUAUAAACUCAUCUAUAGAGAAAUUAUUUUAUGAGCCCUUUCCACCACAUUAUUCACAGUCCAUUUUCAAUUAUUUAAUAAUAUUUCAACAAUAUUUUUCAUGUCAUUGACACAUAAUUUUAAUAAAUUUUUUACCCUGAACCUUGAGUCUAGAAUCCCAAACCCUAAAUAAAAAACUUAAAACCCCAAACUAUAACCCCAAACACUUGCAUCAUAAACUCGAACCGCGAACCUCAAACUCAUAAUCUGUAACCUUGAACCCAAACUUGUAAUCUCGAACCCUUGAACCCUUGAACCCUGAACCUAAACCUUGAACCCUGAACUCAAAGCCCAAAACCAAAACUGAACCCUGAACCUUAAAUCUCAAACCCAAACCUUAAACCUCGAGGUUUGGGUUCAAGGUUCAAGGUUCAGGGUUUGAGUUCAAGGUUCGAGGUUUAGGAUAAAAUAAUUACCAAAAUUUGUAACAGAAUAAAAGAGUUCGUUUAUAAUUUAAAAAGCAAUUAUUUUAAGUAAUUUAAUUAAAGUGAAAUUAAGUUAGAGAAAAUAUUAGAUAUAGAUGAGUGUAUAAUAAUACUUUAUUGUCUUUAAAAUUUAAUGACGUGGUACUAUUUUAUUGGUGCCUCAAACUAUACUUUUUAGAAUAAUCCUAAUACAAUUUAUUCCCAUAUUAAAUACGUAUGCUUUCUAUAUUUUUUCGAAAAAAUAAAUUUUAUUCAUAAACUUUCUAUAUAUAAAUAUAUGUUUUAUUUAAAAUUUAUAAAUACAGAAAAAUUAAAAUAUAAAUAUAUGUCAAAGUAGCUAUUAAGUGUAGAAUUAAACAAUUAUAACAUAUAAAUAGAUUAAAAAUUAGGACAAAAAAUCAAUCUAUUACAUAAAAUAUAAAUUAUGAAUGAAAACAAUCUAAAUUAUAGUCUGGCUAAUCAAACUAAAACUUACAUAUAACCAUAUGACUUUAAGGGUCUUGAAUAUGGUUACUUAAAAGCUUAUAGUUCAGCUUUUACCCACUACGUCAAGGCUUCAUUUACGUUUUUUUUAACCAUAUAUUUUUCAUAUAAUUAUAUAUAUAUAUUUUGCAUAAAAAAUCCCCAAGACGUUAAUUACUUCUAUAUAAUGUAGCGAUUAAGUCCUCAAACAAAAAUUGCUCAACAUCAAUGCAUGUAUAGAUCAAUUUUAUAUAUCAAAGACCAAUACUAUCUUUUUCUUAAAAAAAAAAAAAAACCAAUAUGUUGUGAUUGCUUAGCUAUUGUUCCUAAGUCUUCCUGAAAAAGGUUUCACAGCGAGAGGAGAAAAAAAAAAGUUGAACUUGUCUUGGUUUGCCCCAUAAUGAUUGAAGCAUAGACAAGAUUAUAAAUGUUAAUUUAGUAUACGACAUAAUAAUAUAAUAUAAUAUAUUUAAAUGUAUAUCUCCUCACCUCCUAGACGCUGUCAGUUAUUUUAUUUUUUGGGAUUCUUUUAACAAAAGGUUGAGCUUUUUAUUAGGUUUUAUUUGAUUUUUCAUUUAUUAAUAUAAUUUUUUUAUUUUUAUAUAUUUUAGUUAUUAUUAAUUUUUGUUGGAAAUUUGUACGGUCUUGUUCUAACAACAAUUACAACAAGCUUUUUGGAACAAUCAAAAGUUUUGGGUGUUGGCAUGUUUGACUUUUAAUGGCUUAUGUUUUAAUAUUAGUUAACAACAAAUGAUAAGAGAAUUUCAUGGUAAAUUAGAAUAUAAUUAUCAUCCAUUUGAUUAGUCUUGAAGAGGAAGGAGAGGAGUUUUAACUUUGGUGGACACCCAUCCUUAUCCUUGUCUUUUAGAGUGUUUGAAGCUAUUGGAGAACUUGGUUUUAAAGAUUUUAUUUGAUAAAUAUUCAAAAUAAUUAAUUUGAUAAUUUCAACUUUUAAAGGAGAGUUUAAAACUUAUCAAAAUAUUAUUUGAUAAACACUUGUAGAGGCGUAUAAAUAGGCAACAGUGUGGUGUAACUUUGUUUGUUGUUUUGGAGUGUCUUAAACUUUUAUUUUUUUGCUAUUCCAUUGGGUAACUUUAUGACACUCUCUUUUUAGGUAUUAUUUGGAGAUGUUUAGUAAUUGUAUUGUGAGGAAUUUGAGUGAGUGAUUGCAUUGAAGAAAUGCGACCUAAAUGUAUAUGUUAAACUCUUAUCUAGGACAUAAAUUCCAUGAACAAGGUACCCAUGUUAAUAACAUGUCACCACUUCGCAUCUUUAUGGUAUUGACCCUAUGUAGUUAGACCCUAUAUGACGUAAACAACACUUAUAGUGUGCACGAUAUCGUAGGCUUGAACGUUGAUUGAAUGCAACCUAUAUUUUGGUGCCUUUGUCGGAAAUGAUGUAUGCAUCGGGUUGCGGUACAAAUGCCUUCUCAGGUUAGUUAAGAAGAAAUCCCAUUCAUCAUUGGAUUCUUCAGGAGUUAUUACAAAAGCUAUUGGCAGGAUUUUUAGGUUACCAUCUUAUGCAACAACUACUAACAACCGAUGGUCGCAUAUUCUAUACAGGAAUGUGCCGUUAAUUUGGAAAAGUGGCUUACAGUACCAAAAUGUAGUUCUGCAUUGCUUAAAAGUCCAAAAGCAACGGUGGAAAACUCCUUUUCCAGGGACCAAGCAAUCGUCAUAAUACGCAGGCUCCAUUUUUAACUUGGUUACAGAACCUAGUAUGUACCACUCUAGUAUCUAACACCAUUGCCACAAUUUAUAGUAGGAUUUCUCCCACCCUCUAUUCAUUUUCUCCAAUGCCUUCUAUUUUUGCAACUAUGUCUUAUGCUAGGACAUGGUGUAAUCGGAUUCUCUACAGAUGUGUGCGAUCAAAAUUGGGACCAGAAUCGUAGGACUUGCUUUUGCCAUGGGUAAUAGAAUUUUAGAUAUCAUGUCUAAAUCUAAUUUUGGAUGAUCAUUCGAUAUGCUUGAAAAACAAGAAAUCAAGUCACUAUGUGUAAUAGAAUGUAAAAAAAGGCUAGGAUUCGAGUCGAUGUUGUUAGCCAUAUUACAUACCAGCUACAACACAUGUAUGUGGCACGAUAAAUUUCCUACGUUUAAAAUGCCAACUUCUUCGUCAUAAAUGCCAUGAUUUUCCAUAGACAUCUUGUUGCACGCAUUGUGCGCAUCGCCUUAUAUUUCUCGGAUUGAGAGCAUGUAAUAGUGAAGUUGACACCAAGUUGUAUGCUAUACUACUUGAUUGUAGCUACAAAAGCAUAUUUGGAGUCAAAUUCCAUCCCAACCUCUAAGUGGUCGAAAUUUGUUGAUGAAGUCGCAUACCUUAGUCUUCUACGGGGGAGGUCUGGGAAUUCUAAAACCACUUUCACUAGUAAGACUGAGAGUACGCAUAUGGGGUGGGGGUUUGUAUUUCGUGAAACUUAGGUCAUCCCCUCGAGCGAUGUCUAAAGCUUGACCAUUAGAUCCAUCGUCUUCUAGUUCAGUAGGAAUGGGAUCUAGUUCUAAAAUUACUACAAUUUCGCACCAUCCAGUCCAACCACCUCUCCUGGGUCAUUAUCUGAUUUAGACCCCUCUUUGACCACUUUGUUCUCUUGUCCCUCUUUGUUAUCAACCCUGGUUGUAAGUCCAGGGUUGGAUGUACCCUCUCUGGUCAAAGUUGUCAAGAGUAGAUCAUUCAUUCUUGUAAAUCCGAUGUCAAUCCCAAAAUCAAUUCUGUUUGGCCUACCCAGUAACUUGAUGGUGUACCAUAUGAGUGUUAUCGAGGUUGAACAUAGGUGUGUCAAAGUUGAAACCAAAGGCACUGAUAGAAUGUUGUGCGGCUGUGUUGUAGGCCUGGUGACCGAAUACGUCUAACUAUCCCCCGAAGUUGAAAUCGAGGGAUGAAAUCGAUGAAUGCCUCACCAUUGAUGAUGUUAAUAAUGUGUCUUUGUAUAAGCUUUGUAGAAAUGAUCUGAAUCCACAACAAAACCGUGUGGCCAGACUUUUUGCUUCUUGAUUUGGCUAGAAAUUUGGCGGACACGGUAUAAUCGAGCUUGGGCCACCUUUUUCCUCUUCAGCAAAGACUGUAUAUUCUCACUAGAGUAAUGAGUUUCGAUCACUGUCUUCAAACCGUUGUCCCCUGUGAUCUGAAAAAUGGAAUAUCUAACGGGGUUAAAUGAUGUUAGAUAUCUACAUUUCAGGCUCAAAAUUCUUCUUCAGAUCCCUACUUUAUGCCUAAACCUUGUUCAAAGCUCUUUUAACGUUAUGCUCUAGUUGAAUGUCAGAUCUUUAGAUUGGGUUGAUACAAAAAUGGGCUCAAUUUCAGCCUCACAAUUUUGACCGUUGUAAUGGACAAUAGCUCUGGCUCGUCUCCUCAUCUUGAACCAAAUAUUCUAUUCCACAUGUUUAAAAUCGAGAAAAUUGUAAAAAUAUAGUUCUCAUCACCCAAAUCCCUAAAUUUACACUUACUUUAAUGAAAUACCUUUGCUUCGACAAUAUUGUCAGUAUAAAAUUUUUGUUUUUUACUACAACAUCGAUAACUCCUAAUGCCAACAAUCUGCUUCAAACAUCUGUAUGGAAAAUCCAAGAAUUAUAUUGAGUUUUUUUAUAGAGCCUUUUCCUCGACGCACAUGAAACGAUUCUAGCAACAACACAUGUCAAGGCAUUAGUUGUUUUUGAGGUAUACACUAAAAAUUAAAAUUUGUGGGGGAGAAAACGUUCCCCGCAACGAUGUUUUUCAGCACCUAGACAUAGCAUUGAAAUUUAUCCUAGGAAUCCCGGGUUGUAGGGGCUUAGAGGUUGAAGCAAUCAAGUUGGCUUGGGUAUUGAAAGACCAUAAAGAAAAUGCCUAUUGCAGGAAGCAUUUCCACCUGACUUGGCAAUCAAAAUGCCUCCUGCAGGACGCGUUUUCCAGCCACAUCUCUGAUAUGUUAGUCGAAAACGCAUCUUGCAAGAGGCGUUUGUACUGCCAUGUUAGGUAAAAACACUUCCUGCAGGGAACAUUUUCUUUAUGGCCAUUUCAACACCCAGGCCAACUUAAUUGCUUCUGCCUCUGAGCCCUUACAACACGGGAUUCUCGGGAUAAAAAAAUUUCCCUUUUUACCCCACCCCAUCCCUUAUAUAAAUGCAUGUUCUCAUCCCCUACUCACCCAUAUCUCAGUCUCCUUUAAAUUAUUUUUUUCUUUUUCUUCCGUGUUGAAAUUUUCAAGUUUAAAGAUUUAUUUCUCUCACACUUUGAGGGGGAUGUAAUCAUAGUUUUAAGUUGUGUUUGAGUUCACAAUAAUGUCGUGGCGCUUGAUAACUUACAAAUUUCACUUGUCGUGUGAGUAUGGAGCCAUCACUUGAGAAAUCGAGAUCGCUUUGCAACUCGAGGUCCAAGUUGACGGUGUAAAUAAGGCUUCAAGUUUACAAAGGUUAUGCUAUUAAAAGGAUGGAGCAAAACCGGGACUGUAGUUGAUGAUGGUGAUGCAAGCACAAGAACUAGUUUUUCCUCAUUGGAAGAGCAUACUUUAUAAAAUCCAUAUACAAGUACGAGGGAGAAAAUCACAGGGGUCUUCCAGUAUAAUCAAGUAAUUCAUUUUAUCCUUUUCCAGCAAAGGCAAUGACCCUGUUACUAAAACCUAUUACAUCCCAAUUCUAUCAUAGGUAAUAGUAACGGUGUCACUGUCUUUGGUGGAGAUGGAUAAAAAAAUUUACUUAAUUAUACUGAGAUACCAUUGCAUUUUUCUUCCUCGUACUUGUGUAUGAGUUUUAUAAAGCAUCAUUUUCUAAUGAAAAAAGUUUUUUGUCGUGCCCGCAUAACCAUUGUAAAUUACAGCUCCAAUCAUACUCCGUCCUUUGAUAGCGUAACAUUUUGUAAACUUGAAGCUCUAGUUACACUUCAAUUUCAGACCGUAUAAUCACCCUUAACUGGGACCAUGAGUUGCAAUGCGAUCUGGCUUCUCGGGUGAUGGCUCCAUACUCACAUGACAAAUGAAAUUUGUAGGUCACCUAACUCCACGACACCACCAUAAAUUCAAACAUUCCUUAAAACUAUAACAGUGUCUAUCUCAAACAAGAAUGAAAAUAAAUGUUCAAACUUCUAAUUUCAAAUUGCAAGAAAAAAAAAAGAAAAAAAUAAAUUUUAGCAAAGUAAAAAUGGGUCCUACCGGCACAUUUUCAUUGCCACAUCAAUGAAAAUACACCUCGUACGACACGUUAUUCUUUCUUCGUAAACAAUGUAAAUCAAUAAAUUUAAAAAAAAAUUAUACAUUCUCAAAUAACUCUUUUUUUCAGCAUUUUUGUUAAAUUUAUCCCAUAAUACUGCUACUUCUUGUUUCCUGGGUUAUUUUUAUUACUGCUGGUUGUACCACCCUCCUACUGUGCGCCGGUUAUAGCAACUCACUCAAGAUUCUAAAUACUAAUAUAAACACCAUUUCUUUUAUUCUUAGUUUUUUUAGUGAUUAACGUGGUUUUAAUUAUCGUUAGAUCACGUGGGUGUUUAUAUGAAAUGCUUGAAAUCGUCACGCAGGACAAAAAAAAAAAAGAAAAAGAAAAGGAAAUGAAGAGUAUAUAUAUAGAGGAAACAACUAGUGAGAGUGAUAUUAAUAUUUAGAGUAGGUAAAGAUAGUAUUAUAUAGUCGCAUAUGCGACCUUGUACAUUACCACUAACUCUAAAACUAGGAUAACUCCAACAAUGAAUAGUACCGCUAUGGAUUUUUAACAUUCAUUUUUAUUCUGUCGACAUCACUAUUUCCCUUCCAUUAGCUGAUCCCAACUUCCAUGACCACACUUCACUUAAUGCUGCAAAUGCAACCACACCAAACAAAACAUUCAUAAAUUAAUAAAUCAAUUGCCAUAAGCGAUAAACUUUGGGUCAUUUUCUUUUUCCGUAAUUUCAAAGAAACCUAGUUUAAAUUAGAUACGAACCUUUUGCAGUCAGUGGAAGGGCUGAUCUUGUAAGGGAUGUUGAUACCGCACUUGCCUGGGAGUCCGGCUGCAGUGCUAUAGUUGAUGCCAGAAAUGCCGGUGGCCGCACUUUUGAUGCAGCUGCAAGCUGCUUGCCGGUCUGGUGUUGUUUUGGCGGCAGAGUUGAGAGAUCUGAUGCCGUUGCAGCAAGCUGGGGGAGCAGAACCAGCACCAUUCCCUUUCAAGUAAGCAAUGCAGGGUGCGAGGGCGCUUGUGAUUUGACCACAACUUAUGGCCCCUUGAGCCAGGGGUGCACCCACCACCAUGCAAAACACCACCACACAUGUAAGCUUAAGGGACAUUGAGCUAGCCAUAUCAAUUAGUCACAAGAAAACAAACUUGUAAGGAAAAUGCUCGCUUGGAGUAGUAGUACUAUUGCUGAUUGUUGCGUGGAUAAGGAUUGAAGGUAGGAGGGUUAUUAUAGCCAAAAGUCGAGUGAAGGGAUUUGGAAAGAACCGAGAAACACGUACGAAUAGAAUAUGGUUAGGCGCUGGUAGCUGGCCCAAUUUAAUGCCAAGGUUUCUUUCUUUCUUUUUCAUGUUUCAGCUUAUGGUUGAGUGUGUUUAAUGCUUUGGAAAAGGUUUGUAUCGACCACUUUCAUCUUCAUCACUAAUGCUGAAUUACUCCCUUGAUUAAUGCAUAAUAUUAGCAUUGUCUUAGUGUUUCCGGGUUUUUUCUUUUUUUAUAAUAGUAGUUUUUCCGGUUUUCUGAUAUUAGUAGCUUUACCAAUCAAAGAUGCUAUCAAAUAUAG